RNAcentral lists this long non-coding RNA (92724 nucleotides) under Arabidopsis lyrata. RNAcentral describes it as "long non-coding RNA (ALYR_LNC000630)". The record is from RNAcentral. Lineage: Eukaryota; Viridiplantae; Streptophyta; Magnoliopsida; Brassicales; Brassicaceae.
CUACCAUUCCUGGGUUUUUUCCACCCGGCUCCCAAGUUGAUCUCGCAAAAUGUUGGUCAUCGCUCAUCACAUUCAAGGUUGCGAAGUCGAAAUCUUUAAAUCUGUUUUAACCGGUAAGAUUGAAAACGUUGGACCAACAUGCUGCAAGGCGUUUACGAAAGUGGAUGCAAACUGUUGGCCAAAAAUGUUUUCGUUGAAUCCGUUAUUCCCUCCUCUUCUCAAGGAUGGUUGCUCUCGCAUCAUCGCAGGUGCACCCGCUGCACACACGACACCUCAGUUCCCUGUCAUCUCUGGGUUCUCUCUUCUUGGUUCAGGCCCGGCCCGCCCAUAAAGCAGCCAAAGCUUUUGCUUUAGGCCACAUAAUAUAAAUAAGAUUUUAGAGCUGUAUGUCCAAUUUGUUUGCUGUGGUCAAGUUGGAUGUGUAUUAUUUCAAUGACUCACUUUUCGUCAGUUCGAGUCUUUCAAUAUAUACGUUUCUCUUGUUUUUUUUUUUUCUCUUUUCUAUUUCCUUUUGACUUUUUACAUGUCUUUCUUUUUCCUCUUUUACGUGUCUUUCCUUUUUGUUUUGUAGAGUAGGAGAAAAUUGUUUUUUAUUUAUUUAUUAAUUUAUGUUUAGUUGUUUUUUUAGCAACCAAAUCUCCAAAUAUUCUAUUUAACUUGGCUAGUAGCCUAGUAGGUGUUAUGAUAUUCUUAACUUUCGCUAACAAAUCUGAAUUUUAAAAAUUUAAUGACUUUUUCUAAUGCAUUUUUUCAAACAUAUUUUGAUAAUUUUUUAACAUUAAUUUUUAUAUCAAAAAUUAUAUUUUAAAUAUGCUUUAGGCCACCAAAAUCCUAAGACCGGCCCUGUCUUGGUUCUCCGGUCGAUCUCACAAAAUGUUUGUCAAUUGUCAUCACUUGUAAACGCUCAAGGUUACAUAACUGAAAUCUUAAAUCUACAAAUCAGUUUUCACAGGAAAGUUUGGUAAUGUCAGGGCCGGCCCGCAGGACAGGCCACCCAAGCGGUGGCUUGGGGCACCACAAUUUUUUUUUUUUAUAAGGUUUUUUUUUUUUUGGGUAAAAAGGUCCAUAAAAUGAAAAUAUUUGGUAAAAACUAAAGUCUUUUUCGAAAAAAAUAAAUAAAAUAGGGCCCAAACAAUUAAAUUUGAAUGUAAUAAUAUUCAAAAUAUCAUUAUUUUUGUAUAAUUUAUUAAAAAUAGGUCAAAAAAAAUUUUAGCCCUAAAACUUAUAAAUAUAUUGGGCUUCAUUUUAUUUUUCGUGUAGGGCCUCACAAAUGUUCGGACGGGCACUGUGUUAGACCAAUGUGUUUCAAGGCGUUGUCGGCAAUGGAUGCAAAAUGUUGACAACAAAUGUUUCCGCUAAAUCCGUUAUUUCCUCCUGUUCUCAAAAAUGAAUGUUCUCGCAUCAACAUAGCCGCUCCUACACAAGUGAAGUAGCUAUGGCCUAUGGGACCAUCAUUCAGAAUGUUUUAAAUUAGGCAAUUAAAUUCAUGAAUUUCCCUAUUUCAGAUGUUGGCUUGUUGGUUUGUUCUAGGUUUUAGUAUCUACAAUAAUAUUAAAAAAUUCAAGUUUCUAGCUUAAUCUCACAACUAUCAUCUAUAUAUAUAUACAUAGCUUGUUUAGAUAUUAGCUUGUUUUAAAACCGGAGAUUUCCAUCUACGUCCAAACCGAAUGGUUAUCUGGUUUUUAACCGCCGGUUAUUAUCUAUCGGUUAGGACUCGGUUCGAGUCGCUUCCUCUCCUCUGUCUGUGCGACUGAAUCGUCGUCUUCAUUAGUAGCUCGAGCCGAUUGAUCACUUGUCGAUGGGAACGGAGUUUCAACAGAUUGCGCCAUGGAAUGAGAGCUUCUAGCUUCGAAAGGCCCUUUCUUUCAAUGAACCCAGGUGCUUAAAAUUCUUAAUUUCAUCCCUUUUUCGAACGAUUGAGUUCUUUACCAAUGACUCAUCUUCAUCCUUUUGUAAAACAUAAUCUAGGGGUAUAUGAUUAGUGUCAAUGGAGCAAUAGUCAAGUCACAAGACGUACGAAAUGUAAGUUGAUCUCGUCGUAUAUGACCUUUUCUUUAGUUUUCCCACUCAAACUUUAUUGUAAAGUAUGUGAAAAUUAUUCAAAUUAUACACAAGUCACAAUUUGUUCAAAGAUUUUGUUAUACCAUUUCUUUUGUCUGGCAGAUUAAGCAAGGUUUUUUUUUAAAAAACACAACUUUCUUGUUUCAAGGACUUGGUGUCUUAUUAUAAUAUAUAACAAUUCCGUUCUGUUGAAUGGACCCUUUAUUUGUUGACUUUGUAGCUAUAUUGAGUUUCCAUUUUGAAUGACUUGUGGUUAAAUUCUUGAACUGAUUAUGUGUUGAUCAGGACCAUUUUUGCUCUGCUCUCUUGUUUUUUGUAAAAUCUUUCUUCUUUCUCUUUUUAUGGGCAACUCAAUCUUUUUACUUUCAUUGAUAUUUGGUCUCCCUUUCAUUGUUGAUUCAGUUAACUUUAAGUGUACUAGUUUUCGUCCAGGUGAUCCUGAGAAUGUGGUUUACCACGGGGAUGCAAUGCCCGAUGGUGCGGUAAACUUCAACAACGUAGAGUAUAUAGCUCGUGUUGGUUGGGUUACUUAUGCUGAGAAAGUGCCUCUAUGGAAUCCUAAAACUGGUAAGUCUACGGAUUUUAAUACCAGUUUUUCUUUCAGAAUUGAUACCCGUAACCUUUCGAAUUACGGUCAUGGGAUCUGCUUUUUUCUUGCUCCUGUUGGAACUCAACUCCCUGUGAACUCAGCUGGUGGUUUCUUGGGUCUUUUUACUCGAAUCGAAGAUCACAUAUCUUCGUUUCCGCUUGUUCAUAUUGAGUUUGACUCAUUCAGUAACAAAGAAUGGGAUCCUACAACUGUUGGAUCUCAUGUGGGAAUCAAUAAUAACUCGCUUGUUUCGUCUAACUACACCUCUUGGAAUGCAAGCUCACACAGCCAAGAUAUUGGUCAUGCAAAGAUCUCAUAUAACUCUGUUACUAAGAACUUGAGUGUGUCUUGGGCUUAUGAAUUAACGUCUGAUCCUCUGGAGAGUGUAGGCAUUUCUUAUAUCAUUGAUCUUGCAAAGGUUUUGCCACCAGAUGUUACGGUCGGGUUUUCAGCCGCUACUGGAUCAAACAUAGAGGGACAUAGACUUUUAUCAUGGGAGUUCAGCUCAAGUUUGGAUAGUGAGAAAGCCUCUAUCAGGAAAGGACUGAUAGUUGGCAUUUCGGUUUCUGGGUUUGUUUUUCUGUUCUCUUUGGUCACAAUUGUGGUUGUCUUGUUGCAGAAGCAUAGAAAAAGAAAAGCAAAAGAGAUAAAAGAUUUGGUAUCGUUAAACGAAGACCUUGAACGGGAUGCAGGACCACGGAGGUUUGUUUAUAAGGAUCUUGUUAUAGCAACCAACAAAUUCUCAGCCCAGAGGAAGCUGGGUGAAGGAGGGUUUGGAGCCGUUUAUAGAGGUUACUUGAACGAAAUGGAUAUGAUGGUUGCAGUGAAGAAAUUGUCUGGUGGUUCCAAGCAGGGAAAGAAAGAGUUUGUAACCGAAGUUAAGAUCAUUAGCAAACUGCGACAUCGAAACCUGGUGCAACUCAUUGGUUGGUGUAAUGAAAAAAAUGAGUAUUUACUGAUAUAUGAGUUCAUGCCGAAUGGUAGCUUGGACACUCACCUCUUUGGGAAAAGACCCCAUCUCUCCUGGGACAUACGAUACAAGAUAGCGCUCGGUCUAUCCUCUGCGCUUCUAUAUCUUCAUGAGGAAGGAGAUCGGUGUGUAUUGCAUAGGGACAUCAAGGCAAGCAAUAUCAUGUUGGACAUCAAUUUCAAUGUAAAAGUAGGUGACUUUGGACUGGCUCGAUUGAUGGACCAUGGACUAGGUUCCCAUACAACAGGGAUAGCAGGAACUUUUGGGUACAUGGCUCCAGAAUACGUGAUUGAUGGAAGGGCAAGCAAGGAAUCCGACAUCUAUAGCUUUGGAAUUGGUAUACUAGAGAUUGUCACAGGGAAAAAGUCGGUCGAUCUUUCACAAGAAAACACUGAGACUGAGGCUGAGACGAGUCUUGUGGAGAGAGUGUGGGAUUUGUAUGGAAGACAAGAACUUAUGUCAGCCAUUGACAAGAAACUCGGUGAGGAUUUCGAUAAGAAACAAGCCGAGUGUUUACUGGUUGUGGGGUUAUGGUGUGGUCAUCCUGAUAGAAACUCAAGGCCUUCUAUAAGACAAGCGAUCCAAGUACUGAACUUGGAGUCACCAUUGCCUCAGCUUCCUCCGAAGAUGCCCUCUGCUACGUUUCACAUCUCACCUUCUUCUUCUCUCUUGCUUAGCUCAAACAGAGUUUCAGUCAUUCAAGUUAGUCGGGAGCAGAUGAUGAGAGAUGAGGAAGAUCUUGGUGGCCUUUGCGGUUCAGAAACUUGAGUGUAAUCCUAACUUACAUAAUUGCCAAAGAUCUUUGUCUGUGUGUGUAUGUGUACUAUGUGGUUUUGGUUUUGCAUGAUUUCUAUUAUUUGAAUAGGAGGAUUUACCUUUGCCUCCUCCUUCCGUUUACUUUUGAUAGUUUAUCUUUGCCUCUGCCUGUUAUUUUUUUUUUUAAUCAAAGUAUUUGCUCUGUUUUUGAGAUAUUUUUCAAGGAAACAACCAGGCCAGACAUUCCGUUAACUCUUCGGUUUCAGUUCGGUUGUGUUCGGUUUCAGUUAGUUUGGAUAUGGUAAUAUAAUAACUAUCCGGAUACUUGAGAAAUUUCAGUUCGGAUUGGUUUGGUUUCUUUUCUUUCGAUUCGGUUCGGAUAGUUGAAUAGAUAAACAUAACUAACUGAAAUUUUAUCGAGUUCUGUUUGCUUCGGUUUCUUUUUAAUCCAAAAUAACCCGAAAUUAACAAAAUUAAACCGAAAAAAUACAAAAAGAAAUACAAAAAGGGAAAAAUUAGUAAGAAAAUUAAAAUUUAGAUCGAUUUUGCAAAAGAGUAUUUAACUUUGAUAAAUAUAACUAAUAAUAUUUGGAUAUAUUGAUUAUUUAAAGUAUUUGAUUGCUUUGAGUCUAAAAAUAAUUAACAUUUUUGAGUUUAUAAUUAUCGUUUUGGAUAUUAUUUUUGGAUAUAUUCUAGGUGUUUGAAUAUUUUGGUUAACCGUUUGGUUAUUAGCUCGGUUCGGUUCGGUCGGUUACUCGGUUACCGGUUCGGAUACGGUUUGGUUCUAUUGAAAUUCAAGAUAAUCCAAUUAAAUUAGAAAAGAUAGAAAAAAAUAGGGCCAAAAAAAACCCAUGUUUUAUUGAAAUUCAAGAUGCAAAAAAAAAACCCAACACUUAACUAGAAUAUGAAAUCCAAAACAUAAAUAGAAAAAAAACGCAAAAGAAGAUCGAAGCAAGCGAACUAGACGGGAAUCAUUAAGGGAAGUAAUGAAUAUUGAAAAUUCAGAACAACGAAUUUGUUUUCCCACUGAUUCCAGUAGAGUUUCAGAACAUGGCCUUCUCCGACAUCUAACGAAUGCUUCAUAGUACUCCAACCAGACCCGAAAUAAUAUUUAGGCUUGUCGAUACCUGAAAGUUUUAGAGUUACUGUGUAUAAAUCGUCUUCCAGUAAGUCGUGGACUUGCACUUCAACACCGUUUUCCAAAUCUUGAUCGUUAACAUUCAUCCUCGUGAGGACAGACAUCACUUCUGCUUUUGGUAAUACUACAUUACCAACAACAUCACUCUUUGUUAGCACUUUCGUUAUGAUCAUAGCCGGAUCUAAUGGAUCGUUAUAAUUCAUCUUGCUAAAUUUUUAAGAAAAAAAAUGCUUUUAGAAGUAGAAGAAUAUUUGCAUAUUUUUUUGCACUCUAUUCAAACAUAUAUAUAGGAGAGUACUUAGCCUAAAAAGAAAGGAAAAUUACAAAAGAAAACAAAAAAAAAUUGGAACUCUUCCUUUAACAAAUUGGAAAAUUGUCUAAAUAUCUAGCAUUUCCUUAAUAUGUCAAUGGAAAGAAAACUUUUUGCAAAUUACUGAUUUAGAAAUUUUUCAUUUUGUAAAUUGAGAAAAAAGUUUUGUGCAAAUUAUUGAUUUAGAUUCAUUUCCAUUUUGUAACUUGGGAAGAAAGCUUUAUGCAAUUUCCAUGUUCAUUCUCAUCUCUUUCGAGGUUUUCAACCAAUACAUUGGCCCAAACUAAUAUAGUAUUUACAAUAGCAUUUUACAAGCCCAAAGUAAUCAAACUCAAUAAAAAGUAUAACAAAAUCUGAAAUUUAAUUUUAAUAGUUGCUAAGCUUGUUGUAGGAGAUCAUUGGGCGUGGUAUUCGAAUUGGUGGCUUAUAGUAUCUAGACCAUGUUCAUACGAGUCGUGCAAAUCUUGCAAAAGGACCCAUAUGGUUGUGGCAUCGUCAGUUAGGUAGCCCAAAAGCUACAUUUUAGUUAUAACCUUUGCUGUUGUAUAGUAUAAAAUAGGAUAAAUGUUACAGCUUUUAGUCCUUUGAAUACAUCUUAUUUACUACAAUGUUAACCGUCAACAUAGUAUAAAGUCUAUUCCAAAGGUUGUUGACAUAACGGACGAAUCUUAAAAUGUAAUUAACUCUUGUAAUAAAUAAUAAUGACUAUUAACGUAUACGUUUAAUUUGAGUUCCUCUAUAAAUUGUUUGUUUCUUUUGAUAACCAAAACCAUGACAAUCAAACAAUUCACUCUUAAAAUAAGGAGACGAUAAGUGCAAUGGAAGGUAGGAUCCAAGUGCUUCUCUCGCUGUUGAAGUCGGGGCUAGCCGAGGUCUAGACCAUACCAUAAUUACAACAUUCCAUUCUUGGUUCUUUAGUUGAUUCUCGCAAAAAUGUGUGUAUAUGAAAUAGGAAGUUAGGGAGACCAUGGAAGGUAAAGUCGACCGAUGCAAUAUGGCGGCAAUGUGAGCAUAGUCGAAUUUCACCAGCCAUGGUAUCUCUUCUCCCUUUUUCAUCUUCCCACCGGAUUCACUCAAGGCUCAUCGCUUAUUCCAUUAUCCUCUAUGUAACAUGCCGCGUCUUCAGCUGCGGCCAUAACCAAUGCUAAGCCACUAUAACAGGUUUGUUGUUGAUCUCUUCAUCGACAUUAACGCUCUUUAUAUAUUCCUUAAAACUCUCGAUUGCAUUUCGAGUAAUGGUUAAUUUUCUAGUGCGUUUAAACAUUGACGUUACAAUAUAAACUUCUAGUUUUAAUAUUCACAAGCAUGGCUGGUUAUUUCAAUUCACAUAUACUGUUUUAUCAUACAUCUACAAUACUAUGAAUUUUAUUAUCAUAUAGAAAUAACGUAGCUCUCAUCACAGCCCUGUAACUCUAGUUAACCUAUAAGCAUUUUAACUGAUGUAUACUUUCCCCUAGCGACACUUGUCAUCAUGCAUGAAAUAAAACUUAAUGGCUCGGUUAUCACCGAUUCAUCUUGACCGACCACAAAGAUCCAACGGCUAGCUAGAGACGCGAUUAUACAAGUGUUCUUAACUUGUUAUAUUCUUACAUAAACGGCCAAAAAGUUUCAGAAAAAUAGAAACGGCGUAGGAAGCUACUAUGACGGCGAUUCCAAAUGUUAUCGAUAUUGAAUCUUCGUCUUCGCUUUGUCAAGAGACGGUGUCUCCGUCAGUUGUUGAGACUGCGAAGCUAGACCACGUCGUGUCACUAAUCAAGGAAGAGGAGGAUGACGUCGUUUCACUUGGUUUUUGGAAAUUGCACGAGAUAGGUUUAAUUACACCGUUCUUGAGAAAGACGUUUGAGAUAGUUGAGGACACAGUAACAGACCCGGUUGUAUCAUGGAGCCUGACCCGUAAAAGCUUUAUCAUUUGGGAUUCUUACGACUUCUCGGAGAAUCUUCUUCCUAAAUACUUCAAGCACAAGAACUUCUCCAGUUUCCUCCGCCAGCUUAACUCCUAUGUAAGCACACAAAACGAGUUUUUACUUUUUAGCUAUGUUUCUUGUUUUACAGGCUUUGUAAAAACUAGGGUUUUUUGUAGGGUUUUAAAAAGGUUGAUUCAGAUAGGUGGGAAUUUGCUAACGAAGGGUUUCAAGGAGGGAAGAAAUAUUUGCUUAAGAACAUCAAGAGGAGAAGCAAAAGUACUAAAUGUAACAAGGAAGCGAGCACCACUACCACCACCACCACAGAGACAGAGGUUGAGUUAUUGAAGGAGGAACAGAGUCCAAUGAGAUCGGAGAUGUUGAAGUUGAAACAACAACAGGAAGAAUCUCAACAUCAGAUGGUCACUGUGCAGGAGAAGAUCCACGGAGUUGAAUCCGAACAACAACAUAUGCUUAGUUUCUUUGCAAAGUUGGUUAAAGAUCAAAGAUUUGUGGAGAGGCUGUUGAAAAAGAGGAAGAUGAAACAACAGAGAGAGCUCCAAGCAGCUGAAUUCGUGAAGAAGCUCAAGUUGCUUCAGGAUCAAGAAACUCAAAACAACUUGCUAGAUGUAGAAAACCAUCUGGUCAUUAGAGAAUUUAUGGCCAUGGCUGCAACACAACACAAUCCCAAGCCUGAUAUUUUGAUGAACAAUGAAAGCGGGAAUAGGAGAUGUCAGCUUAACACAGAGGACCUACUUGUUGACGGUGGUUCGAUGGAAGCAAAACACGUAACAUAGCAUUAGAGAAGAUACACAAUACCAUGCUUUAUCCGAAUAUGUACCUUAUGUUGUAUGGUUUUAUGUCUAUACAAAAAAGGGACUUGUACAGAGUCGUCUAGAUUACUGUAGCUCUGGUAAAAAGGGACUUGUAAAAAGUGUAGAUCUGGUUUACUGUCUUUGAUAGCUCUCAUUUAUUAUAUUUCAUGAUACAUGUAUAUCAGAAACAUAUCUUCCAUUACUAAUAAACUUUUUAACUAGUGAGUAGUGUGACUAGUGUCUAGUGAUCUUGUUUGUAAUCCUAACUCACAUAGUUGUCAAAGAUAUUUGUGUGUGUGGGUGUAGCAAGUGAACCAUGUGUGUCUGGUUUUGGUUUUCAUUUAAAAGUUCUUUAUUCAAUUUGAUUGAUAACUACACUUGUGUUAUGUAGCAAGAAAAUAAAGUAAAGAGUGAAAAUAGAAGAAAUAAAAAGUUCAGCAAGGGUGAAAGCAAGAAAAUAAAGUAAAGAGUGAAAAUAGAAGAAAUAAAAAGUUCAGCAAGGGUGAAAAAAAGGAACCUGUCAGACCGCCGUGCAACCACCCCGGCAAGGUAGAACCGAGCCGAGUAACGAUCCUCUACAGUACCGGAUGCGUCUAAAGACGAUCGUAGCCGUCAAUCACGCUCUAGUCGCACGGUCAUGGUUCAUCAACCAGGGUUAAGGGCCUGUCUCUUGAGAAAUCAAGGAAACAGAGGUACGAGCCUAUAGAACAGAUCCUGUUCAAGUAAGGUCGUGACCAUCAGUACUUUGUAGCCAUAUAUAAAGAAGUCGUUGUUUCACUAGCUUACCGAUGUGGGACACAAAAUCAGUAAGACAAAGCAAUCAUAAGCUGAUGGGCCUAAUUGUAAACAAACCCAUUCAUGUUCAAGCCCAAUAAUUAGAAAGUGGCAUUAUUAGGAAAAAGCAGAGUUUUAAAUUCAGACGUUGUUUCUUCUUCCUCUUUGAUCAAUAUGCCACGUCCGCAUCACUCUCCACGUUAUUGGUUUAUCUCUAUCGAUCAUCGUCUCUCUCUUGCAGUCUCUGACGUGAAGAAGCCAUGGAAGAGAAGAAGAAGAAACUUGAAGACUUAAAGUAUCAAUCAGGUUUCGGUAACCACUUCUCGUCGGAAGCAAUAGCCGGAGCUUUGCCUUUAGAUCAGAACAGUCCUCUUCUUUGUCCUUACGGUCUUUACGCCGAGCAGAUCUCCGGUACUUCUUUCACUUCUCCUCGCAAGCUCAAUCAAAGAAGGUUCCUUUCCUCUACAACUGUUUUCGAUUUGUAAUUUUUGGAUGAUUUCGUUGAAUUGAUCUUCUUCUUCUUCUUCAGUUGGUUGUACCGGAUUAAACCGUCGGUUACACAUGAACCGUUCAAGCCUCGUGUACCAGCUCAUAAGAAGCUUGUGAGUGAGUUUGAUGCAUCGAAUAGUCGUACGAAUCCGACUCAGCUUCGGUGGAGACCUGAGGAUAUUCCUGAAUCGGAGACUGAUUUCGUUGAUGGGUUAUAUACUAUUUGUGGAGCUGGAAGCUCGUUUCUUCGCCAUGGUUUCGCUAUUCACAUGUAAAAAUAUCUUCUUUUUUUCUUGGGUAUUUUUGGUUUAGAUCAGUGAUAGAUAAAGUAAUGAUCUUUGUAUUCAUUUUUUUGAAGGUAUGUGGCUAACAAAGGAAUGAAAAACUCUGCAUUUUGCAACGCUGAUGGUGACUUCUUGUUAGUUCCUCAAACAGGAAGUAAGUUCUUUACUUUCAAAUUGUGUCUAUAUAAGUUCAUUGUUAUAAAGUUCACAUCUUUUGGUAAGAAAGUCAGUCAUGUAUGAGGAAUGGAUUCAAGAUCGUCUUUGAUGAAUUCUGAUAUUUUUGAGUGGGUGUUUUAGGGCUAUGGAUUGAAACUGAGUGUGGAAGGCUUUUGGUAACUCCUGGUGAGAUUGCUGUUAUACCACAAGGAUUCCGUUUCUCUGUAGAUUUACCGGAUGGGAAGUCGCGUGGUUAUGUUGCUGAAAUCUAUGGGGCUCAUUUUCAGCUUCCUGAUCUUGGACCGAUAGGUAUUCUUGAGUUCUUAGAUUCAGCCUGAAUAACAUGGAUUAUCCGCAAGAAUCUUAUCGUUGGAUGUGUACAGGUGCUAAUGGUCUUGCUGCACCAAGAGAUUUUCUUGCACCAACUGCGUGGUUUGAGGAAGGUUUGCGUCCUGAAUACACAAUUGUUCAGAAGUUUGGCGCUGAACUCUUUACUGCUAAACAAGAUUUCUCUCCAUUCAAUGUGGUUGCCUGGCAUGGCAAUUACGUGCCUUAUAAAGUGAGUACAUGGUUUAUGGAGCCUAAUCUUGUAAAAGAUUAAUGCAUUUUUUUCUGAUAACAUCAAUUUCUGUCUGCAGUAUGACCUGCAGAAGUUCUGUCCAUACAACACUGUCCUUUUAGAUCAUGGAGAUCCUUCUAUAAAUACAGGUUGGUGGUCCUCUGCGCUAAACCUAUUCUUCUUUCUGUUUCGUUAUGGUUGCUUACUGUAAAUCACACUCUCUGGGGGAAUUAUUGUACUCUCAGUUCUUACAGCACCAACGGAUAAACCUGGUGUGGCCUUGCUUGAUUUUGUCAUAUUCCCUCCUCGAUGGUUGGUUGCUGAGCAUACUUUUCGACCUCCUUACUAUCAUCGUAACUGCAUGAGUGAAUUUAUGGGCUUAAUCUACGGUGCAUACGAGGUAAACUGCUUUAAGUUCCUGCUACUGAAAAUCAUUAGCUGGCUUGUGUUCUCCUCCUCCUAAAAUCUGUAAACUGACUCCACCAUUCACAGGCCAAAGCUGAUGGAUUUCUCCCUGGCGGUGCAAGUCUUCAUAGUUGUAUGACACCACAUGGUCCAGAUACUACCACAUACGAGGUGUCAAUCCAUCUUAUGCAACAGUAAACUACACAUUUGAUUUCAUUUUCCUCCGAGAUCAUGUCUAAAUUUAACCCCUGAAUGUGAAAUACAAAUUAAGUCUGAAGCAUUUUUAUUAUUAUUUUGUAGGCGACAAUUGCUCGAGUAAAUGCAAUGGCUCCUUCUAAACUCACAGGUACAAUGGCUUUCAUGUUUGAAUCAGCCUUGAUCCCUAGAGUCUGCCAUUGGGCUCUGGAGUCUCCUUUCCUCGACCACGACUACUACCAAUGUUGGAUUGGCCUCAAGUCCCAUUUCUCACGCAUAGACUUGAACAAGACAAAUGUUGAACCAACAGAGAAAGAACCAGGAGCUUCGGAGUAAAGAAACACAAUUCACCUGGACCACUUUCAAUACCCAAGCUGUACAGACUUUUACCAUAUACUUGUAUAAGAAAGAAGCAUACAACAAGUACAUAUGUAAUAAGUAGGUAGUAUUUCUUCAUAUCACUUUAAUUACAUCAUUUGUACUCUGAAGCUAAUAUAACGGUGUUGGUUUAGAUACUAAUGAAUAUAACUGUGCCAUUUAGAUUCAGGCUACAACAUCAGUCAGUUUCACUUUCAUCUUCAUGAUGCCUACUUGCACUAAGAUUUCUUUCUUUGACUGUUCUACUUUCAAAACAGUCGCUUUUUUACCAAGAGAAGAAACAAACACCGAGCUACCGACUUCAGGAACCUUUUGAGCUGCAGCUUCUGUUAAUGCCAAAACAUGGUUCAGUUUCAAAGAUCAUAACCAGAUAAUAGCUAUCUUUUAAAUGGCUUAAACUUAUUUAAAUACCAGAAAUUGGUCGUCUCUCUACCACAGAUGAUGAACGAAUUCCACUAUCUUCAUCCUUUGUCGUUUCGACUUUUGUUUGGAGUUGCGUAGCUACCUUUGACUGAGAUGAUUGUGCAGCAGAUGAGCGAAACUGUUGCAAUGUUCUGCGAAGUGUAGAACGAGUCAUCGAACCAGCUUGAGUUAGUUCUUGUCUCAUUUUUCGUCUCUCUUUGGUGGCAUGGUCGUUAAUGUUCUUUUGUGCUAUGAGUAGAUUAUCAUGAAGCUCUCUUGAUAGCCUAGAACCGAAAAAGAAAAACAUGAAUAUAAAGCUCAUAAGAGAGGACAAGAUUUAAUGCUGUUAUAUAGAAUCUUACCUUAUAUAAACACGUGACUCAUUCAAAAGUCUCUGAUAUUCUUGCUUGUACCGUUCCAUGUCAAGUAUGACCUCAUUAAUCUCAGCACUUGCAGAGCCAUAGAGUUCACGAGCACUCUCGAUGAUAUCACAUGGAAGCCCCAACCUUUCAGCUAUGUUUAUUGCAUUCGAACGACCUGAAAAUCAUUUUCAAACGUGGGUUGCUGAAGCAUAUUAACACUGAUUCCAUUUUAGGGGUACACAAAUCGAUCAUUAAAGAGUCCAGAUGAGCAUAUAGCUAAACCUGGUACUCCCCAUAAGAUUUUGAAAGUGGGUUUUAGGUUCAGGUCAUCAAACUCCAUGCAAGCAUUCUCAAAGGCGGAAUUGCUACAAUAGAUAUGGAAAGAUAUAAAAGUGAAUACUCUUUAAAAAUAGGGUCAUUCAAGAAAUAUGUCAGGUGCAGUUAUAACCUGUAUUUAAGCGUCUUAAGCUCUCCAUGAUGUGUGGUUGCCAUCGUGAGUAAAGAACCGCUUUCUGCAAAAGAUUCGAGAAUUGCCAUCCCUAAUGCAGCUCCUUCAAGGGGAUUUGUUCCAGCUCCAACCUGUUAUUAUUAGCAGGCAAGACUUUAAAGCAGAUUCUUCCAAACAUAUCCCGACCUUAAAUCUCCUAAACUAUAUUAUCAUGACCAGUCUUUUAACUUACUUCAUCUAACAACACAAGUGAUCUGCUUGUUGAAUGCGAGAGAAUUUCCUGCAAGUUUACCAGUCAGAGGAAAAGAAACAUGAGUUGUAUAUAUAUCAAGAGAGUUACAUCUUCCAAACUAAUUUAACCAAUCAUUCCAAACCAAUAAAUAUCAACGCUGAUAAUUUAUCUAAGAAUCAUGUUGUAAGAUUUAGCGAGUCCAAACUUCAUAGGAAUAAAGCAUUUUGAAUCGUAGAAAAAGGGAACAUAAAGUGAUAUAAAAGGUGUGACAACAACAAAGAACAGACUUACACUUAUUUGUUUCAAAUGACCAGAAAAGGUAGAAAGUGACUGCAGCAAAGAUUGUUCAUCACCAAUAUCAGCAUAAAUGUUGUCAAACCAAGGUAUGCGUGCAGAUUCAGUUGCUAGAACAUAAAGACCUACAAAAACCAUAACAAUCAUUUAAAUUGAUAUAGUAUUAAGUGACUGAAAUCUCUCUCUCUCUCUCUCCCAAGGGAUUUAUAUUUUUGGUGGAGUUUUGAAUUAACAGAAGAAAUUUUAAGUUUCAUAUGCCUUACCUGAUUUUGCCAUCAUCGCAGCGAGUCCAACUGAUUUCAAGCAAAUGGUUUUACCUCCUGUAUUUGGACCCGUAAUAACCAAAACUCUAGUGCCCUUAGAGAUCUGGAAAUCAGCUGGAAUUGGUGGAGUUCCUGAUAAUACUGUGUCUGCCUAUAAAAGCAACCAUGUAUAUAUUAACUUCACCUAAAACGCAUCAUCAAUCGACUCUAUGAUCAUAACAUUUGAGGAACUUACUGUUUUAUGAAAUUUUAUCGUCUCCCGCGUCUUUCUUAUGCCUUUCUUGUGUUGGUAAAGUAAUAGAGGAUGAUAACAUCUAGGUAGAUACAGCAACCACUCUUUUCUAGGAAGCGAUUUCUCACUGGAUAAGUUACUCUGCAGUGAGUUUUCUCCAGCGGACAAAGAUUCGACCCCAUCUUCAGGUGGCAAGUAUAUAUCAGGAUGUGCACCACCAUAUGCACGACUGUAAGUUGCUCGAGCGUUAAUCUAGGCGAAAAAAACAUACUAUAAAACCUCAUGUUUGGAAGCUCAUGUUCCUGAGAUUUGUCAUACUGAUUUUUGCUUCAAUGGAAAAAAAAAAAGUUGGUAUAAAAGCAUAAUUACCACAUCCAGCUGAAUCGAGUAGCUCAACACCACCUCGAUUUGAUAAAGAUCAUCUUGCAUCUGUUUUGCUUGCAUCAAAAUGAACAAAAAUGUCAACAAGCAGAAAACAAUAAGAAAGAAAAAUAUAGAAUUCUAACUUUAAAAAUUAAUACUCAAUUACCUUUUCUGUUAACAUUGAAAGAAUCUCUGCCUCAGCCUUUGCAACUGAUGCUCUCGCACUUUGAAGGUCAUCAUUCAUAGAGACCGCAGCUAUUGGCUCCGCCACAGUCCCUCCACCUGAACCACUGAAACACAUAUUACCUUCAAGAGAUAGAAUAUGAAAAUAAAUCAUUGAAAGAGAAGCAUAACUUCUCAAUAACUUGGUCAAUGGUAAUGAACUCUUUGUUAAUAAAUCAUUGAUAAAUUGCAAUCCAAAACUCUGAAUCUUCUUUGCUAACUGAAAUCUACAAAUUCAAUUUUACCUGGAAAGCAAAAGACCAUUAACAGAAGUUAGCUGAUUCGAGCUCAUUUGUAUACACCAUCUUCCAUCAAUUUCAGCCGCUACCUGGAAUUUUAUUUUGAAUAAUUAAUAAGACCAACUUCAGAAAAUGAAGAUUUGCUCAUAUACCUACACCACUUUAAGAGAAUGCUUACCAGGACAGAUUCGUCAUCCUUUUGGCUCCUUAUGAUAGCAUCCAGCAGUUGCUGCAGCUGAAAGGAGACCGCAUGAAGGUUUCAGACAAUAUUACUUAACAAAGUUAUCUUGCUCAAUACAUGUUUAUAUUUAAAGAACAAAAGUUAUCAAAGAAAACUCGAACUUUAUUUUGACAAUCUUCAAUUCACAGUUACAAAGAAAAAACUAUCUUGACCUUUCUUUCAAGUGUUUGUACUCGUUCACGUGAUUGUCUCAGGGCACUACUCUGAAACAAUAAAGAUGAGUUCAACAUAAGGAUCAUGCCUCUUCUCUUGACAAUGUAGUGAAAGCGAGACAAAGAACAAACCGCGGAAUCUUUGAUUGUACCAUCAGGAUCAAUAACUUGUUCAACCAACUUGACAAAUGAUCUAUUUAUCACAGGGUGCAUUAUCUGCAAACACAAAGUGAAUAUGAGGGAUCCACCACAAUGUUGAAGUUAAAAAACUAUCAAAAAAUUCGAGAGAAAACUGCAAAUACCAAUUCAGAUAGAGGCAUAAACCGUUUGUACCAAUCUCCAUCUUGCUUAAUGGCAGCUUUCAAAUCAAACUGCAACGUAUCGAAAAAUCGAAGAAGAGAAGCAAUUUCAAGUGCUUGGUCUGCUCGUAAGGAAAGCCUCCUCUUAGCAUGCCGAAUUCCCGAUUCAACCUUCACACAAAUCAAUAUCUACAUCAAAAACUACACAAUUCAUGCAACGAUCAUCACUUUAGAGAUUUAAGGAUGAUGAAAUUUACGAGGGAGAUAUGAAUACUGGAGAGGUCAAGACAGAAGGAACCAUGUUCAAGCAUUUUAAUGGCGGCAUCUGUUUCAUCCAAAAGCUUCAAACUUUCACUGAAACUCUGGUCAAGAGACCAAAGCUUUUUCUGAAGACCAACAAUGUAUGUGUCAAUCAAUAUAAAGCAGGGAAUCAACGGCUACAGAGAAAACCCAAAAAAAAAAAUCAAACCUUUGUAGCUUCACGACCUAAAGAAGUACGAGCAAAAGAAGCGACAACAUCACAGAGCUUGUCCCAUUCCAAUACCCUCAAGCUAUCGGUUUGAGAUUUAGACUUUGAACGGCAAACAAGAGUCGGAGAAGAAGACGAGAUUAAACUCAAAUUUACUCUGUUUCUGUUUCUGUUUCCGAUAGAGUUUCUUAUCACUAAGGCACAGUUGUUGCAGAAAGCUAAAGUCUGCAUUUUUAUUUUCCCUUUUGGUUUUGCAGAGAAGAAUUUGUAUCAGAUCCAAUUUCAAUGAAUCCAAAAUUUCCCAAUUUCAUCAUAUUUUAUAACCUUAUCUUCACAAAACGGAAAAUGGAAGUUUAUGAUGUUUAAGAUGAUUUGGGAAAGUUAAAAUUAAUAACUUUACCAUGACUUAGAACUGAGAAAGAUAGAACCAUAAGAUUAAUAUGUGAAAGAUGUUUCAUAGGAGGAGGUAACACAAAUCACAACAAGUCAAUUGUUUCAUUAACGUACAUGUGGUAGCAAUAGCAAUACAACAACAGUGGUGAGAAACAUAUACAUAUUACAGAUUUGGGGUUUUGAGAAAUGAAAAUGCGAAAGAAUCAAAGGGUUACAAGAGGCUCUUCGUUGGUUUUGGUAUCAUUGGCUGCUACAACAGCCUCCUCUUGUUUUGUUGGCUCAGUCUCCUUAACAGUUUCGACGACAGCUUCUUCGGUCUUCACCGCCUCUGGAGCUGGCUCAGCCUCAGCAGGCUUGGCUUGCUCAACCUCCGCAGGCUUGGCUGCCUCAGCCUCGGCAGGCUUAGCUGGUUCAGCCUCGGCCGGCUUGGCUGCCUCAGCUUCCUUCUGUGUCUCUGCUACAUCUCCAGCAGACUCUUCCUUCUUCUCUGCAACAACUUCAUCUGCCUUCUCCUGUAAAAUCAACACAACAAUCACACAUCUUUCACCUAAAACAUAGACAAAAUGGAUAAAAAGCGAUCGUCUCUAAUGAACUUGUUCUACAAACCUGAGGUAUGGUUUCGGUUUCAACGUUCUUGGACUCGACAACAGUCUUUUCGGUUUCAGGGAUAUCAGAUUCCUUAGGUUUGCUCGCACAGCCUCCCAUGGUGUUUAAAGAAAGAAAUCGGUUUGAAACGAAAACAAAUUUACACAAUGGGAAGAACUGUGGAGCUAAAAGAUGAAACUCCUUUUUCUGAUUCCUUUCAAGAAGCCAAAACUGUCUGUUUUUUUUUUUCCUUAUUAGAGGCUGAGCAAAUGUAGGAGAAGACAACAAAGAGAUAUAUAUAGUGGUUUGUACCAACACAACACAACACAAAGCUAUUUCAGGAAAAAGACUAAAAAUUUCAUGUCACCUCAGAUUCUUUAAGGCUCUUCUCUGUCAACGACCUAUUCAUCAGGAGAGCAAACAAACCUUAUUCUCAACCCCUCUUGCGUUUUUGGUUUUAGCCAAAAACUCUUCCUGUGCCAAUUAGAUUCUCGACAAUACCAACAAAAUAGCAAAAGAAAACAUAACAAGAGUUGGAUAUUAAUAUAAAGAUAACAAGAGCCAACAUUUAAAGACCAAAUCUGGUGCAAAAACUCUUUCAGAAAUUUGAGAUUAGAUCUGUCUUCUAGUUUGCAAAAUGGUUAUAAAGUACGAUAACUGUUUCUCAUAUGAAGAAAAGAAUAACUGAAAAUGGCUAUAAGCCUGCACAAGUCAAAAGAAUUUUUGUUCCCUAGGUUCAGCUUCUAUGAAAGUUUGGCAACAACCAUGUCGGUAGAGGAUUCUACUCCUGAAGUUUCUGUGAAAGCACUGUUGGGACCUUUGUUGACAAGCCUUUGUACAUUGUUAAAGCUUGAGCGAUCAUGCCAGCAGGAUUGUCAACAGAACUUGGAAGCAGCAUUGUUGUACCCUAACAAGAACAAAAAAUACAACUCUGUCAGAUUAUCCCAAGGGACGACGACAUUAGAAAAGUAGAUGGGAUCCAGUAAUGUUGUGCUUACCUCCUUAGCAAUUUUGCCAAAAGCUUGAAUGUAUUGCUCCGCAACUCUCAAACUUGCAGCCUGCAAUAUCACACCACAAUUAAGCAUAUGAGGUUCUCAUUUGGAAAGCAAAACAAAUAAACUUAAUAAGAGUCAACAUUUGCAAGUCCAAUAAGCCACUGAAAUCUCUAUUCAAAAUCUAGAGAGAAUCAUUUAUGGGAAAACAGGGUAGAAGACAUAAUGCAUUCGCAUUUGAAGGGUUAAAAGUAGCAAUAAACACCUAAGUAUUAACUAACAAUUUGAUAAAACAGUAUCAACACCUAUGUAAUCAAGUUAGCUCAUUUAUCUCAAUAUUCUGGAAAUCAUGCUUAGAAACCACAGCUUGAUCUAAGGAACUCACCUCCGCUCCACCAGCUUCCUUGAGGGAUUGAGAUACCAUGGCCAGUCCCUUGGCUGUUGCUUGUGCUCUAGCUAAUAUUGCUUCAGCCUCACCUGGAUCGAUAGCAACAGCAUAAAUAAGUAAAAAUGUUAUGGUAAAACAUACUGAGUCAGUUAUGAUAUGAGUUUAACAGACGAAUGGCUCCACAUCUUAUUAUGAUGAGUUCAUGUUUUUCAACCUUAAAUGCUUACUAGAUACUAACCUUGUGCACGAUUGACUUGGUCCAUCUUUGCAGCUUCUGAUUCCAAGAUUACAGAACUUUUCUUACCAUCAGCUCUAUUGAUAUGGGCUUGGCGUUCUCCUGUUAAAGUUAGUAUAGCAGAUUAUGAGAAACAAAUUGAGCAGGCUUUAUUCUGUUCAAAUUGUAAAGAAAACGAAAAGGGAAAUGGGUUGCUUUGAGCCAAGAAUUUGAACGAAAUGAGCACAUAGUUCAAUCCCAGAACAUAAUCUUCCAAGGAUAAGCAAAGCAAAUUUACCUUCAGACUCAAGAAUCUGGGCUCUCUUUUUACGUUCAGCUUCAGCUUGCAUUUCCAUAGCAACUCUCACUCCAUUAGGAGGCAUGAUAUCCCCUGUGGACAUACAUAUAUUAGAUAUAGGCCUAAAGGGUAUCCAGCUAACACAAGCAUAGAUUCAACAAAAAAAUAACUCACUGAUCUCAUAACGAAGGCACUGAAGACCCCAAUCUUUUGCAGCAACAUUGAUGGCUUCCUGCAAGAAUAAAUCCAUUUCAACAUGUUCAGAUGCUUGCAGUAUCAACUCUUAUCUAACAAAAGUAAACUCAAAUAGCCAGCUAUCAUGAAAUGAACAACAACAAUCUGAACUUGCAAUCUUAGGUAGUAAUAUAACACCCACUACAAAUUCACAUUAACAUCACCCACUACAAUUUAAAACAAAGCUCAAGUACAUUAAAGCAAACAAACAAAAAACUGAACCAGAAACAAAGAAGCAAAGACAACAUACCACAAUCUUCUCAUUGAGAGUGUCCCGUUCCUCAAAAGUCUUGUCAAGAGUAAUUUUCCCGAGCUCACUACGCAUUGUAGUCUGAGCCAACUGCAUAACAGCAUAGAUUGGAUUCUCAACGCCAUAAGAAGCCAACUUAGGAUCCACAAUCUGCAAAAAACUCAAUAUCAAUGACAAAUCAACAUAAGAAUAGCAAAAGUUAUACAAAAUUGGCCCGAUGAUCUGAAACGAAGAUAAACCUUAACGUAGAGAACACCAUCGAUAUGGAUGCUAACGUUAUCCUUUGUAAUCGCAGUCUGAUUACCAAUAGGAAUCGCUUCUUCCUUUAGAGAAUGAACAUAAGCAAUACGAUCCACAAACGGAACAAGGAAGUGAAUCCCCGCCGGCAAAGUCGUGUGGAAUUUACCAAACCGCUCAAUCACACAAGCUUUCCUCUCCGGCACGAUUCGGAUUCCCCAGUUAGCCGGCGGAUUAAUGUGGUAGCUACAAAAAAUAAUUCCAGCGAAGAUCCGUUAAACCUAACCGAUCAAAUCCAACAGUUUCUACUGAAAAUCUGAACUCAAAUCGAAAUUUCACAAAGCGUAUAUAACGAAAUCAUUAGGUUUAAAUACCUGUUGAAAUCACUGCUGGGAGAUGAGAAGUUACGGACGCCGGAAAGUUGUUGCGGCGGAGUAGCGGCAGAGGAUUGAUGGAGAAGCCUGGAGGCGAAGGAUUUUGGCGGCGACGGCUUCUUGGUUAGGUAGCUACAAAAUAAAACGAAUCAAUACUAAGAUUCUUAUCCGAAAUCUGCAGUCCAAUCCGUUCAAAUUUCACAGAAUGUAUACGAAAUCGUAAGCUUAAAAGACCUGGUGAGAGGACUUCCGGUAGAGCUGAAGUUACGGACGGUGGUGGUGGUGGAUGCGGCGGAAAGGGAGGAUAUGAUCUUCGGAACAGCUGCGGAAAGUAGUGGGAGGAACUUAACGGCGGCCGUGUAACCGCCGGAUCUUGAAAGCGCGAGUUGAUUCAUCGUUGAAACUGUGUAACUAACUCUGUGAACUUGGAGAAGGGGAAAUUAAAACCCAGAGAAAAACCUCUUAAAUCUUUCUUUUUUUAAUUGAAAUGUUUCUUCAACAUUUUUAUUCGACGGGUUGACUUAUAUAUAAUAAUAAUAAUUUACUUGAAGAAGAGGUUUAAAAAAAGAAUUGUCAAGUAAAAAAGAAAAUACUUGGAGAAGGGUCAAAAAGAGGUCUUCUUUUUUCUUUCGUGCUUAUCACGAAUUUGUAUAGGCUAAUAAAAAACCCUAAGACUUGAUGAAUAAACCUGUAUUAUGUUGUCUAAUUAUAAGAUUACGACAUGUGUUAAUUAUAAGAUAGGAUUAUCACAUGUGUAAAGUAUAAGUUUUAUAAGAUCUUACAUUGGAAAAAACAUACUAUAAAAUAUAAAUUGGGUAAAAAUAUAUGACAAGAUUUGAAGAAUUUUAUUAUAUAAAGCUUCUUUUUUCGAUGUGUUUAAAAAACUAACUUUCCUUUUUUUUUUAAAUGUGUUCAACAUUUUGGUAGUUUAGUAGAAAAAAAAUGUUCGACUUAGUUAGUUACCAUAAUUAAACUUCUUUUCCUUUCUCUAAAAUUUCGUUCUUUUACAAACAUAACGAAAAUAUGCAGAUGCAUAAACAUCCGUUCAUUAAAGUUUUCUUUAAUUUUCUUUCUACACUUAUGAACAAAAGUACAUAACUAAAUUUUGAUUUCUCAUACAAAAAUUGUGGUUAUCUUUUUGUUCUCUUUAUUUUGAAUAUCAACCAAGCAAAAAAAAUGAGUAUGAGAUUUUUUUUUUUUUUUGAAGUAUGAGAGUUCGAUAUCAGUAAAAGAAUCAAGGAUGUUUAAUAUUUAGAUCUAAAUUACAUUUUCAAAAUUUUCAAUAGGUCACAAGUCACAAUCAUGUUGGAGGAGUCUGGCUACGGAGGAGAGAAUAUAUAAAAUGUUUUGUCCCUAGCCCAGAAUGAUGUAUGGACUUUAAAAGCCCAAACGUUUCUCAAUUACCAACUUUUCUUUAAAUAUGUUUAAAACUGAUUUCAAUGCAAUUCGAAGACCAUAUAAACUGACAUUUUUACUAAUUCCUAAGUUUAAAGGUAUAUGAUUGGUUUCAAAUCUUUUUUUUUUUUUUUUGUCGUGACUGGUUUCAAAUCUUUUAAAUCGCACUUAUUCUAUUAUUAGUAAUAACAUACAUACAUUCAUAGAAUUUCAUAUACCAAAAACACAAUUUUUAGCUAAUCCAAAAGUCUACAUGAUGACUUGUUUUCAGAUGUGAUAUACUCCCUCCGUUUCAAUUUAGUUGUCGUUUUAGGAUUUAAAUUUUGUUUCAUAAUAGUUGUCGUUUUAGGUUUUCAAUGCAAAUGUUUGGUGAAAAUUCCAGUUUUAUCCCUACUGUUUUAAUGUUUUGACCAAUGAAAUUUUUUAUAAAAUAUAUUAAUAAAGGGUAAAACAGAAAAUUUAAUGUUUUUCUUAAUUUGUGUGCAAAAACCUUAAACGACAACUAAAACGAAACGGAGGGAGUAUAUAUAAACCUCUUACCAACCAAAUGCACACAACAACGAAUCAAAAUUUAAUUCACAACCAACCAAUUACGACUGAUUGCCCACACAGCUGUGGUCCAGUGGUUGUUGAGAAUUGGGGAAAUAUUUGAAGGAACUAACCCAGGUUCGAUCCACGAUGGAAACAAAAAACACAUUUGUGUGGGAAGUUUGGGCUUAGACCUUUGGCCCAAGCAGUUUACCUAUUAGUCCAGUAACAGGCGAUCUGGCUACCCUUGGCAUUAGUCGGAAAGCAUUUCAAACUCGGGACAGACAGUGUGGUGGCCCUUUCGGAGAGAAGUCCACUCUGAAACACUUCGAUGCGUUUCUACCGAGACUGACCGGAUCAGCCGAUAGGAUUUAUCAAAAAAAAAAUUAUCAGUGAUUUUCAAUUCCAUUGUCAAACUCGUUUUCACACCAAGUUACACGGACUUAACAAAAACUUAUAAACUAACUAAAAAUAAUAAAUUCAUCUAAAAUCCGAUUUAAAAAAAAAACACAUGUGACCCUCUCGCAGACGCAGAAGUAAAACGCCAAAAGAAAACGCCAUUUUUUGUCGAUUCUUCGUCGUCCUUCUUUGAAAUUCACACCAAUUUGUCUCUCUUCCUAGAGAAACAAAGAUUAUUCGAAACUCGUGAAAGUUUGUUCUCCGGUCACCGGAAAAUUGAUUAUUUCCGAUGGCGACCGGUGAUCAAAAUCCGAGUGUGGAUAAGAAGAAGAAGAAUCUCUUCAGGCUAUGUCCGUUUUGGCAGAGGAGAAGAAGCACUACUUCUUCAUCUUCGUCUUCAACACAGAAUCCAAACCAAAACUACCGUAGCCGCCAUGGACAUCGGAAUACAGAUAUUUCCGCCGUCUCUAAGUCUUCCUUGACUAUGUCUUCCGUUGCGAGAUCACUUCUUCCAGCUCGCCGUCGUCUCCGACUAGAUCCUUCAAGUUAUCUGUAUUUCCCUUGUACGUCGUCUCCGAUUUAGCUUGAUUUCGAAAUAGUUUAGUUCUCUGGAAAUUGAUUGAUUUGGUUCUGGAUUUCUGUUUGUUUUUGUAGUUAGAAAAAUCGAAGUUAUGAACAUAGAAUUCUUUAGAAGCUCUACAUUUUUGGAUUUCCAUUUUUAGAGAACGAAGUUAGAAAUUGUGCUUUGUGUUUUUUUCAGAUGAACCUGGUAAACAAGUGCGUAGCGCAAUCAAGCUUAAGAAUACUAGCAAAUCUCAUACUGCAUUCAAGGUAAUGGAGUUUUAUGUAUCUUUCACUUCAAAUUUGUGGUUCUUGAUUCUCGCAUUUGAUACUUAUUUGAGAACAAGUUAAGCAAUUGCAGAGAAGUUGACUCUUUGUUGACUUUAGUAAUUGGUGCUUUUCCAUCUAAGUUACUCUGUAUCUUCUUGUUUAGUUCCAAACAACGGCACCUAAAAGUUGUUAUAUGCGUCCUCCCGGUGGUGUUUUGGCUCCCGGAGAGAGUGUUUUUGCUACUGGUAACGAGAUUCUGGAAAUCUUUGGUUCUGUGUACUCUUAACUAGUUUAUACAGCCUCUGAUUUUUGCUUCUUGUUUAUGUUCAAGUGCAGUUUUCAAGUUUGUGGAACAUCCAGAGAACAAUGAAAAACAGAAGUUGAACCAGAAGAGCAAGGUUAAGUUUAAGAUUAUGAGCCUGAAAGUUAAACCAGGAGUAGAGUAUGUGCCUGAGUUGGUAUGUUAUCUCGCUCCUUUCUAGUUCUUAUCAGUUUACUAAAAAGUCCAUUGUUGGAAGCAAUUUUAUUCAAUCUUAGAAUAUGUUUGUAGUCAUAUAUGACACUUAUAGGCUGGAACAUUGCAAUUGGUGAAUAGUUUCUCAAAGGAUAAGCCCUCUCUGUCUCAGAGAGUCUUAAGCAUAAGUCCAUCGAUGAUGCAUUUUUCGGUGUUUAUUGUGCAGUUUGAUGAGCAAAAGGAUCAAGUAGCAGUGGAGCAGGUUCUUCGGGUCAUUUUUAUUGAUGCGGACCGCCCGAGUGCUGUAAGUUCUUUAGUAGAUUUUCAUGCUAAUAUGACCACAUAUACUCUAGAUUCUAUAGUUUGAACAUUUCAUAAGGAGAAUUACGAAGUAAUGAAUCAGGCAUUGGAGAAACUGAAACGUCAAUUGGAUGAAGCUGAAGCUGCAGUUGAAGCAAGAAAGAAGCCUCCCCCAGAGACAGGGCCUCGAGUGGUCGGGGAGGGUCUUGUCAUAGACGAAUGGGUAAAAGAUAAUUAUACCUAUAUAAGAUCUAAAAUCUUUGGUUUGUUCAUUGUUGUACCUUCUUUCUCCCAUUUAUUCACCAAUGUUUGUGUCAUCUAUCAGAAGGAGAGAAGAGAGAAGUACCUUGCUCGGCAACAAGUCGAAGCCAUAGAUUCUUCAUCCUAAAAAGCAGAGAGCAAUGUGGAUUUGUUAUACGCUUAUAGCAGAGGUAAAAGAAGCUCUUUCUUCUUCUUUUUCUUUAUCUUCUGCGGAUGUACAUAAUUUAUUAUCCCUCGAUUAUCUCUAGACGAUUUGUACUUUGUUGUUCUUGUAUGUCUCUGUUUGUUGUGUGAUUCACGCUGCUUUUUUCUCCUUCAUCAAAAUUUGUUUCGGUUUAAUCGAAUUCCGUUUGUAGUUGAUCUAGAAUGGAACCAAAAUUUGUUCAGUAUUUUGUGGUUUUGUGGUUUUGAAUAAGUUUAGAAUAAGAAUGAUGGGUUUUGUGGACAAAAAAGUUUCCCUAACCAUGAUCAAUUUGAUUGGAACAUUACACAAGCCAAAGUAUAAAUUUGUUUUGGAUGAUAGGCUACCAUUUUUUGAUAUGUCAAUUGUCACCAUGCUUAUUUUAGUUUUAAAGUUCUUUUCUAAUUUUAUCAGACUCCAAAGGUCCACAAGAGUGACCUAUAAAAGACUGAUACCCACUAAUACUAAAAGACAUAUACCCAAAUACUGAGUUUGAUGUGUUGAUAAAUUUUCUCCUUGCAUUCAGAAACUAUGAUAUUCUUAUCUACUGGCCCAAAGAAUUUGUGGACUUACUAACUGAGUUUUUUUGAAGACACGAUUAUAGAAAACGUUAUUGCACUUUCUUUCAUCGUUUAGUUAAUCAAUUUCAGCUGGUUACGCUAAUCUAGUCUAUCAUAUAGUGAAAAGUAACUUUAUUAAUUUUCUAUAAAUAAUAAUCAUGAGAUUAACUGAAUAAGAAUAGCCGCCAAAAAAAUGAGAAUAAUAUUGUUCUUAAACCUUUGAAAACACGUAACUCUAACCAUUUUUUUUUGUCUUUGUACGCUAAACUCUUCUAAUCCCAUUCUCUAACAAUAGCUAGAAACAAGAAGAUUCAAUGUAGCUCUAUUUAACUAGCGUUCGAAAAUAUCAUAUUUGUUUGUAAUAGCAUACUUUAUUAAACAAUCAAAUCACUUGUAUGAAAUGAGAUAUAAGAUUCACGUGGUAUAUCAAAUUUGGAACAAAGAGCUUAAUUAAAAGUUAAAAGCACAAAAAAAUCUAAAGUUAGAUAUGUUAAUAUUCUUUUAUUAGAAUAUUUUUAUUCGGAAAAAAGGGGGAAGAAAAAUCGACUCGUGGAUAUUAUGAAGGAACAAAGACAAUUAGAGGUGUCUUUUGAUUUUCUUGUCGCUUUAUGAAAGCUUUCGGCCAAUUGCGCACAAUCAACAAUUUCUCUUCAGUUUUUAUCUCUCCUUUUUUAACUUCAAAUUUAGUCUCAUCAAAAGGACAAAAGAAUAUAUUUUUAUAUCAAACUUAAAAUCACUUAAGAUAAAAGAAAAAAAAUCAUUCAAAAAAUGAAAAAUAAAUAAAUAAAAUAAGAAUUUUUUAAUAUAAAAUUAAAAACAUCGAAAGAGAGAUGAUUAUUUCUAUAUAUACUUUUACCAAAUAUAUAUCUAAAUCUAACAUAAUAUUUUAUUUCAUGCAUAUAUUCGGGGGAAAUAAAUUGUGUUUAAUAUUACGUGCUUAAAACGUAACUAGAUCAUUAAGCUAAGACUUGUAAAACACGUACAUCAUAAUUCAUAAAUGAUUAGAUUAUGAAUAAUAAUCAACGUAUAUGGUUAGUAAGUCGAUUAAACAAAAUUAGAAAAAGAGAAAGAAAAAAAAAAACCGUUUACGGCAGUGUUUUAAUACCGCAAAUUAGUUUUUAACACAAUUUAAGAAAAAUUAGCCUAACAAAUAAAAAGUUUAGUGACUCUGUCACUGUCUCUUAAUCCGUCACUGAAUUAGUAUCCGUUGCAACUUCUAUAAUCCUAUAACAAAUAAACUGUUUUUAAUUAUUGUAUCAAAAACUUCAACUAUAUAAACCGACACAACUUAAACAAAGAUCUCGACCAGAACGUCUACAACGCAUAAUUAUGUCCAUGCAUUGUUUUUUUUCUUUUCAUAAAAAGAUAACAAUAAAGACUUUACUAAUUACUAUAAAACUAAUUUAACAACAAAUCGUAUCUCAAUUUCAUGAAAAAUGGCCGAAAGAAAUAAAACAUGGACCCGCCCAUCGAAUCGUGCGUUAAUCAAAAGCAAUAUUCAUUAUCAUUAAAUAAAUAUUCAUUGACCCUUUUUAAAAAAGGUUAACGAACAAAUUCAGGAAAUAAAAAUAUUUAUUUUCCGAAUCUAUAUAACAAAGUGCUUCACCACCAUAAACACAUUCACUACAUGCAGAAGUCACGUAUAUAUUAAUGUUCAUGAACUCUUAUCCUCAAAUAGCCUAAGCCUCAAAUUAAUCGCUAAAAAAGUUUCUAAUUUUGGGUUUAAUUUUUGUUUCGGUUUUUAAUUAAUCGAUACUCAAAAAGAAUUCGAAAGAGCGGUCACGACGUUUCAUAGAGAAUCGUCAUCUUCUUCUUCUUCGGUUUUGUUCUCUCCUUUUUUUGAUUUUCACCGCCGGAGAUUUUGUAUUUUCCGAUUUAUAAAUUUUAUUCGCCGGCGGUUUAGAGAUAAUGAAGGGGAGGAUAUCAAAAAUAGGAAGCUAUGCAAUCUCAUCUUCCAUUAGAGAUCAACAUCAGCAGCAACCUUGUAUUUCUUGUACUACUUUCAACAUCCUUGCUCCGAUCUAUAAACGUCUCUCUCACAAGGUACUUUUUGUUCUUCUUCGUUAAUCAAUCUCUUGAUUUUGAUGUUUUUGAGGAUUUUUGAAUUUUUUGUGGAAAUGUAGGAUCAAAGUCUUCGUGAAAGCGAUAAUCGAGCGUAUUGGCUUGGAAGGAAUCAUAGAAUCCUUGAUUGGUUAUUGUAUGAGAGAUCUUCAAUCAUAUGUUUACAGGUGUUCGACGAAAUUCCUCAAUGAAGAUGUGAAUUGUGUUUUGUGUUCUGAUUUUUGAUUUUUUAUAGGAGUUUUGGGUAGGCAAUGAAGAGCUUGUUAAUUUAUAUGAGAAGAGACUUGGUGACGCUGGUUAUUUAAGUUACAAGCUUGGUCGUACUAAUAAUCGUGGUGAUGGUAAUUUUUUUGUGAAUCUUCUUCUUUGGUUUUUUUUUUUUAUGUUGUUUCAAAAGGAUUUGAAUUUCUGAAUUUCUGUGUUAAUAGGUUUGCUUACUGCUGUUCAUAAGGACUAUUUUAGAGUUGUGAACUCGAGGGAUUUGCUCUUUAAUGAUUGUGGUGAUCGAGUUGCGCAGUUGCUACAUGUAGAAUUAGUUCCUCCUUACUCUCAGUAUGAUGCUCAUCAAGAAGUUUUGAUUGUGAAUACUCAUUUGUUGUUUCCUCAUGAUUCAACAUUGUCUAUAGUAAGAUUGCAGCAGGUAGACUUCUGACCAACUCCAUUGUCAUUGUGCGGAUGAUUUUGUAGCUUUCUUCACAAGAUUUUUGUUUUGAUAGGUAUAUAAGAUUCUUCAGUAUGUAGAAUCUUAUCAGAAGGAAGUUAAUCUCAGUCCUAUGCCUAUUAUUCUUUGCGGGUAACUACCUUGUUUAGAUUGUACAUUUUCAUGGUUCGAUAUAAGGAACAGUACUCAAAUUUCUCUGCUUCUCUAUUUGUGUCUUUGUUAGCAGAGAUUGGAACGGAAGUAAGCGAGGGCAUGUCUACAAGUUUCUCAGGUCACAGGGUUUUGUGUCUUCUUAUGACACUGCUCAUCGGUACACAGAUUCAGAUGCUCACAAGGUCACUGUCUUUCUUCAUAUGGCGAAUACUUUUGGGUAUGCUGUAGAUUUUUUCGAUGUUAUAAAUUGGCGAUCGGGAUUAUGAAACUGUUGUUAUCUUUGGUUUAACAGUGGGUAAGCCACCGGAAUCAUCGGGGUAACAUAUGCGCUGUCGAUUUCAUAUGGCUUUUAAAUCCAAAUCGGUAUAGAAAGCUGCUAAAAACAAGUUGGAGCGAGGCAGUGUUUGGCAUGUUCAGGGUGAGACUCUCCUCAAUUGUGUCUUAUCACAAGCUUUCAUAUCUUAGUGAAUUUCACUGUCUUUUUAACAUUAACCUAGACUUUACCAGCGAAGAAAAAUGUCUCUUCGUUUACAAUUCUUGUCUAAAUGAUUUCUGGGAACGGUAUUGUUUUCUGGUUUCUCCCUGUAACAUCAGAACAUUUGUGAUAUGCAGUAUCUACUAAGAAGAGCUUCACUAACAGCUGAAGAUGCUUUUGCUUUUCUGAAAACUGACAAUGAUGGUGACCACAUUACAUUCAUGGGCUUCUGUGAGACUCUUCGGCAGGUAUAUAGAAUUUGUAACGCAGUUAAUCAUAUUCUUAUGACUCCUUUAUUCAGCUUAAUGUUCACAGAGUUUUCUCUUUCUUAAUUUCCUUCUCUUUCUCUAUACAGCUCAAUCUAACAGGUCAUUGCAAUGGACUAACGACAAAAGAGAUCAAAGAUUUGUGGAUUCAAGCUGACAUUGAUGGAAACGGUCUUCUGGAUUACAAGGAGUUUCAGGUAAUAUGUUUCUUCAUUAGACUCCUCUCUCUAGAUUACAAUGAAUUUUCUAGUAGUUUGAGUAACAAUAGCUGAACAUAAUCACAAGUGAACAUCUAGACUUUUAAAAUUAAGAGAUUCAGUAAUGCUAAUAGCAUCUAAAACCCUUGUUCUUGCUCUUGAAACCACACACAUGUUGCUCAAUGCUUAUGUAACACAUUGCAGCAAAGAAUAUGGAACCAAACCUGGUCAGAACAAAGAGAUGCAGAGGACGGAGAAGCAAAAGGUAACCAGGAACAAACCGUUGGAUUCAGUGUCAAGAACGCGGUUCUGUUUCCACCUGAAGUUGAAAAAGGAAUGUGGCCAGAAAAUUACUCUCUAUCAGAUCACGCGAGACUCACCGUUGUAUUCUCACCCAUAAGAAUGCCUUGCUCUCAAUUGGUUUCAUGACAAAAACACUCACCAAGCAAACUUUAGCUUCUUCCAUUUAAAGAGACCUCUGAGUUUUGGUGACCCCUUACAGAGAAGUAAACCUAAGCUCUGUGUCCAUUGGAUCGGCUUGAAUGAUCUCACUUUGCGGUUACUGCGUUGGGGGGGAAGAAGAGAGAAAGAGGACUGAGGUCAAUAAAUUUUUACUCUGUACAAAAACAUGUAAACUAAAUAUAUAGCUUCAUGUAAAAAAAUGUUGUAGUAGAGAUUUAAGAAGCAGCUUUUUCAUUUCUGAUUUUGCUCUUUUUUUGGUUUUAUUUUUGCAAUUUAAUUAACUCCAGAGACUUUCAUAGAGAGAUUGUUAGAUAGAAAAUUAAAUCAACAUAGUGCAUUUUCUUAUAUAUUAAUCUUUUUUUAAAAAACAAGAAAAAUAAUGCCGCCAAAAAAGAGGAAUAAAUUAUUUCGGAAAUUAAUAAAAAUAUCAAAAAAAAAAAAGGAACAAGUUUCAAUCUUUGGAUUGGUGCUUCACUUAGCCACCAAGUGUGUAACUUUCAGGUCAAUUUUCCGAUCAUAGCUUUUUAGGGUUCCGUUGACUUCAAAUUGACAUGGCUAAUUCCUCAAUCUCAGCUCUUCUUCUUCUUAUCCUUGUAAUCGCUAGUUCCGUCAAUGGAGGAGAUCAAGAGUAUUCACGUCAAUUGCUAACAGAAGCUUUGGGUGAUAAAGAAUGGUUAGUCUCUAUAAGAAGACAAAUCCAUGAAAACCCAGAACUCCUUUUCGAGUUACACAAAACCAGUGCUCUGAUUCGUCGCGAGCUUGAUGAAUUAGGGGUUUCUUACUCUUACCCGGUUGCGAAAACCGGAAUUGUAGCUCAAAUCGGAUCCGGUUAUCCUCCGGUUGUUGCUCUCCGUGCUGAUAUGGAUGCUCUUCCCUUGCAAGUAAACUCGAAUCUCUCUCUCUCUCUGAUUGUGUGUUAAUUUCUUCGUAAUUCUUCUAUAGAUUGAUUUGCUGCGAUUCAGGAACUUGUUGAGUGGGAUCAUAAGAGCAAAAUCGACGGAAAAAUGCAUGCUUGUGGUCAUGAUUCACACACCACCAUGCUCCUUGGUGCUGCUAAAUUGCUUAGCAAACGUAAACAUAAGCUUAUUGUAAGCUUUCUCUUCUUUAUUCUUAAGUUUGGUUGAAGUAAAUUUGUGGGAUUAGCUUAGCAAACGCAAAAGGAUGAAUCUUGUAUUGUCUUGUAUGUACAAUUAGUUUGUUGUUUGCCACAAAAAGGAUGAAUCUUUCUUUGUUUUGGUCUGAUUUAGAGAAUGUUGUAGCUGUAAUUAUGUUUGCUUUGCUUAUAGAAAGUGUUUAGUCUACUUGUUGUGAAUGAAAGAUUACUCUUUUUGCUUAAUCAAAAGGGAACUGUGAGGCUUCUUUUUCAACCAGCAGAAGAAGGUGGUGCUGGUGCUUUUCAUAUGAUAAAAGAAGGUGCUUUGGGUGAUUCUGAAGCAAUAUUUGGGAUGCAUGUUCAUACUGGCUUACCUACAGGAGAAUUAGAAACAAUCUCGGGUCCUGUUAUGGCAUCCACAAGCAUUUUCAGUGUAAGAAUAAGUGGAAUAUUACCGGCUUCUUCGGAGACAUAUGCUUGUGUUGAUCCGGUGUUGGCUGCAUCAUCUACCAUCUUAGCAUUGCAACUUAUAGUCUCCAGAGAAGUAGAUCCUCUCUUAAGCCAUGUAUGUUGUCUACUUUUCCAUUCGAUAAAACUAACGGUUGUUUAUGCAUAUAGAUCUUACUAUUUUGCAAUACCAAAUCUUAAGUCUUUCUGGUGCUAAAAGUUCAUAGUUUUGGUUUUAGGUGCUGUCUGUUACAUUUAUGAAAAGUGGCGGUUCUGAGUUUGAUGUGAUUCCGGCAUAUGUAGAAUUUGGGGGAACUUUGAGGAGUCUUACAACUGAUGGCAUGAACUUGUUGAUAAAGCGGUUGAAAGAGGUAUGUACACGUGGUUUCGAAACAACCUUUGAGUAUUCGAUGCAGAGAAAAAACCGAAAUUUGGUUUCGAAUAUCUUAUGGAUCUUAAUCUCAUCUUUUCCCUGAUGAUCAAUUUCAACCUUAAAAGUAAUUUAUUGUUCAAAAGAUUUUAUUGAUUUUGACUCCUGAAUCUCGUUACUAUGAUCUAGUAAAGCUUUCAUAGGACAAAGGCAUUGCUAUAUACAAGAUCUCUUCCAUGAUACACAAUCAUGAAUGUUCAAAUGUAAUGUAAUCUUCAGUUCGAUUUUCAAGCCAGAGCUAACCCGAUUGUUGCUGACAGGUGGUUGAAGGAGAAGCUGAAGUUCAUAGAUGCAAAGUGGAUAUAGAUAUGCAUGAAGACGAUCAUCCUAUGUAUCCAGCAACAGUGAACGAUCACAAGCUACACGAAUACGCUGAAAAAGUUUUGAAACUCUUGCUUGGACCCGAGAAAGUGAAACCGGGUGGCAAGGUAAUGGCGGGUGAGGAUUUUGCUUUCUAUCAACAAAAAAUACCCGGUUACUAUCUAGGGAUCGGUAUCAGAAACGAAGAAAUCGGUUCUGUACAUAGCGUUCAUUCGCCUUAUUUCUUCCUCGACGAGAAUGUGCUUCCCAUUGGAUCAGCAUCGUUUGCUGCCUUAGCUGAGAUGUAUCUACAAGAGCAUCGGAAUCAAACUAAGUCUGGAGAUUGAGAAAGUACUAAAGAAAGCUUUAGAUCUAAGUCUCUUAGUUAGUUGCCUUCAUAAGUAAAUGCUAUCUUUAUGAAAUUACAACUUCAAGAAAUCAAUUGUGGUUUAAUAAAAUUGUAAGUAAUGGGUCUCACAUUGUAUGUGUCUGAGUCAUCCAAAACGAUGCAGUUUGAUUUUGAGAUACCGACAAAAAAAAGCAGGUAAAUUUUUAUGAUAAUAAUAAGCAAAUGAAGUGACAUUUGAACCUAUCCUAAUGACUACAAAACAAUCACAUUUGUGAAUAUAUUUAUAUUUCCAAUUUGUCUAUUUUGAUAAAGCAAAUAAAUUAUCAAACAUAGGGAGCAUAUUAGUCAGUAGAAAAGCAAAAAGCAGCAUUCAGUCUCUAUAAAUCUAAGCAAAGUAAGAGCUUUCUUUUGUAUUUUUAUAAACUUUAAUUUGCCUUUUUCCUAAAAAAACAAAAACUAGACAAGAUAAAGAUGAAUGAGUCAUAUGACUCUAAAAAAGAAAGGACAAAAAGUGAUGGAUUAGUUUAAAUAAUUUUCAUCUAAACCAAAAGACAAAAAGUGAUGACAAAAAUGGCUAAAAGUCUAAGUAACACGACAAUCGAGCUCAACAACAUGCACUUCAUCUUCUGCAUCUAUAUUAUACUUCUUAUGUUCCUCUAGUUUGAUGUUUUGAUGUUUUGUAUGAACAUCAUUAUUACUUUUAUUUGAGACCAACAGAAAAAGGAGAAAAGUAGAAUUAACAUUAUUAAACUAACAAACAAAAAAAAUAUAAAUAUAUAUAUAUAUUUUUUUAAAUUGUGUGAAAAAACCUAAAACAUCAUUUUUCAAAGAACGGAUGAAGUAGUUUAGUAUAGUAUAUGAUUACUACUAUUUCUCACUAGGAAAUUAUUGGCUUAUAUAACCAAUUGAUGAACCAUUAUUAGGUAAAAAGAAAACUAGAUAAUAAAAUAGUGAAUGAUUCGGUAGAAAAGGAUAAAGUUGUUUCAAUACACUCACCUAAACAAGUCGAUUAUGGUCCAAACGAAAUCCAAAUUGAGAUAAGUGUUAAAAACUUUUCGUUGCUAGUUGAAUUUUUUUUUAAAUAUGAAACUGAAAAUAUUAAACAAACAAGCAUGAAAACAUUUGAUUAAACCAUUCAAACUAGUAAAUAUCGACGUGUUAGGAAAUAUCGGCAAAAAGAAAAAGGUCAGUUUUAAAAUCUAAAUCUUAAAUCUAUUGAUAUCUUCCUUCUCCUAUUAAUUUUGCAUGCUCAUUAUCUUAUACGCGAUUUCGGAACAAAAGUUCUAUUGGCUCUUUAGAGAAUUUUAAUUCUAGAACCUAAUCUGUCACUCGUAAUAUAAGCUCUUCUCUCACUUGGAAAGCCAUGAAGAAGACCUUCAAUUGCUUCUUAAACAAGUUUCAAUCACGUAGUCGAUAAUCUCUCGGAUCACGUGACUCUCGUUGAAUCUGUCAAUUUAUUAACACUAAAAUAAAAUCUUUCGAAUCAAAACUUUUAAAUGGCCAAAUCAAGGAAGUCCACACAUUCUUUAAUUAUGGAGGGAGGUUGAGAAAAAUCUUCAUCAUAUCUUCUCUAUAGAACAUGCAUACAUGCAUGUUGACACGUAUAUAAACUCUCCAUUAUUGGUUAAUAUCGUAAACCCCCAACAUAAUAUUAUAAACACUACUACUAUUUCCCGAUAUUUUCUUCUUGUAAUUUAAUAUUUGGACCCAAAAAAGUUACGUAUCUUUGCAGUUUACACAUACUAAUUAAGGCGUUAUUGAAUGUAUCUUUAUCCAAUCAUGUCAAUUUACAUUUAUAAUUGUUUAAUAUAUUAAUAAUUUUUAAAAAUUCUACAAUGUUUUUAAAAUUAUCGAGAGUAAAUGUUAAGGAUCUGAUCAUAUAACCUUUUUGCAGUUUUUAAUAUCUAGUUAAUGUAGUGUUGCCCUUACAAUGACAAAUUUUCAUUUUAUAUAUAUUUUAAUUUUAUUUAAAUUAAUUUCUAUAAUUGGUUUAAGUAUCCUGAAUUGGUCAGCUAUUUUACCUAUAUUAAAUAAAAUAUUUAACGAAAUAUUAUAGUAGUUCAUAUUAGUACGGACACAAUGUCAUCGUAUCCUCUCAGAUCCAUCGCUUUAACUUGAUUGGUUAUUUUUUUUGUUAUAUUUCAUUGUAAAAUUAAUGAUAUUUCUCUAAAUUAGACUAUCUAAUGUUUUUUUAAUAAGAAAUUAAUUAGCCAAUGAAUGCCCUUGUUGGAUUAGUCGUUUAAUCGCUGUAACUCUCAAAUGAGUCACUUAGACCAUGUACAUAGGAGAACUUUUAAGAGUAUCAUAAGCCAAUUUAUUAUUUUUAAAUAGACCAAACAUGUUUUAUGGGUCUGAUCCGUAUCAUCCCAGUGAAACUCAUGAUACUGGGUAUCAUGUGACGUGGCAGGGCGUGAUUGGUCGCAGAAAAUUUUUUUGCCGACAGAAGAGAAAAAAAAAAAUCAUUUACUCUCUCUCGAUUUUUUCUCUCCUCUCUCACGGCAAUUUGCCGAUUUCUUCUCAGCUCCGGCCGGUACGACGUAGAUCUGUCGCCGUGGAGAAUCGCAGUACCAAACCAAUCUCCCUGUGAGCGACGGAGCUGCUUCGGUUAGGAAUAACAGAGGAGGAAGAAGCAGUUGUUGUUGCUGCGAUUGGAUCUCUAGUUACUUUAGUCUCAGUUUCAUUCAUGGAGGACAAUUUGCUGCAGCUUGAGAACGAUAUCACCGAUGAAAUAAGCUUUUCCAUGACCAAAGUAAGGCAUCCUUAUCUCACUCGCAAAAAAUUCCAUUGUUUCUAUGUUGAGAAUUCUGUAACGUUUGUUUCUUUUCUUGAGCCAGGUCUUGUUGUUCUCGUGUCUGGAACCACUUAUAGACAUUGCAGAACAUCAAGCUUGUGCUUAACGAUGAUGGACUGAACUUCAAGCUUCUCCAUCGUCCACGGUAAUGUUCUGUUCUUUCAUCCGAGAAAAAUAUGAAGGGACGUCGUGUUAUAGCUUGAGAAAUACAAGGUUGUUGGUUUAGAUUCAUAGGAUUGGAAUCAAGAAAUAGAUUUGUUUGAUUGGGUUUGAUAAGAAUGGGUUUAUGGCUGCAAAGUUUCUUGGUUUUGCUGAGCGCACACAAGGUGUUUGAUAAAUUGCCAAAGAGAAAAACGGAUUGGGUUUAUGCAAAUUUUAGUUGGCUGAUGGAUGAGAAUCAAAUAGUGAGUAGGUUUUAAGGAGUUGUGGAAGAUAUUCUUCGUCACCAUGAGACAAGUUAGAGGACUUAAGUGGGUAAAGAAACCCGGAUUUUUUUUUACAUCUAGUCAGGUAUAUAUGUGUAAUUUCGCUAUAGGUUUUGUUUUGAAAAUGAAUCUUUUAGACUUGAAACGCUUUCUCAAGCUUAUGACUUGUGGAUAUAGGGAGAGGAACUGAGAAAGCAAAUUGGUGCAGCUGCUUAUAUCGAGUGCAGUUCCAAGACUCAACAAGUAAGUUCCCUGACUCAAGAAGUAAUGUUUUGGUGAGAAUGUUAGAAUCUUAUGAUGACUUUACUUUGGUUAUGUUGUAGAGAGAAACAUGUAUGAUCUUCCUUUUAUUUUUCACUUUCUCCAUUUUCAUGCACCACAUGGAUAUAACCAGUUUGAAAUGCAAACGAGUGAUUUCUUGUAUGAGCUUAUCCAAAAGACUAGAACAUGCUCAUAUUUUAGCUCAUCUCUUAUUUUCUGAAUGUACUAAAGUAUGCUAACCCUCUCCUUUUUUCCCAGAUUCCAUGGCCUAAGCCUCCUACAAAGUGGGACGACUUCUGUGUUCUAUAGUUUGAAUGUACUAAUGUUUAUUUGGUUUGAAAUUGUUCUUGGUUCUGUUUCUUAGGUAUACUGAUCAGUUUAUACUUUAUUUUUGAAAGGAAACCAAGUUUUUUUGGAUUGUAAUAUUACAUUUUCUAAUCUUAUGUUUUUAUAUAUUUAUUUUUGAUUUUGCAAAUAAUUUUUUUUUUUUAUGAUACUUAAACCAGUUUCACCAAUGUAAACAAAUUUAUCAACAGUAUCAUAAAAAAUCUCAAACAAUAAACAAACAUUAAAAUUAAUACUAAAAAAAUGUUAAUGAUACUCAUAGAGUAUCAACUAUGUGCAUGCUCUUAAAGGACCCAGGCUUUGUUAAAUUAAUAUAGAAGGUAGGGUAAGUUUUUUUUUUUUUUUUUUUUGACAGCAGAAGGUGAGUUAUGUUUGAAUAGCCGCUUUUCGAUUUUUUUACGUUGAAUUUGGAAUUGACUUAGAGAUUUAUUUCAUUUAUAAUAUUCGGGGUCACACAAAGCUCUGAAAAGAAAAUAUAUUACAGAUAAUAAUUAUUUUUUCCCAAGGUGUGAACGUCUAGUUUGUCAAUAGACUGGAUUUUGAAUUUUUGAGUAUAUAGAAAUUGAUAACUUGAAAAUAUUUCUUUUAAAUAAAUCACUACAUCGACGAAGUAGCAUCACAUAUGUAUGAAAAUGUCCUAACAUAUUGAAGGCCUCAAAGGCUAGUGAUUCAAUCCCCUGUAUUGACAUCUCAAGAGCUGCAAUUUGAUUUCACCUACUCACAAAGGGUUAAAAAAAGAGAGCUAAUGGGCUAUAUAUGUAAUAAAAAAAAAAAAAAAAGAAAGAAAAAAAUGUACAUAAUUACUGCCGGUCAUUGAAAAAAUAAAAUAUAAAAAAUGAAAAUAUCUAAAUGAAUACUACAAUUGAAUAUUAGUGUAAAUUUAUAUAUUGACGCAUCAAAAUUCUGUAUAGUCUUGUACAGAGGCGGACCCAUGUGGAAGAAAGGUGGGUCAGAUGACCCCCCUUAAAUAUAUAAGUUAAACAUUUAAGCAGAGAAUUAUGUUGUUUUGUUGGCUUAAUUGGUUAAUUAUUGGUGUCUUGACCCACCUAAACCCACGUUCAACACCGCAUUGCUUCCAUUAUUUCCCCUAUUUUUCAUUGGGUCAUAGCCCAUUGUUUAAACUUUGGCAAUAAUUGUUUUGAAAGUAGGUAAAUUACUUAUUUUCACUUGUUUUCUCUAGUCUCCAUUUCAAUUUAUUUGCAAACCAAAUAUAUAACUUUGUAAACAAAAAAAAUGAUAAAAUAAUAUCUUAAACGCAAUUCAAAAACUUGUAUAACUUUGUAAACAAAAAAAAUGAUAAAAUAAUAGCUUAAACGCAAUUCAAAAAUGAUAAAGUAUAUAUUUUAUAUGAAGGGCAAAAAUUUUUAAACAUAUAUUGAUUUCUUUUAUAAGUUUGACCCAGGUAAAAAAAAUUUCUGGGUCCGCCACUGGUCUUGUAUUAAUUCAAUUUUUUAUACGAUGAUUCGAUGGAAGACUUUUAUACAUAUCGAUCAUAAUUGGAGUCCGAAUCUGAACUCGAACCCAAAUUUCCAUUGCAAUGCAGUCUAAACUCUAAAAAACAAUCAUCUCUAGUUCUUUUUUUUUAGUAUUACACUUUAAAAGCGUAUUUUGAAAUUGGGUUCUCCUUUCUCCAAUCAUAGAUUAAAGAAACAGGAGGCGGAAAGGGAAGGGCAACCAUAUCCAAUAUUAUACGGUAGGAAGAUAUGGACCCCCUUCGAUAUCCAAUCGAUAAUCUUCCCUCGGUAUUUGAUUUCACAGAUAUCUAGUACUCCCUCUGUUCCUAAUAGUUUGAUGUUUUGGAGUUGUCACACAUAUUAAAAACUCAAUUAUUUUUUGAUCAUUUUAAGAUUGUUUUUUAAUUUUAAAUAUUUUUGAUAAUUAUCAACCAAUAGUAGUGUACGAAAGUUAAUGAUUUAUAAUCAUUGUAUCUUGAAGUUUACAAUUUACUAUUAUAAGUUAAUAAAAAUAAAAUAAAAUUGCUAGAAAAUCAAUCUUUGUGGAACAAACAACAAAAGCUAAAAUAUCAACCUUUUAGAAACAGAGGGAGUAUCAAUUUUUGUAAUUUGUAAGUCCACUCUUUGAUUUUCUGCAAAGACAAAACCAAAAUAAAUUAACAUUUGAUUAGGGACCAUAUCAUUGCGGCAAGUCUUCCUCUUACUCUGAUUUUUUUAAUUGUUCUACUUAACAUCUCUAACCAUCCACUAAUUGCUAGUAAAAUGAUUUGGCCAUGGAUUAUAUAACUCGUAAAGCACAGUAAUACUUAACUACUAAGAUUCUUAAUGUUAAUAUAUUUUCUUUUACAAAAAUCUAAAUUAUUAGACUCACAAUUAAGAAUUCAUCUCGAUUUUCGGCUGAUUAAAACACCUAUUAAUUAAAUGUGAUGAAUCUGAUGAUGUAACAUUAGGGCAACAUGUGAACGUGGCAAGUUAUAUACACACCAUUAAAUAAGCCAUUAAUUACUAUUCAAUAUUAUCUCCAACAAGAAUCGACACAUAAUAUUUGAUGUUCAUAUACAACUACAAAAAAAUAUUGGUCCAUCGUUAACUUUAAUCAUAUAUGAUAUACCGAUCGAUCAUUGAGUUCUUAAAUCCUUUGGUUGGUAAUACAACAAAUAUAUAUGGAUAAGUUUGGCAUAUAGAACAUUGGGAAAAAUGUCGUUUUAUCUCCCAACUUUCAAAAAGUGGCCAAUUAAUACGUCAACUUCAUAUGUGGCCAUUUAAAACAUGAAAUAAACGUUGACUAACGUUUGAGACAUGAAAAUUCGUUGACCAGGCCAAAAUAGACAUGCCGUUAUCAGUCGUUAACGGAACCUCUAACGCCCGUUAUCACCCGUAACGACUCUGUUAAUCAACUUUAAAUUGUGGCCAAUUUAAACAUCAACUUCAUAUGUGGCCAUUCAAAACAUGAACUAAUCGUUGACUAACAUUUGAAACAUUAGAAUUCGUUGACCAGGCCAAAAUAGACAUGUCGUCAUCAUUCGUUAACAGAACCUAUAACAUCCGUUAUCACCCGCUAACGACUCUGUUAGUAUGUCCAAAACGAUGUCGUUUUAAAAAUAAUCGAGAGAAAAUCAGGACAAAUUUUUUGUUUAAAGCAUAAUCCAAGGACAUGGUUUGAUAUAGAGACAAUCGUAGAGCUAGUAAUUGGAAGCAAACAUCGUUUAUAUAUUUGUUUUAAAUCUAAAAAGGAAUCAUGAAAGCAAACUUGUAGACCCAUCAUAGGACUAAAUUAGGCAUGGGCGUUCGGAUAUUCGGGUCGGGUUCGGGUCGGGUUUUUCGGGUUUGGGUUUUUCGGGUUUAGAAAACUAAGACCCGUUCGGGUAUUUUAAAACUUCGGGUUCGGGUCAGGUUCAGAUCGGGUAUUUCGGGUUCGGAUUCGGGUUUACCCAAAGUAUCCAAAUAUUAGAAAUUUUGUAUCCGAUUCUAUGCAAAGUAUUGAAAAAUACUCAAAAAAUCUAUAAAACCCAAGUAUUUUAACCCGAAUCUAACCCAAAGUAGCUAAAACACCCGAAAAUAUCUUAACAUCCAAAUAAUUUUGGCACUUAGGUUAUUACAAGUAUAAAUAUUACUAAUAUAUUAUAACUAUGUACUUAUAUUUUGGGUAUAUUCGGGUAUUUGUUCGGGUUCGAGUUCGGGUCGGGUUCGGGUUCGGGUUUUCGGGUUGUGAAGUUUAUAAUCCGUUCGGGUAUUUUAAAACUUUGGGUUCGGGUUCGAGUCGGAUUUUUCUGGUCGGGUUCGGUUCUGUUCUUCGGAUUCGGGUAUUAUGCCCAGGCCUAGACUAAAUGUAGCUUUUCAGAAAUGGAGAUAGAGAUAAUAGGACUAUUCAUCUUGUUUGAGCUGUUGUAGAAAUAGAUUUGGGGAUUUAGUGUUUUCAUUUGGGAAAAAUCUCUUUGGACAUACUAACAGGGUCGUUAACGGGUGAUAACGGAUGUUAUAGGUUCUGUUAACGAAUGAUGACGACAUGUCUAUUUUGGCAUGGUCAACGAAUUCUAAUGUUUCAAAUGUUAGUCAACGAUUAGUUCAUGUUUUGAAUGGCCACAUAUGAAGUUGAUGUUUAAAAUGGCCACAAUUUGAAAGUUGAUUAACAGAGUCGUUACGGGUGAUAACGGGCGUUAGAGGUUCCGUUAACGACUGAUAACGGCAUGUCUAUUUUGGCCUGGUCAACGAAUUUUCAUGUCUCAAACAUUAGUCAACGUUUAUUUCAUGUUUUAAAUGGCCACAUAUGAAGUUGACGUAUUGAUUGACCACUUUUUAAAAAUUGGGAGAUAAAACGACAUUUUUCCCAUAGAACAUUAACUGUUUUGGCAUUUAGAUGCUGUCAAAUUAACUGUUUUGAAUAUGCCUUUUAGACCCUGGUAACUAAUAAUACUCCUUUGUUUCCGAAUAAAUAUUUUUUAAAAACACUGUAGUAGUUAAUUAGUAGCAAUUAAAAUCAGUUUUUAUUUUUAUAUGCAUUCAAAUCAUCAAAUGGUAGAGAAUUUGUCUUGAGUUUUAGAAUUUAGACCAUGAUCGAAUCCUUUUAUUCACUUUGGUUAUUAUUAUAAAUUUAAAUGACAAAAUUAAAAAAAAAACUAAUGUUUUACAUAUCCUUGAGAUUUGUUUUCGUUUCGAUAUAAAGUUACAUAUUCCCGGUUACAUAUAUACAUGUUGAUUAUGGAUAAGAGAAUGCUAUUUAUUUUUUGUUGAAAAGACAAAUCAAUUAUUGAUAUGCAUGUAGCCAUGUACUACUAUGUACAGUCGUAAACAAAUAAUUGAUAAAGUUAUUAUAUAUAUGUGAAUGUAAAACAACAAAUUCUGAUGAAAAUCCAGCUAAUAUAAUAAGUACAAUUUAUAACAUCCUCUGUAUACAUCUGUCUGGUUAUUUCAUUUUAAAAGAAAACCAAAAUAUUUUCGGCUAAAUUUCAAGUUCAAUGAUGAAGUAUCAAUUAUAGGAACAUUUAUUUAUAGCUAUAAAUCUAGCUUUUGAUGAUGAUUAUUUUUUGGAAUUAAUUAUUCCAACCUGAUUUGUUUUACAUCUACUGUACACUGUGCGUGAGAAGCGGGUUAUUUGAAAAAGAGAUAUUAAAAAAAAAACAAAAGACAAAAUUAGAAAAAUAUAAUAAUGUAAAGGAAAAAUCUACUACUACAUAUUAUAGUAUUGAAGUGUAAAAUGGUCGUCUAUAUAAUGACAAAGAGGUCUCACAAAUUCUCACUACUCAAAUCUUCAUCGCUUAGAUCUUUCUUUAAAAACAAAUCAGAAAUUUUCUUAAGAGUCAAGAAAAUUUCAAGAACCUAAUCGAUAAUGAUCUCAGUGGUGAUUAUUACUGAGCUACUAGUAGAGUACACGGCUGCUCUAGCUAAACUCACCGCCGGGAUUCUUCCACGGCGUACCGGCGAUAGAAACUCCGUACGGAUCGGCGGUUUUCUCCUUCCUACACCUUCUUCGACAUCGAUGAUUCCUGAUUUCUCUUCUCACCUCGUUGAUUUCUGAUUUUGUCAACCUUUUUUUUGGUUUUUGACUUGAGAUUUGCGUCCUCUCUACUAUGAUCUAAUCGAUGAGAAGCGACUGAGAUUUUUUACCGAGUGUCUCGUCGUCUUGAAUCGCGUUUUCUUGAAUCGCAUAGAGCUUUGUAAAAUAUGUAUCUAAUUUAUAUAUAUAGAGAGAUGAUUGAUGGUUUUGAAGAAACUAAUAAGUUUACUCGAGCUUUUUUUUUGCUGCCAUGUGAUUUAAAUUUUUAUAGUACUUUAACAUUGUUAACAUUGUUAAAGGCUAUGAUCUUGAUCUGUAAUUUCAUAACUAGAUCUCUAUUUUGGUUUAUGGUGAAUGAAAUCUUGAAUUCGAAUUCGCUAAUGAGUUAUUUUAAACUUUUGGUUACAUUAGUAUUCGAUAGUAUUUGACAUUUGAAGUCAUUGAUCAGUAAAUUCUUUAGACUUAUUAGAACAUUCAACAUACUAUAUGAAUAAUGAAGUAGCUAGCCUAGUUGAUAUUUACGGAGUAAUAUUAAAUUGAAUAAUGUAUAGGUUAAAGACUUUGAACGUUCAAACAAGUUAAUUUAAUGGGAGAGUUUGUAACGUACGCCAUCUUUAUAAAUCGCACUAAUUCCAAAGCUACAAAAAAAAAUAAAAAAAUUUGAUGGAGAAUAUGUUUACUAAAUCAAAAUGAAACCAAACUAGCUUGAUUCAGUGGUCGGUCGACAUCACUUCAUUUGCUUUUGUUAAAUAUAAUUAUUGUAUUUUAUAUUAUCUUACGCUACAAUUUUAACAAACCAGUUUAACAAACCAGUUUAAACAAAGCCUGAUUUUAGAAUUGUUGAGGCUAAUUGCUGUGAACGAAUCAAAUAUGCAUGCAUAGAUGUGGCAAACAUUCAUCAAAACCGUAUAUGAACAAAAAAUCUCAAAUUUUGAAGAUACAAAGUUCCAAACCGUAUAUGAACAUUUAUAUUUUAGGGAAGCUCACACAGAAUUGAUAGCAUAACUCAAAUCUUAGAUCUUUAACAAGCAUACCAGAUUAGUACUAAAUCCAAGACUAUGCACAAGUGCACCUACUCGUUUGCAGAACGACGACGUAUAAGCCAUAUAUAAGGUUGUUGGUGUUUGUUGUUUUGUGGGAUUUAAAGUAUAUAUUUGUUGUCUACAUGAUGCUAGACAAGUAAUGCCUUCCUGUCUUACUACCAUAUAUCAACAUUAAAAUCAAGAUUCGAAAAGUUCCAAAUAAUGUUAUAUAUAAAUACAUGGAGGACUUAUAUAUGAGAGAUAUCUAUAGACAAGUUGGAUAUAUAAUGGAUGAAAAGGAGCCAAAUGUCGCAAACGAAACAAAACAGAUUGUGUGAAAGUUUUAGAUCGAUUAUUUUUUUGUUGAUAAAAAGUGUUGGAUCGUUCUUCCAGCAAAAAAGAAGUGGUUGAUGGAUUGGUGCCUUUUGACUUCUCAUAAUGUAAAUUUUUUCUACCUAAAACGGUCAUUUUUUUUAACCACAUCAACUGCUAAUUUUGCAAUAUUUUUGUUAUCAACAACAUGUAGUAUGUAAGUUUGAAUUUGAAUAGUGAUGUAUCAAUUAUAUUAAAAUAAAUUUCUAAAUAACAUAUUUUAGUCACUACAAUAGAAACAAAAUACAAACCAUUUUUAAGUGCUAAGAUUUUAAAUUCAUGUCCUAAUAUUAGUUGACAUUUUUUUAUUUAUGAAAAUUUUCCACACUUCUUUUAAAAUGUACUACAGUUUUAAACAACGCAAAAUUUCGUUGACUGUUUUUUUUUCCUGUUAAACUACAGAAUAUUAGAUGUUAUGGUCCAGAUAUUUUUAUUUGAAAUUAAAGAAAAGUUACUUUCAAAGUCAUUUUCCAAUUCUUUAAAAAUAAUAUAGUAGAAAGCAAAAGAUAAAAAAUAAUAAUAAAAGGCUAGGUCGGAACAAGUGUGAAAGCAACGGUUUAGUCGAGAUUUUUGCGUUCGCGUCAUGGUAUCGGCCGGCUUGUGGGUCAUUCGGUCAUUCCUAUUGCACCAAAACUCUCUAAAUUUAUUACAAUUAACAUAAAUAUUUAAAUAUGGUUUACCUUCACAAAUUGCAACAUUUUAAUAAGCUCUUUCUUUACAGCUCAUUUUGAAAAGAAAACAAAAAAAACUUUACAACAACUUGUGAGACUUGAGGAGACGACUCGACCUAAUUUAUAUAUUUUUAAUCCAUUUAACUAAAUAUCUGAAGGAUAUUUCCAAAACCAUCUUUAGUAUUGUAUCAUCAAUUUCGAUUGCAUCAUUUCUCAUCCCUCUUAGUUGGCGGUAGUUAUUACCAAUUUGUAUCAUUGUUGAUAUGAACGAAAUUUAUUGAAGGUCUAUAUCUACUCUCAUUAUCAAUAUGACCCAUAAUAGACUUUAAUUGAAUACAUCCAUUGACAGUUGUUUGUUGAAGACAAGCUUUCCACUAAAUGUGCAUUACCAUAUCAUAUACAUAGAUAGAACGAAAACAUAAAGUUAUUAGGAGUGUAAGGUGUUAAUUUAGAUCAUUUUGAGGCAUUAGUAUUAUAUUAACACUAUAAUUCACUAAAUAUGAAUAUGAAAUAACUUGAAUUUCACUAUUCAUUCUAAACACAAGUAAACUAUAGUUAUUUCUAAAUCCAUGUGUUUGAAGAUAUCUGAAUUGUGGCAGCCAAACUUUUAACUGUAUGAUUGUUUCAUACAUGGGCACCAUUCAAGAUCGAUAAAAACAAGUUUUCAAAGUUGGUUUAAUGUGUGGAAAUGUCGCGGUUGCACUUUGAUGCUGACUAGUCGGAGAUAGUACUUAUGAGACUAGAUUACUCGAUCCCACACAUGAUUGAAUGCUAUCUUAGCUUUUGUGGGGAACAUCUUUGAUGGGUCAAACUCAAAUGUAUACGGAGAUUUUUCAAAUACAGAAGAUUUACGCCAAAUCAUCGUUAUAAUAACUACUACUCCCUCCGUUUCAUAUUAAGUGUCGUUUUAGAUUUAAAAAUUUGUUACAAAAUAAGUGUCGUUUUGUAUUUUCAAUGUAGAUGUUUGUAAAAAUUUCCAGUUUUACCCAUACUUUAUUAAUGUGCUGACCAAUGAAAUUUUUUGUAUAAUAUAUUAAUAAGGGGUAAACAAAAAAUUUAAUGAUUUUCUUAAUAUGUGUGAAAAAACCUUAAACGACACUUAUAGUGAAACAGAGUGAGUAUUAGAAUUAUGAACAAUCAUCAGCAUUAAAUAUUAAUUGAUAGGAAGUAGGAAGUAUCUAUAAAGUCAAUAGUCAAACGUUCUACAAAAAAUACAAGUCCCAAAACUACAGACCCAUUAGAAAUUUGAACAUUAUUAUUCCAAGCCUCUCUGUUUUUUUUUGAAUCACUUAGGGAUUAAGAGGAAAGAGCAAUGCAGAAAAUCUUGCUUUCCCCUUUAACCUUCUGUUUAAGACGAUAACAAAGAACAUAAGAAAAGUAAUCGUCCGAUUAAAAGUUAAGAAACAAACACAUUUAUGCAACUUCUUAAGCCACUCAUUCCUUUGAUACACUAUCGAUAGCAAAAAGCCUGACAUUAAAGGUAGCAACUUGGAAGCAAAAUUCUCAAUAACUUGUCAAGAAAUCUGCAAAUAUAACUUCAAGGCAUAAUAAACAAUCUCAUACUAAGGAAAUGUCAUUACAUCACAUUAAUUCUCCAGAACCUAAACCUAAUCUAUUAAUCUACCUAACUGAUGAAGUCAUAAUUAAGGAAGAGCUCUAAUCCUUAGAUGUAACCAGAUUUCACUUUGUCCUACACAAAUUCCACGAAGUAGAGUCAUAAGCAUUGCAAUGUGAAGUCGAUAUAAUCCACUCUGCACAAGGAGCAGGCUUAUCGCACACGUAACAGUAACACUGCAUAGCAAUACAAACAUCAAACACAAAGUUAAUCCAUUUCAUACAUCAAAUCCACAAAGAAAAAGUGUUAAAAUUACCAAAUCACAAUGGCUUGGAUUAGGAGUUGAUCCAAAUGGAAAAUUAAAACAUAAAUGUCUUGGAUGUGGAUAAUCUCUACAAGCCACCUAUCAAAUCAUAUCAAAUUCCAUCAAAAAUAUCAAAUUUUGGAAUAAACCCUAAUUUAAAAACCUUAAAUUUCAAAGCUCAAACCUGUCCUGUUUCAUGGAUAAUGGCUAAAUCUUUAUCACCUUCAUGAUGAUCAUCAUCGGUAAAGGUGAGUUUUUUAACGUCGAACGAAUCAAAAGGAUCGAAAUCGAGGAUAAAGCAAUCCUCUGUUUCUUCGAAUCUUUUCAUGUCUUGUCUUGUUUUCAGACAGAAUAUGCCUCUUAGUGGUGUGUCAUCUUCUUCCUUUUUCUCCAUUUUUUUCUCUCACAAGUCGCCGAGAUUGAAACGGAAGAGUGAGAGACCAAACGUUGCUCUUCCUUGAGCAUUUCCACAAAAAACGUAACAACAUAGUUAAUGUAGGUUUGGGAAAUUAAUUUGGAGUUUUAUUAAUUAAAAUUAGCCUAGAUUAGUAUAUCGUGAUAUUUAGGUUUUAUCAAAAUCAAUUAAAAAAAAAAAUCAACCAAAAUCUCAUGUGGUAGUGAUUAGUGAACGUAGGUUUAAUUUUUGUUUUUAUGUUAAAUAAAUCAUUAGAUAAACAUUAAGGAUAAUCUUUAUCUUUUGUUGGUGUAUAUCUUUAAUUCUAGAAGAUAUGGCCAAGAUCAAUAAUUUAAGAUUGUUUUGGAUUUUUUCAUAAUUUUUCCAAAAAAGGAGCUACACUGUUUUAUUUUGAGGUUUAGAUGGAGCAAUCAGAAAAGCCUUCUAUAAUUUAAAAUAUGGGCCUAACUCUUAGUCCAAUUAGAUUUAAUUAAGUGAUUGGCUUGUUAAUUUCAUUACUCACAGGUAGUUUUGAUUGAGUGAUUGGCUUAUCAUAGCUUCAAUACAUCAAUAAGCCUGAUGUAUUGAAGCUUGCAAGUUGGGACUAGAGAGCUAGCAAUACUCUUAAAGAAGUUGUUGGUUCCAAGUUAAUUAGGUCAUUUCUAUAAAACCGCUUUGUGUAAGGAGGUCUGAACUUUGACCCGUCUAACCGAGGUCGACGUUGGAAUCUUUCAGCCAAUAACAAUUCGGCUAGCAAAUGCAUUUCAAACAUUACCAAUCCCAUAAUUAGUUACGCAUUGUCAUUACAUAGUACUCUUCCAAAGCUAAUCUUAAUCGGAGUCAUAAUAGCUCUCACUCUCAUGGGUUGGUAACUUCCUCACCAUAGAGUCUUUCUGAAGCAUUGCAAUGCGAAGACAUCCAUAGUGCACAAGGAGCAGGCUUAUCGCACACGUAACAGUAACACUGCAUAAUAUUGUUGAUCUCUACUGUUAAAACAAUUUUCAUAUCUAAGCGAGAAAAAGACAGUUUCAUAGGAGAUAUUUAGGAAAACAUUAAACAAAAAGUUAAGUCCAUUUCAUACUUCACUUUUUACUUAAGCCCUUUAAACAAAAGAUUAAUAAUUACCAGAUCACAGUGUGUUGCGUUGGAAGUUGAUCCAAAGGGAAAGUUCAAGCAAAGAUGUCUCGGAUGUGGAUAAUCUCUACAAGCCACCUGCUCAAUAUAUUUCAUCACAUUUUCAAGAUUAUAAACAUAUAUAUAUAUAUAAACCCUAAAUUUAUAACCUUAAUUUUAAAACUCAAACCUGGCCCGUCUCAUGGAUGAUUUCCAAAUCUUUAUCAAGGGAAUAUGAGAGCCUUUUAACGUCAAACGAAUCAAAAGGAUUGAAAUCGAGAAUGAAGCAGUCCUCUGUUUCCUCGAUUCUCUUCAUGUCUUGUCUGGUUUUCACACAGAAAAUGCCUCUGAGUGGUGGACUCCCUUCUUCUUUCAAUGAUGAUGUCUUUGUUCUCGCCUUCGUCUCCAUUUACUUCCCCAACUCGUAGAGAUCGGUAGGAAAGAGUGGAAGGCCAAACGUUGCAACUAGAGCAGCGUCUUUAUGUUUUAGAUUUUUAGUCAUAAAGAGUAGUUUCUGACUUCUAGACGUAAAACAAAUCGAGUGAGAGAAGGGAUAAUUGCAAUUAGAGUAAGGCCUAAUGCUUUAGUAAUAUGAGCCCAACUUAAUGGCCCAAAACUUGGUAGAAUAUUAAGAAUUUGGUUGGUUAUGAUAAUAAGGAAAAACUUCAAAAAUAUUCUCAAAACAAAAGAAUUAUUUCAAAACACCUCUCAACCUAAGAAAUACACCAAAGACAUAAGCUGUUGAUUCGGAAAAGGGCUUAGCUUUGCCUUCAUGAUAGUUAUAAACUUAUAAUGGUGUGUCUACUGAUAUAUAUGGAGGGCCUAGGUGUGAAGUCUGAUAUUUACGCUUGUUCGUAAAUAUUCAGAUCAUCCUCUAGUUUAAAAAAAAAAAAAAAAAUCAGAUAUAUAUGUAUAUGUUUGUUCAUAUAUUUAUCAUAUGCAUGAAAACAAAAAUGUAGCAGAUUAUUUAUUUGUGAAUUUCAUGUCGAGCAACCACCAAAAGGGUACAACUCAUUUCCAUUUUUUUCUAUUUAUUUUACGUUAUAAUUCAUUUCCACCAUAAACACUAUUUUACUUAUUCUUUUAUGGAUAAUAUAAGGCACGUUUUGUGAUCAUGACGUAUAACACGGUAGUAGGGGGAAAAAUGUCGUUUAAUCUCUCAACUUUCAAAAAGUGGUCAUUCAAUACAUCAACUUCUUAUAAGGCCAUUUUAAACACUAACUUAGCGUUGACCAAACAAUUGACCCAUGAGAUUGCGUUGACCCAGUCCAUUUAGACAUGUCGUUAAAUCUGAUAACAGACCCAUUAACAGACGUUUACAUCCGUUAGUGACCAAAACGUGGUUGUUUUAUACUUAACGAAAUCAAAUCGAGAUUUUUCUAAAAGAAAUCCCCAAAUUGAAAAACGAAAUCCCUACUUCUCCAAACAAAUGAAACCUAAUUCUCUCCAACGAUCUUGAAUCUGUCUUCACUAAUGCCAUUAGUUAGACACAACAACGUCAUAUCGGAGAUUGGGUCACCAAUGGAAGGCGAAUUAGAGAGUUUUGGAGCUAGAGUUGAAGCUCGCGAAGCAGAGACUGUUAUCAGAGAUGGAGAUGGAGAAUUCAGAGAAGAAGAAGAAGAAGAAGAAGAAGAAGAAGAUUAAGAAAAAGAAGAAGAAGAAUCUGAGAAUUGGAAUUGAAAAUCGAUUUUAGGGUUUCUGUUUUGAUUUGGGGAUUUUUGAGAUUGGGGAUUUCGUUUAAGUAUAAAACGACCAUAUUUUGGUCACUAACAGAGAAACGUUAACGGAUGUAAACGUCAGUUAAUGGGUCUGUUAUCGGAUUUAACGACGUGUCUAAAUGGGCCGGGUCAACGCAAUCUCAUUGGUCAAUUGUUUGGUCAACGCUAAGUUGAUGUUUAAAAUGGCCUUAUAAGAAGUUGAUGUAUUGAAUGACCACUUUUUGAAAGUUGGGAGAUUAAACGACAUUUUUCCCCGGUAGUAGGUAGGACUUUUUUUAAAAAAAAAUUCUCAAUAAGACUUUGAAAAUUGAAAUACCGUUUUUUCUUUCAAAUUGCUAUUAUAAACUUUUUCAGAUUAAAGCUAUACUUCAAAAACUGUCAUAUCUUAAUUUUACUAUGAUUAAGAAAAUUAAUCAUCAAAGUAAACUACUAUACAAGGGUCAUUACUUCAAUUAUAUAAGUACACUGGAUAAUAACUUGACUGCAUAAUUUAAGUAGAUCAUGAUCUUUUGGAUAACUUCGUCAAAAAAUAGUAUUUUGUUUUUCAACUAUCCUUUUUAUGUAGUACUUUUGAUCUUCAUAAACCUUAUUAGAUGUUUAUGUUUUCGUUAAUUAUAAAAUUUUCUAUACAAAAAUCAUUUCCAAGCAUUGACAGAUUACUCUUAAACUGGAAACUGGUGUAUAAUUUCAGAGUCGUUCCUAGGAGUAUAAAGACCAGAGGCAAUGCUAAAAAGAUUCUUCAAAUCAUAUAAAACAAAACUUAAGAAAAAAAUAACCACUAUCAUCCUAAAUAGAUAAAAACCUAGAGUAUAAAUCAAAGAUUAAUUCUAAAUCAUCUUUUUUCUUUCUUUUGCUAUUACAAAAUUAUCAACCAAGCUUUCAAAAUUAAAAUGUUUAGCCAACUCCUUUUCGAUAGAUAAAAUAGCCAAGUCACUUAAUCUUUUUUGUCACAUACUCAAGAUUAGUUUUACUUUCAAUUUAAUAUUCUAAAUAAAAAUAAAAAUCUAAAGGCUAGUAUUAGAUGAAACAACAUUAUUAUGAAGAAAGUUCUUCCCAAUUGAUUACGAAAACAAAAUGCCGUCGAUUGUAAUUGUAAGUCAACAAUGAUUAAGAAACUUACUAAUGUUUGGUUUUCUAUUAGACUUUUAGCUAAUUGAAAAAUAUUUUUGUUUAACCCAAAAUUGUAACAUUUUUCUACCUAAGAAAUUAAUAGCCUUUGGUUUAUUUUUGCAGAAAAAGGCCGUAGACCAAAGUUUAUUUUCUAAUGCCUUAGAACAAUGGGACUGUUGAUAAAAAAAUUAAACUGUUUAAUUGUUACAAUGAGGUGUUGAACAAAUUGUUUAAUCCGAUGUGGAUUAAUCUGAGUUGAAUCGCAGGAGAGACUAGAGAGAGAGAAACAGUGUCAUGUGGCAUGUUCUUAUUGGCUGUUGAGUUUUUUGAGCUUUUUUUUACCCUAAUUAUUUAAAUCAAUAAUCUAUGGUAAAUCAAUAUUUUUAUUUUUUAUUUCUAUACCAGAAUUCAUCAUUUUUAUUUUGUAUUUUUUUUUAAUUACGAUAUCUAUUUCUUAUUUUUAUUAUUUGAAAGAAAACAAUAAGAAUCUAACUAACAAAAUUUAUCUAACUUUUAAUAAUUUUAAUUUUAUUUUAAAUGGUAAUUUUUAUUAUUAUAUAAUCACAAAAAUACAAAUACAAAAUAAAAUACAAAUAUAAAAUAAAGUAGAUAGAUUGUUGAAUUUUAUUAAAUAAGACUAUUGUAGAAUGAAAAAAUUGAUUGUGUUGAAUUAAUUGGUGGAAGAGAGAGAAGAUGAUGUGGAUGGUUAAAAAAGAAAAGUAGAGUGUUGAAAAUAAAAACCAUUGUUGAUAGUCUUAGGCACGGGCAUUGACAGAUCAAAUUAUUGUCAAUUUAUUUGACUUGUAGUUGUCGACUUGUCGUAGGUGAGAAAUAUCAAAUAUUUUUCUUCGUUAAACAAUUCAAAGAAAGAUAACCAACUAUGAUGGCUCUAUAAAAAUAAAAAGUCGUAUAGAAAAUUAAGAUGGAGUAAAGGUAUUACGAUAAAUAUUUUUAAAAUAAACUUAAGUAUUACGUAUAUAUAUCGUAAAAGAGAAAAGGAAUUAUUUUGUGCCGAACUCAAUUUCAUAAUAAAAAAAAACAUAUUAUAUGAAUUUAAUUAAAGCAUAUUUAGGUAAAACUUUUCAAUCCUUUCUUAUUUUCUUUUGAAGUAGCUGACAUUCUAUGAAAAGAAAAUGUCAAGGAAAUGAAUAACGUUGAAAAAAAUGAUACGAUUUUAACCAGUCAGACACUAAGAAAAUUAAUCAUCAAAGUAAACUACUAUGCAAGGGUCAUUACUUCGAUGAUAUAAGAACACUGCAUAAUUUAAGUAGAUCAUGAUCUUUUGGAUAACUUCGUCAAAAAAUAGUAUUUUGUUUUUCAACUAUCCUUUUUAUGUAGUACUUUUGAUCUUCAUAAACCUUAUAGAUGUUUAUAUUUUCAUUAAUUAUAAAAUUUCUUAUACAAAAGUCAUUUCCAAGCAUUGACAGAUUACUCUGAAACUGGAAACUGGUGUAUAUGACAGACACUGCAGAGCCAUUCCUAGGAGUAUAAAGAUUAGAGGCGGUGCUAAAAAGAUUCUUCAAAUCAUAUAAAAUAAAACUUAAGAAAAAAAUAACCACUAUCAUCCUAAAUAGAUAAAAACCUAGAGUAAAAAUUNNNNNNNNNNNNNNNNNNNNNNNNNNNNNNNNNNNNNNNNNNNNNNNNNNNNNNNNNNNNNNNNNNNNNNNNNNNNNNNNNNNNNNNNNNNNNNNNNNNNUUUUGAUAGAUAAAAUAGCCAAGUCACUUAAUCUUUUUUGUUACAUACUCUGAGAUUAGUUUUACUUUCAAUUUUAUAUUCUAAAUAAAAAGAAAAAUCUAAAGGCUAGUGUUGGUGUCGGAUCCCGCACCAGAAGUCCGCGACCAACCAAAGAUUGCCACGUAGUCAAAAUAGUGGCCCAUAAAGGACGAAGCCCAAUGGACCCAUGAGUCGAAGGAACGGUCGAAGUGGUUGUCACCACUUCGAGAAUCCGAAGUGAUUACAUUGCGACAUGAGUUCGAUGAAGAAGGCAUGGGUAAGAUGGUUCAAGGAUAUUUGGGCCGAAAAGGCGAGGCCCACGAAGAUCUGUUUUCUUUUCAAAUUCAAACGUUGAGCAUUAAAGUCAAACAAAACGGACACAUUUAAGAAGGAAUAAUAGCGCUUAAUUACUCAUUUUAAUGUCGCUUCUCUAUGUAUAAAUAUAGAGGCCAAUGGCCAUGUAAGGGGGAUCUUCCUCUCAAGAGAGAAAUAUAUAGCAAUUCUCGUAACAAUUUAUAAGUUUUUACAUAUUCAUUUUUGUCCCUCAAGAAUAAUCUUUCCCACUUAACAAAAUACUUGAGUGUGUGAAUCCGACAUCCACAGCUAGUAUUAGAUGAAACAACAUUAUUAUGAAAAAAGUUCUUACCAAUUGAUUACGAAAACAAAAUGCCGUCGAUUGUAAUUGUAAGUCAACAAGUCAACAAUGAUUAAGAAACUUACUAGUGUUUGGUUUUCUAUUAGACUUUUAACUAAUUGAAAAAUAUAUUUGUUUAACCCAAAAUAGUCAGAACGAUGGUACUCCGAUUGUUGAUGAAACCGUUGGAGGUGACUUUUAUGAUGAUAAGUCUUGUGAGUCGAUACUCCAUGUUGGGAGUGGUCAACCACACAUGAUUUUGUCGGUUAUACGGACUGGAAUUCUGAUGUUUAUCUGAAUGUCUAGAUCCAAUUUAUACCGUUUACGGUGGAGUUGUUAUUGGUUACGAGUCCAGUGAGUCGACACACCAAAUUUAGUUUGGUAGUGGGUCAACCACUUGUGACUGUGCCAUGUUCUGAUGUUAAUCAGAUUUUAAGAUCAUUUCUUGGCGUUGUAAGUGCAAGAUUGAUGCUUAAUAAAAAGUCAAAAAAAAGAUGUCACCAAGAGUGGCUUAUGAGUCACAAAACUGACGAAUAUCGUAGCGAUGCUAACGAAUGACGGAGUAAAAUUGACUCACGAUAAUCCCAGAACAAUAUGAUUGAAACGGACAUGUGUAAUGUAAUUUCUGAAAUCAAUAUAGUUGGGAUGAAUCUCUUAAAGAGAUGUUGAAUGCAAUGUUGGAGGAUUUGGGUUACUCCAGGAAAUGUGGGGGAAGCGUUGCUUACCACAAAUAAUAUCCUCAACAAGAAACCAAGUUAUUGGCGAGUUCAUAGCUUUAGAUAAUUCUAAAGAAGCUAUGUAGCCUUUGAACUUUGUGAGAAAAAAAAACAAGUGCAUUGUAAUAGCAGCUAAAGCUUAGGCACUGAGUUUUUUUUUUUGGGUAAUGGUUAGUCAUAUCUUUAAAGAAGAUGAUGUAAAACCAUUAGAAAACUGAUCUCAAUUCUGUGUAAUCUCGAUAGAUUAUAUCAAAUCGAAUGACAACCUAUUGGAUCCAUGUUAAAGGUGUGUCAUGAGAUCAAGUUGUAAAUCAUCAAGAGGAAUGGGUUUAAAGCCUAUGACUUAAGAGGAGGUUUGAUGGUAACCCUACCUACAUGACUGGAGAUCCCAAGAUGUAGGUUCAAGGGGAAAACUAAAUCAAACUGAAUCUAUUAAGAGCACUGUGAGACGAUAGUCUCUUCCCAGUUCCUAGGAUGAUGAACAGUGCUUCCUGUAUGUACAGAGGAUAAGCGUUUGCUUUUAAUGAUUUGAGUCCAUAGCUUUGAGAUAAAAGAGAGUAUUGCAGGAUACUUCUUAAAACAAAGCUAACAUGGCAAAUCACCUUUUGAGUGUGAAAUGGGGCCGUUUCUAGGAGAAUAUAUGAGGCUAUAUUUUCCAAGUUCAUUCAUGAUUAACCAGGCAAGUUCAGGGCCAAAAUGAACACAACAGAGAACCUAGUUGUGUGAGAAAAUGAAGCUGUGAAAUAGCUGUUGUCUAGGUUUACACUAAAGCCCGGGUGGUUCAAGACAUCAUGUUCACCACCUAGGAAGCACGGAAGCUUCAUCGAUGGUCCGCUUCCCACUUUGGAAUCUUAGUCGGAAUCGGAAGCUUUUGGAAGCUUUUGGAAUCUCGCUUCCAUAACGCUUCCAAAAAAUCUACUUUGGAAGCUCGUUGGAGACUUAUGAUUCCAUUUUAGAAGCUUCCGUUUCCAUUUAAAAAAUUUGAAACUCACAUAUUAAUAAGAAACAUGAAAUUAUUUUAUACUCCCUCUGUUUCAUAUUAUAGGAUGUUUUAGACAUUUUAUUUUGUUUCACAAUAUAGGAUGUUUAGGAAAAACAGUUCAAGUUUCUAUGCAAAAAAUUAAAUUUGUAUAAUUUGUGACUAUUUAGAUUUUGCAGUAAAGCAUAUCAUUGGCCAAAUUAUCUUUAACUAUUUAUUAAAUUAUGUUUUAAUGUAAAAUAUCUAAAAUCUAAAAUAAUUAAUUAGUUUUUUAAACUUUGUGCUUUUAGGUAAAACAUCCUAUAUUUUGAAACAGAGGGAGUAGUGUUUUUUACAAUUAAAAAAAAAAAAACAAAAAUAAUUUUACAAUUUAGAAUUUUUGCAUACUAAUUUCUGUAUUUUAUUUUUAAAAGAUCUUAACAAAAUAACCACGACAUGAAUCAUUUAUUUGAAAAAUGUUGGAAUGAUUAAUUGAUUUAAAUAAAUUUUGAGAAACUUGAAUUUGAUGAUAUUUUUAUCGAUAAAACAGAAUUUGCAACCAAUUUAUUGGAUGGAAUUAAGAAAAUGAGAAUGACAAAAGUGGUCUAAAAGUUUGACUUUUAACUAUUUUAAUUUUAUUUAUUGUAAAAAUAAACUAUUUAGUUUUUAUUUGUAGUGGAAGUAUUGAAAAUGUAUGUAUUAAAUUUGUGUGGUUUAUUUUUUUUUCAUAUAUAUAUAUAUAUAUAAUAAUAAUAAUUUCUAUACACGCUUCCAACACGUACCCAUUUUCUAAAAUUUCUAAAAAAUCGCUUCCACAUUUCCAAACGCUUCGCUUCCGCGUACCCGCUUCUGAUUCUAUGCAACUUAGUUCACCACCUGGCCGGGUAAAUCCGACAGUUAUGAAAAUGAGUGGUUCAAAGCUGAAAAAUGCUACCAUCUCAGAUAAAGUGGAGUUUUUGUUGUUACUCUCAAAAGUCCUUAUGUCGAGUCUUGUCUAGUUAGGUAAAGUAUUUUGAGUCGUCAUCUGUUUAGAGUCAUUUAUAUCCAUGUGGGGGAUUGUUGGAACUUAUUUUGAUUAGUUGCGCCGGAUUACUUUUUCGGGUAUUUUUCAAAAUUGAAAUUCGUUUGAAUGAGAAAUGGAGGUCCUAAGUGGCUAGCUUGGAUAGCUUGAAAUUUGACUAAAGGAUCAAAUGUCGCACUUCAGAAGUUAAAAGAGAAAUCCAAACCAUGCAUGUGUGCCGAGCCGUGUUGUAUCGUGUCGAGCCGGACCCGGUUUGGAAUUUGAGAUUUGAGAAAUAGAUUUAUAACCCAAAUAAUAAUAAUUAUUUACCCAAAUGUGUUUAAGUCAUAUUGUUGAAAGAUUCAACAUAUAUCUCAUUUAAUUGUGAAUUGUGUAACAACAAAUCAAUUAAUGAGAAUAAUGGAGUCAAUGACUAUCAUUGAGAAUAUGACUUUUAUGUUGAGAAUGAAUUCUCAUUACUCCUCUUUAUUUCUAAUGUUUAGAGUUUGGACUAUAAAACCAAGGCUUCAUCUGUCCAUUUUUGGGUCAUUGACAUAUGGAUCAAAAAGGUCACAAUCUCCUCUUUCUUCUUUUCUCUAGUUAUCGAGUCUGAGAGUACACACAUUACUAGAGUUCGUUAGGCUUCUGGUUUUGAGUGUUGCAAAUCAGAAGAUGGUGCGGUUGUAUCAUUGGAUUUUGAUUGCGUCAAGCCGUCACACUACGGGCAAUUAAAGAAUUAAGGAAAGAGUGUCUCGCCUUCGCACAAACCGUUCUUUGUUUAACAAAUAUUGAUAUCGGUUGUUGUAUUUUAUUUCUGGUUUUAUCAUUAUCUAUUGCAAUUAUUCAGUUUUGUCAUGUCGUAGAAAUCGUGGCCCUACACGACUUCCAUUGCACAAUCCUCUCAAGUCUCAUUUUUUUCCUUUAUUAAUCUCUUUGUUUAUCGAUUAUAAUCUAAAGACGAUCUUCGAUUAAAAGUUUGAUCACUCUAUAAUUUAUAUGUAAAACGUUUGGUUUCAUGAAAAUCAAAGUUGUAAUGACGAAAAAAAUAAAAAAAAAAAUGACGACCCAUAAAAUGCUUUAGACUGUCAAGUGUAUUGACCAUCCACCUACACAUUCUUAGUUAACAUAAUUUCAUUUUUUUGUCCUUAAUAUAUUUGCUAAUUACAAUUUUUUUUUGUUAGAAGAUUUUCUAUGAUACAAAAGAAUUUACAAAGUCUUAUAAGCAAUGUGAAUUGUGAUUUUACAACGAACGAAUUACUAUGCAUGCAUAGUGACGGUAGGCUCCACACAAAUUAUAUUUUACUCGUAAUAUUUUUCACGUGUAGCGUCUAUUGUUGACGCUUGCUAUUGUUGACGUUUGUUUUGUGACUUUUGUAACACUCCCCCUUGGAGACCAGUGUCACUAUGUCUCUUGUGUAAUAUAUAUCUUCUGUUGCCUCGUUAAAAACCUUUCUAGAAAAACCUGGUGCGAAAAAUCAUAGUAGGUAAAAAGAGUGCAACCGCGCAAGCUCCCCCUCGAAUGAUCAGGAUCAUAACUUACAAGUCUUGUUGACGACGCAUUCCAAUGUUAUGAACAUGUUUUCUGAACAUAGAGGUGAGCAAUGAUUUUGUGAAGAGGUCCGCAGAAUUCUCGGAUGAUCAGACAUAUCUUACUUCAAUGUCUUUAUUCUUCACGAGCUUUUGGGUGUAUGAAAAGAACUUCGGAGGGAUAUGUUUGGUUCUAUCACUUUUGAUAUAUCCUUCCUUUUCUGAGCAACACAUGCAGCAUUGUCUUCAUAUAAGAUAGUUGGCUCCGUAUUCAGACGAAUUCCACUACUUGUUUGAAUGUGUCGACUUAUUGAUCGUAGCCAUACACAUUCUCUACUCGCUUCAUGGAGUGCAAUGAUUUCAGCAUGAUUUGAAGAAGUUGCUACAAGCGUCUGCUUCUGAGAACACCAUGAUAUAGCAGUACCUCCAAUCGUGAAUACGUAUCCUAUUUGUGAUCGAGCUUUGUGUGGGUCUGAUAAAUAUUCUGCAUCUGCAAAACCAAUCAUUUGACCAUUUAUAUUUUUAGGAUAAAAUAACUCUAAAUCAAUAGUCCCUUGAAGAUAACGAAAGACAUGUUUAAUCCCAUUCCAAUGUGUUCGUGUAGGGGAUGAAAUAAAUCUAGCCAAAAGAUUGACUAAAAAUGAUAUAUUAGGUCGAGUGCAAUUUGCAAGAUACAUAAGGGCUUCAAUUGCACUUAGAUACGGUACUUCAGGACCGAGUAUCUCUUCAUUCUCCUCAGGUGGUCUGAAUGGAUCACUCUCAAUAUUAAGUGAUCUAACGACCAUUGGAGUACUGAGAGGAGUUGCCUUAUCCAUAAUAAAACGUUUUAACACUCUUUUGGUGUAUGUGGAUUGAUGUACAAAUAUACUCUUUUGAGUAUGUUCAAUUUGUAGGCCAAGACAAAAUUUUGUCUGUCCGAGAUCUUUCAUCUCAAAUUCCCCUUUUAAAUAUUUUGUUGCUUUCUGUAUUUCUGCUUCCCGAUUAUGUUUAGAUCAUCAACAUAUACCGCGAUUAUCACAAAUCCGGAAUUUGUUUUCUUUAUGAAAACACAUGGGCAUAUAGGAUCAUUCACAUAUCCUUCUUUCGUUAAGUGCUCACUGAGACGAUUAUACCACAUUCGUCCAGAUUGCUUUAACCCAUAUAAUGAUCUCUGCAACUUUAUUGCACAUAACUCUUUGGGUUUAGAUUUUAAUGUUUCUGGCAUAUUAAACCCACCGAGAACUCUCAUAUAGAUAUAUGUAUCUAAUGAUCCAUAUAAAUAUGCUAUAACGACAUCCAUGAGACGCAUCUCUAUAUUUUCUCCAGCUGCUAGACUCAUCAGAAAUCUAAACGUUAUAGCAUCCAUAACAGGGGGAAUAUGUUUCCUCAUAAUCAAUCCCGGGUCUUUGAGAAAAUCCUUGAGCAACGAGACAAGCCUUGUAUCUCGUAAUUUCAUUUUCCUCAUUUUGUUUUCUAACGAAAACCCAUUUGUAUCCAACCGGUCUCACAUCUUCAGGUGUGAGUACAAUAGGUCCGAAUACAUUUCGCUUAUUGAGCGAAUCAAGUUCCACUUGUAUUGCAUCUUUCCAUUUUAUCCAGUCAUGUCUCUUUUGACAUUCAUAUACCGACUUUGGUUCUGGAUCCUCAUUUUUCUCAUCAAUUUCCUUUGACAAAAGGUAUGAGAAAACGUCAUUAACAUCAUCUAUUUUAUUUCGAUCUCAGAUCUUUCCAUUAUGGAUAUAGUCAAUAGAAAUCUCAUGAUUUCCUUCAGGCUCAUGAUGCUCAUCAUUGUCAUUAGACUCAUGAUUCGUUUCUUCCAAAAUGUUUUCUGCUAUUUUGGAAAUAUCAUGCUUUUCAACUUCUUUUCGUUUUCUAGGAUUUUUAUCCUUAGCACCAACUGGUCUACCACGUUUCAAGCGUGUUUUAGACUCAUGUGUAUCAUCUGCUCCUCCACGUUCUUGUGGUAUUUCAAUUCGAGCAUAAACAUUUGUAGCUGGUAUAUAUGAUUUAGUUACCGUUUCGGUAUAUGCAAAAGCAUCGGGAAGUUGAUUUGCUAUACUUUGCAAAUGCACAAUUCGUCGAACUUCUAUUUCUGACUCUUUUGUAGGAGGAUCAAGGUGUAACAGGGAUGGUACACACCAUUUGAUUUUUUUUCCUACUUGCUUAUUUUCUCCCCCUAGAACCGGGAAUACUUUCUCAUCAAAAUGACAAUCGGCAAAACGUGCCGUAAAGACAUCACCAGUCUGCGGUUCUAGGUAUCUUAUAAUUGAUAGAGAAUCAAAGCCAAUAUAUAUUCCCAAUCUUCUUUGUGGUCCCAUCUUUGUACGUUGUGGUGGUGCUAUAGGUACAUACACCGCACAACCAAAAAUUCUUAUAUGGGAUAUAUUUGGUUCUCAACCAAAUGCUAUCUGUAGUGGGGAGUAUUUAUGGUAUGCACUUGGUCCUAUCCGAAUGAGCGCUUCUGCAUGUAAAAUGGCAUGUCCCCAUACAGAGGUUGGAAGUUUUGAUCUCAUGAUCAAUGGUCUUGCAAUCAAUUGCAGACGUUUAAUUAAUGAUUCUGCCAAGCCAUUUUGUGUAUGAACAUGAGCUACAGGAUGUUCAACUUCAAUUCCCGUUACCAUACAAUAAUCAUUGAAUGCUUGGGAUGUAAAUUCACCAGUGUUGUCUAGUCUAACUCUCUUAAUGGAAUAAUCAGAGAACUGAGCUCUUAAUUAGAUUAUCUAAGUUAUAAAUCUCGCAAAUGCCAAAUUUCGAGAUGACAAUAGACAAACAUGUGACUGCUAGAUGCGUCAAUCAUUACCAUAAAAUAGUGGAAUGGUCUACAUGGUGGAUGUAUCGGUCCACAAAUAUCGCCUUGAAUUCGUUCAAGGAACUUUGAUGACUUUUUAUCAAUUUUGUAUGGCGAUGGCCUUAUGAUCAACUUUCCAAGAGAACACGCUGCACAUGUCAUUUUAUUUCCAUGAUUUUUCAAUGAGUGACCAUGUGAGCUCUCUAUGAUUUUUCGCAUCAUUGUGUGGUGCCUAGGUGACCAAGGCGAUCAUGCCAUAAUAAGAAAUCUUCUGGAUUUCUUUUGAUCACAAGAUGUGAUUCUAUGGCAUCUAUGGAAGUUCUGGAAAUUUUUCCAAGACAUGUCUUUUUCCAGAUUUUAUAGAAGUUAUAUACAUAUACUUCUUUCCACCCUCAGUUGCAGACUGAGUUUCAUAUCCUUGAAGGUAUAUGUCUUUGAAACUCAACAAAUUCCUCUUAGAAUUCGGAGAAUAUAAGGCAUUAUUUAUGGAAAACUUUGUUCCAUUAGGCAAUUUAAAAUUUGCUUUGCCACUUCCUUCAAUUAAGUUCGUAGGACCCGAUAUUGUAUUGACAACAAUUCUCGUCGGUUUUAAUUCAGAGAAAAAUCUCUGAUUUCUCAGAAUAGUGUGCGUUGUUCCACUGUCUGGUAUACAAAUAUCUUUGAUAUUUUUCCUUGCUAUCGUUUUGUUUGAAUCUUGAUCUAUUUCUCUGUAAUCAAUAUAGACGUUAAUAAAUAUAAGCAAAUAUCAUUGAUAUUGAAAAUAUAGAAUAAUCAUACACUAGUUCAUUUUCAGAGACAACUUUAUUUUCAAACAACAGAAAUACAUAAAACUUAUAUAAUGGCAUUACUGGAGACUAGCAGUCUCACUACAAGCAUUUUAGUUAUCCGCAUGAGCGGUCUCAUUAAUCUUUUCCGCUAUUAGGAGUGCCACAAAUAAAUUCGAAAAUUUGGUAUACCCGCAUGACAUAUACAAUUUUUGCUGGGUAAUGUGGUUUUCAUGAAACGUGGUAUACGUUUUCUCAAACAUCUGAGAAUCGGUGAUAAUAUCACCAUAAUAUUUUAGUUUAACCACAAUUUUCAUCAGCGGAAUUAUAAUCCAUCACUUUAUCAAAGUCUUUGAACUUUAGACUUUGCCAUUCAUCCCGAACAAGUGGGAGAUUUAUGGCCUUUCGAUUAUCAAAUCGAGCUUUUAGGGAUUUUCAUAUCUCUUUGGGAUCUUUUAUGUGUGCAUAAUCACAUAUGAUACUUUCAUCAAGGUGUCUUAAAAUAAAGAUCACCGAUUUUUUUCUUUCUUGAACCGUCGAAGUAGUAUUAUCUUUUACGGUUUUUAUUAAGCCAAGAGAUUGUAAAUGUAGUUCGACGUUGGCAAUCCAAAAUAUAUAAUUGGCCAAAGUGAUGUCUACAGCCGGAAACUUAAGCUUCUCAAUGUUUGCCAUUAGUUAUCUAAACACAAAAUUAAAUAAAUAUUAUUAGUAAAAUAAUAUUAUUUAUUUCAUAUUGAACCAUUUAUAUUAAUGAUGCAAGCGAUUACAAAUAACAUAAUUGCAUAGAGAAGUAAAGCGAUACUUAUGGUAAAUUCUUCGCGAAUAAAUUCCCCAACGAAAAGACCAUAAGUAUAUGCAACAAUUGCAAUUAAACAAAGAAUUAAAAACAAGCGAAUCAUUUUCCAAAAAGAAAACUUAAACAAAAUUCUUUAGAAAAAUAUAUGAGGAGAGAUAUGAUUUUUGAGUGAAUGAAUGAGUGAAAAUGAGUGUAUUUAUAGAUUGAAAAUUACUGUUCAUAGCCGUUUGAAAAGUGAUAAGUUUUUUAUUUUUUUUUCUUCAUGACCGUUAGCGAAAAGAUUUAAAUAGAAAAUCAAUCUCUAAAUUUUAAUAGCCGAUCAGUUAAAUUUACCAAAUUCAGAUAAUAGGUUUUUAUACAGGUGGCCGAGCCUCCUUAUAUAUUAACCAAAAUAUAAACAUAACAUAAAUAAAUUUAACGGCAAUAUUGUGGUGACAGAGUCAUCCACGUUAUAACAGUAAAUAGUUAUGGUGACGAAGUCAUCCAAGUUAUAACAGUAAAUAGUUAUGGUGACGGAGUCAUCCACAUUAUAGGCGGCUUAACCGUCCAUUGUUAUGGUAUAUAAAACAUUCAUUACAACGAUUACUUAUAGUGGCGACAUUCCUCCCACUAUAAUAACGAGUAAAUAACGGUAUCCGAACAACCACUAGAAAAUAAUAUACAUAUAUCUAUAUAAAUAUUUUUUAUUCUUUUUUUUAUUCUUUUUUAUAUUCUUUUUUAUAUUCUUUUCUUUUCUUUUUUUUUUCUUUUUUUUCUUUUACACAUACUUUUUUUUUUGUAACGAGGCGACAUACCGCCCAGUAUAAUAUCGUAUUUUUUUUUUCAGCGAACAUAGAGUGAUCGUGCUGAUAACGUGUUAUAAAUAAUUACUUUAUUUUAUGAUGUAUAUAAAUAUAAAUAAUGGAGAAAAAAUUUAUGUGAAAAUAAAGAGAUGAGAGAGAGAUUAUUACUUCUCUUGUAAUCGAAGCAAUACAAAUUGUGAUUUUACAACGAACAAUUCGAUGCAUAGUAAAUUAUGAUGGGCUCCACAUAAAUUAUAUUUUACUCUUAAUAUUUUUCAUGUGUAGCGUCUAUUGUUGACGCUUGACGUUUGUUUUUGUGACUUUCGUAACAUUUUCAUUAUAUUUUCUGACAUUAGGGCCUAUUAUUAAUAUGAUAAAAUACAAAAAAAAUUGAUGUGUCCCGACUUUCAAUUGGACCAAAUCAUUACGCCAGAUCAGAAAUUUGCGUUAAAAUAUGCCAAUCUCUCAAACGUCUAACUUCUGUAAUAUAUUUUCAUAUAAAUAAACCUCUCAAACCUCCACACUUCUCUCACCCAUCACACAAUCCUCAAAACAGAGUAACCCAAAAAAACAGAGCAAUCUAAAAAAAAGUCUCAAGAAACCUCACUAAAAUGGGUUCAACGGCGGAGACACAAUUAACUCCGGUGCAAGUCACCGACGACGAAGCUGCCCUCUUCGCCAUGCAACUAGCCAGUGCCUCCGUUCUUCCGAUGGCUCUAAAAUCUGCUUUAGAGCUCGACCUUCUUGAGAUCAUGGCCAAGAACGGUUCUCCCAUGUCUCCGACCGAGAUCGCUUCUCAUCUUCCGACCAAAAACCCUGGAGCUCCGGUCAUGCUCGACCGUAUCCUCCGUCUUCUUACGUCUCACUCCGUUCUCACCUGCUCCAACCGCAAACUUUCCGGUGACGGCGUUGAACGGAUAUACGGGCUUGGUCCGGUUUGCAAGUAUUUGACCAAGAACGAAGAUGGUGUUUCCAUUGCUGGUCUUUGUCUUACGAGCCAAGACAAGGUUCUCAUGGAAAGCUGGUGAGUUUUCUUGAUAUGAGUUCUGACUUUUAAUAGAUCUUUAUGGUAAAUCAAGCUAGAAAAUUUCUGUUUUUGAUAAUGUUGUUUCAUAAGUUAUGUAUCUUGGUUGAUGUGAUUAAAAUACAAUUAUGCAAAGCUAAAGGUGAGAGAGAGAGGCACAAAGUGUCAAAGACAAUCAGACAAAUACAGUAUAGUCUAAAGUCUAAAACAUUUAUGUUAGGUUGUUCCAAUCAUAAGAGCUACAAGAAAAAACUUCUUUUUUUUGCAGAAAAUACAUAUUUUUCCUUCUUUUUUUUGUCUAGUUCAUGGCUUUAAAUAGAGAAGCUGUAAUCGUUCUUCCUAGUAUUGACUAUUGAGUAACAAAAUAAGGAAAUAGAAUAGCAACAUGAUUAGGAUCGAAGAGAACUGGUCUUCUGAUGAGCAACAAGAAAAAAAAAAAAUAGAAACCUUAUAAUCUGGUUUUGGUUUUAUUCAAUCGAACCGGCUGGUUCUCUUUGCGAACCGGCGGUUCUUUCUCAAACUAAACAAUCAACUUGACGUGGAUCUAGUUUAAUCACAAAGUAGAGUUCAAUCUUGUGAUCACUUUCAAAACAGAUUAUUAUAGUUAGUGAUAACCAAAAGUUGAUCUGGUUUAGAAUUUGAAGAGAAACUAAAAAAAAAAUUUAUGGUUAGGUAAUAAGAUUAAGCUUAAAGAGUGUAUGUGUGUUUUCUUAGACUCAUGCCAAAGAGACAUGUUUCAGGUACCAUUUGAAGGAUGCAAUUCUUGAUGGUGGGAUUCCAUUCAACAAGGCUUAUGGAAUGAGCGCGUUUGAGUACCACGGAACUGACCCUAGAUUCAACAAGGUCUUUAACAAUGGAAUGUCUAACCAUUCCACAAUCACCAUGAAGAAGAUUCUUGAGACCUACAAGGGUUUCGAGGGCUUGACUUCUUUGGUUGAUGUUGGUGGUGGCAUUGGUGCUACUCUUAAAAUGAUUGUCUCCAAGUACCCUAACCUUAAAGGCAUCAAUUUUGAUCUCCCACAUGUCAUCGAAGAUGCUCCUUCUCAUCCCGGUAUAUUAACAAUUACCUAACAUUUCACAAAAUCCGAUUUGCUUGGAAGAUUGGCGUCUUAUCGCUAAAUUAAUGCAGGUAUUGAGCAUGUUGGAGGAGAUAUGUUUGUAAGUGUCCCUAAAGGUGAUGCCAUAUUCAUGAAGGUUAGUAAAUAGUAAUUAACUAGGUUUUCUACUAAUUACUUAAACCGAAAACUCUUUGACUCUUUUUUGUCGAUUUCUCAUUGUUGUAACAGUGGAUAUGUCAUGACUGGAGCGACGAACAUUGCGUGAAAUUCUUGAAGAACUGCUACGAGGCGCUUUCAGAGGAUGGAAAAGUGAUAUUAGCAGAGUGUAUACUUCCAGAGACACCAGACUCAAGCCUCUCAACCAAACAAGUAGUCCAUGUCGAUUGCAUUAUGUUGGCUCAUUAUGGAGGCAAAGAACGAACCGAGAAAGAGUUUGAGGCAUUAGCCAAAGCAUCAGGCUUCAAGGGCAUCAAAGUUGUCUGCGACGCUUUUGGUGUUAACCUUAUUGAGUUGCUCAAGAAGCUCUAAAAGACCAUAAAAUGUCCCUUUAAAGAUGAUUUUAUAUGUAAACAUUAUCUCAUAUGUAAACUCUAAAAAUCUAUUACAAUUAACAUAAAUAUUUAAAUAUGGUUUACCUUCACAAAUUACAACAAUUUAAUAAGCUCUUUCUUUACAGCUCAUUUUGAAAAGAAAACAAAAAAAACUUUACAACAACUUGUGAGACUUGACUUGACCUAAUUUAUAUUUUUAAUCCAUUUAACUAAAUAUCUUAAGGAUAUUUUUCAAAACCAUUUCUCAUCCCUCUCUUAGUUGGCGGUAGUUAUGACCAAUUUGUAUCAUUGUUGAUAUGAACGAAAUUUAUUGAAGGUCUAUCUACUCUCAUUAUCAAUAUGACUCAUAAUAGACUUUAACUGAAUACAUCCACUGACAGUUGUUUGUUGAAAAAAUGUAUAAAUGUAUAAAUGUCCAACAUUGCUUAAAAAAAUUGGAUACAAAUAUAUAAAUGUCCAACAUUGCCUAAAAAAUUGGACAAUGGUUCAUAGUCAUACUAUAAAAAUAACCAAAAUGAUUCUGAAUACGAAUGAGUAUGAAGCUUGAUUUAUAGGGCGUCCCAAAUUAAAAUUGUUAUCCGGUUUACUCUAGUUCUUUAUUUUAAAAAACUGAAACUUUUAAAAAGUUUCAAAAUAUUAUAAAUAUUUAAAUUUUAUUAAAACUUAAAUAUUAUAAUUUUUUAUAAAGUUUAACUUUAUAAAAAAAAUUAAAUAUUUAAAAAACUAAGACUUUUAUGAAGUUUAAACAUUAUAAAUAUUAAACUUAUAAGAAUUUAUAAGAAGUUUCAACAUUAUAAAUAUUUAAUUAAAAAUAUUAUUAAAAAGAAAAUUAACUAAAUGCUGUUUAAUUUUACGAGACGGGGUUAUAUGGUGGGACGGAUUUGGGUCGAUAUUAAUACGGAACAGUAUACCACUGGUGAAUCCUAGAAUUAAAAUUAAAAAUAUAAUUAUAUAAUUUUAAACACUAAACAAACCAAAACACUAUUUAACAAAACAAGAAUAACUUAAAUUUAAAAUUUUUAGUUCAAAAAAAUUGACCCGCAAUAUACCGCGGGGUAAAUUUUUUUGAUACAAAAUAAUAUCAAAUUAUUACAAUAGUCCAUGAUUAUAAAUGCUUGCCAAUAUUAACACUAUAUCAUUUCUACACCUACAAAUCUUCUAAGUACCUUAAUACAAAUCAACACAUUUAAGUAACAAAUACAACAACUCAAAAACAAUAUUUAUAUAUUUCAACUAUAUUAAUUAUAACAUAAAAUAAUGAAAUGAGAAAUUAUUUUUUUAUAUUAUGAAUUUAAAAAUACAAUAAAUUAUAAAUUAUAAUAAAUAUAUAAAAUAUAUUUUUGCUCCGCGGUGUACCGCGGGUUAAAUCCUAGUUAGUAUUAUUAUUAACACUAUAAUUCACUAAAUAUGAAUAUGAAAUGACUUGAAAUUUCACAAUUCAUUCUAAACAUUAAGUAAAUUAUAGCUCAAAGUUAUUUCUAAAUCCAUGUGUUUGAAGACAUCUGAAUUGUGGCAGCCAAACUUUUAACUGUAUGAUUGUUUCAUACAUGGGCACUUUUUUUUUUUUUUUUUUUUUGAUAACUCAGGUGAUCUUAAAGGCUUUCUAGGCCCAAAGACUAAUCCUGGGGUCCGGGGAAACCAUGUUAGAAUUCGAACCCCGGUGGUCAAUGCUACUCGAACCCAGGUGGCGGAGACUUUUCUCUCCUUUACCAUUGGACCAAGGCGACUUGGUUUACAUGGACACUCUUCAGAUCGAUAAAAACAAGUUUUCAAAAUUGGUUUUAAUGUACGGAAUGUUGCGGUUGCAAUUUGAUGCUAAUUAAUCGGAGAGAGUAUUUAUGAGACUAGAUUACUCGAUCCCACACAUGAUUGAACCAUGUGGACUACUUGCUUAGUUUUUGUGGGGAACAUUUUUUUUUUUGUUAUCUGAAAUUAAAUAUAACUUAAAAGAACCAUUCCUGAGGAACAUCUACGAUGUGUCAAAUGUAUACUGAGAUUUUUCAAAUACAGAAGAUUUAAAUCAUCGGUAUAACUAUUAGUAUUGUGAACAUCAUCAACAUUAAUUGAUAGGAAGUAGAAAGUAUCUAUAAGGUCAAUAGUCAACGUUCUACAAAAAAUACAAGUCCCAAAACAGACCCAUUAGAACAUUAUUAUUCCAAGCCUCUGUUUUUUUGAACUGCUUAGGGAUUAAGUAGGGCUGGGCACAAGCCAGGUACCCGGGUUUUUGGUUAUACCCGUGACCCGACCCACCCCGUCCGGGUAUCUACAAAAUAGACCCGUACUUGACCCGCCCUAAACAAGUACUUGCAGUAACGGGUACUUGUCAAAAUUUGACAAACCUGCGAGUUACCCGCCUUGGCUUGGUACCCGUAAUAUUGAAAGUUUUAUGGGCUUCGAGUGGUAAAAGCCUACAAAUUUUGUUAUCUUAAAUGAAUCAUUUUUCUCUUUAUAUAAGGAAAAGUUUCUAGUUGUCGUACAGCUUUUGUCGAUGUGGGUUAAAGGUAACUAACAAAAAAUUAACUUAGUAUUUUGGGCUUCGUUUAUGGGCCUUUUUCUGAAUAAGGUAAUUAAAACAAGUCCAAUUUGUGUGUUUGUUUAUUAAAAAGGCAAAUUCAAAGAUUUUUUUUCUCUGGAAACUCAGAUAUGGAAUAUAUUUUCACAUUUUGGCACUAUCAAAACAGGUAACGGGUAGAAACGAGGCAAGUAACCGAAUUAUUUUUAGUACUUGAUCCUUGCCUUGUACUUGCGGGUAUUCAAAAUUACUUGUUACUCGGCUUGUCUAUUACGGGUACUUGCUUUUUCAAGGCGAAUACGGGGUAAGUAGCGGGUACGGGGCAAGUAACGGGUAUUUGUGCCCAGCCCUAAUUAAGAGGAAAGAGCAAUGCAGAUAAUCUUGCUUUCUCCGUUAACCUUCUGUUUAAGCCGAUAACAAAGAACAUGAGAAGAGUGAUCUUCCGAUUAAAAGUGAAGAAACAAACACAUUAUGCAACUUCUUAAGCCAUCUCAUUCCUUUGAAACACUAUCAAUAGCAAAAAGCCUAAGACAUUAAAGGUAGCAACUUGGGAAGCAAAAUUCUCAAUAACUUGUCAAGAAAUCUACAAAUACAACUUCAAAGCGUAAUAAACAAUCUCAUACUAAGGAAAUGUCAUUACGUCACAUUACUUCUUCAUAACCUAAACAUAAUCUAUUAGUCUACCUUACUGAUGAAGUCAUAAGAAAGAGCUCUAAUCCUUCGAUGCAACCAGAUUUUACUUUGUCCUACACAAAUUCCACGAAGUAGAGUCAUAAGCAUUGCAAUGUGAAGUCGAUAUAGUCCACUCUGCACAAGGAGCAGGCUUAUCGCACACUGCAUACAGAGCCGGCCACAAGUACAAGCUGGGCAAGCCCAAGCUUGCGCCCCCGAAAAUAUAUAAAUUUUGUAGGCCCAAAUAUUUUGUAACUAUUUUGUAGUCUAGUGGUAGCGUCUUGUUUGUUUUGGCCCUCAUGUCUUGGGUUCGAGUCUCCAUCUUUGUUGUUUUUUUUUACUUAAAAUUUCACUUUUUAGAAAAAAAAAAAAAAAAUUCUAGAAAACUCAAUUAACCUAUCCAGUUUUAUGUUUGGUUUAAUCAAAAUUUUUUUUUUUUUUUAAACAUGUGAAAGUAGCCUUUUUUUUGUCGCUUAUAGUCUUAUAAAAUAUAGGGACAGCUCUGACUGCAUAGCAAGACAAACAUCAAACACAAAGUUAUUCCAUUUCAUAUAUCAAAUCCACAAAGAAAAAGUGUUAAAAUUACCAAAUCACAAUGGCUUGGAUUAGGAGUUGAUCCAAAUGGAAAAUUCAAACAUAAAUGUCUUGGAUGUGGAUAAUCUCUACAAGCCACCUAUCAAAUCAUAUGAAAUAAAUUCCAUCAGAAAUAUCAAAUUUUGAAAUAAACCCUAAUUUAAAAACCUUAAAUUUCAAAGCUCAAACCUGGCCUGUUUCAUGGAUAAUAGCUAAAUCUUUAUCACCUUCAUGAUGAUCAUCAUCGGUAAAGGUGAGUUUUUUAACGUUAUAUUUAUUCAUAUAUUUAUCAUAUGCAUGAAAACAAAAUGUAGUAGAUUAUUUAUUUGUGAAUUUCAUGUCGAGCAACCACCAAAAGGAUACAACUCAUUUCUAUUUAUUUUUACGUUAUAAUUCAUUUAGGUGUCAAAGGUAACAUGUUACAUCCAUAAACACUAUUAUACUUAUUCUUUUAUGGAUAAUAUAAGGCACGUUCUGUGAUCAUGACGUAGAACACGGUAGUAGGUAGGACUUUUUAAAAAAAAAUCUCAAUCAGACUUUGAAAAUUGAGAUACCGUUUUUUUUUUUUUUUUUUUUUUUUGUCAAUGAUACCGUUUUUUUCUUUCAAAUUGCUAUUAUAGACUUUUUCAGAUUAAAGCUAUACGUCAAAACCUGUCAUGUUUUAAUUUUACUAUGAUUAAGAAAAUUAAUCAUCAAAGUAAACUACUAUGCAAGGGUCAUUACUUCGAUGAUAUAAGUACACUGGAUAAUAACUUGAACUGAUAAUUUAAGUAGAUCAUGAUCUAUUGGAUAACUUCGUUGAAAAAUAGUAUUUUAUUUUUCAGCUGUCCUUUUUAUGUAAUACUAUUGAUCUUCAUAAACCUUAUUAGAUGUUUAUGUUUUCGUAAAUUAUAAAACUUUCUAUACAAAAGUCAUUUCUAAGCAUUGACAGAUUACUCUAAAACUGGAAACUGGUGUAUAUGACAGACAGCAGAACCGUUCCUAGAAGUAUAAAGACCAGGUGCUAAAAAGAUUAUUCAAAUCAUAUAAAACAAAACUUAAGUAAAAAUAACCACUAUCAUCCUAAAUAGAUAAAAACCUAGAGUAAAAAUCAAAGAUUAAUUCUAAAUCAUAUUUUUUCUUUCUUUUGCUGUUACAAAAUUAUCAACCAAGCUUUCAAAAUUAAAAUGUUUAACCAACUCCCUUUUGAUAGAUAAAAUAGCCAAGUCACUUAAUCUUUUUUGUUACAUACUUGAGAUUAGUUUUACUUUCAAUUUUAUAUUCUAAAUAAAAAUAAAAAUCUAAAGGCUAGUAUUAGAUGAAACAACAUUAUUAUGAAGAAAGUUCUUACCAAUUGAUUUUUUUUUUUUUUUCUUUUCUUACCAAUUGAUUACGAAAACAAAACGCCGUCGAUUGUAAUUGUAAGUCAACAAUGAUUAAGAAACUUACUAGUGUUUGGUUUUCUAUUAGACUUUUAACUAAUUGAAAAAUAUAUUUGUUUAACCCAAAAUUGUCACAUUUUUCUACCUAAGAAAUUAAUAGCCUUUGAUUUAUUUUUGCAGAAAAAGGCCGUAGGCCAAAGUUUAUUUUCUAAUGCCUUAGGCACGGGCAUUGACAGAUUACUCUUAAACUAUCUCUGGUAUAGUCUCAUUCGAGGAUUGUCAUAACACGAUGCUCUUUAUUGAAUUAAAUAUUACUUUAUAAUGUCUUUCAUAUAUAAAACAUUUCCGUAUUUUAACGUAUCCAUUUCAACGGAAAAAAAAAAGCAUUAAUAAAUUUUAAAUAUUAAAUAAAUGUUGUACUUUAAUUUAAAGAUUAAAUUUUUAUUAAAAAACCAAUUUCUUCGGUGAAUAAACUUAUCAAUUUCAACGGACAUAAAUAAGUAAAUGUACUACUUUUAUUUUGUGCAAAAAAUCCAUAUUUACUUAUUAGUCGAAACUAAUAUUAAAGAGUUGUACCUGAGAGACUUGUGGUCCUAUAACAGUUUGUGUUUGUUAGUUUAAGGCAGUGAGAAGUGUUGGAGAUGAUGUGUUCACAAUGAACAUCUUUCUAAGGAGUAGGUGAGAUGCGUCUCUUUUGUAACACGAAAUUCUACCCUAUCACAACGUUACACGUGUCUCGUUUGAACAGAAUCCAAUUGUUUUAUCAUUUUAUAAGAAGAUCAAAUUAUUGUCAAUUUAUUUGUCUUGUGGUUGUGGUUGUGGUAGGUGAGAAAUAUCAAAUAUUUUUCUUGGUUAAACAAUCAAGGGUAAUUAUCAUAUAUUAGUAUGAAUUCGUUUUGAUUUGUUUUAGUCACAAAAAGAAAUCACCUUACUCAAUUCAAUUGCAAAGUUAUUUGAAGAGUACAUACAUAAAAUCUUAAAGGUUCAUAAAAUGCAAUAAAUAUGUAUGUAUGUAUUCGUGAUUGCUAUUCUUAUUGAGUUAUUGUUAAUGUACGUUAGAGCAUAUAAGAAAAUUAAAAGUGAUGAUCUUGAAAGUGAAGUACAUCGAAGCUGCUUUAGACCAUAUUUAUCGGGGCAACUAUGGCCCUGUUUUAAGAGUUUUUAAAUAUUAAAACUGAUGAAAAGUUGGGUUUGGGCUAGGAACGCGUUCUCAUGCGAGAACAGUUCGGAGCCAUGUUCGUGUAUAUGUGGCAGGCCGUCAUUGGUCAGGAGAUGUGGAAAUGGAAAAAGUCUAGGCUUUUCUUUCUUUCCUUCUCUUUCCUCUUACAUUAUUAAUAUUUUUUCUCUCUUAACAUCAAUCUUCAAAUAUGCACUCUUGCAUAUGUCCUGGGAGUUCUCUUUCACAAUUCAAACCAUGUUUUAUUGAUUUAACUUAGAACAUUCUAUAAAAAUAAAAAGUCGUAUAGAAAAUUAAGAUGGUGUAAAGGUAUUACGAUAAAUAAUUUUUAAAAUAACUUAAGUAUUACGUAUAUGCCGUGUUCAAAAAAUCGCUAGGCGCUAGUCGGGCGGUGAGGGUGCGCCUAGCGCCUAGCAAGAAAAUCGGGGAUUACACGGGGAUUAAUCGGGGAUUAGUUUUAGGGCUAUUUAAUAUUUUAAAAACAUAUUAAUCCAUUAUAAUUAAGUAAUUUAUAUAAUAUUGUUUUUAAAAUUGUAUUAAACACACGAAAACAAGAUUUAAAUUCAAAUUUAUGAUUUUUAUACAAAUUACGAACAUAAGUAGGACGUUUUGAAUUUUAGAUGAAAAAAAAAGUAAAAAAAAAAAAAAAUGGGCUAGGCGCUGUCUAGGCGAUUUUUCUCACCGAUUUGGACAAAAUCGCCGCGGUGCUCCUCCGAUCAGUGCCUAGGCGGCCGCCUAGGCGACUAGGCGGCCGAAUUUUAGAAUAGGGCGUAUAUGUACCGUAAAAGAAAAAAGGAAUAAUCUUGUGCCGAACUCAAUUUCAUAAUAAAAAAACAUAUUAUAUGAAUUUAAUUAAAAGCAUAUUUAGGUAAAACUUUUCAAUCCUUUCUUAUUUUCUUUUGAAGUAGCUGACAUUCUAUGAAAACAAAAUGUCAACGAAAUGAUUUAACAAUGAAAAAAUUGAUACGAUUUUAAGCAAAAACUGACAAUCAAUUAAGAACUAGUGUGACGUCUCGGUCCUACUCACCAAACUAUCUGUCCGCUUGCAUUGCACAGUCCUCUCAAGUCUCAUUUUUUUCCUUUAUUAAUCUCUUUGUUUAUCGAUUAUAAUCUGAAGACGAUAUUCGAUUAAAAGUUUGAUCGCUCUAUAAUUUAUAUUUAAAACGUUAGGUUUCAUAUAGAAUCAAAGUUGUAAUGAAAGUUGUAAUGACGAAAAAAAAAAAAUAUGACGACCCAUAAAAUACUUUAGACUGUCAAGUCACGUGUAUUGACCAUCCACCCACACAUUCUUAGUUAACAUAAUUUCAUUUUUUUGUCCUAAAUAUAUCUGCUAAUUACAAUUUUUUUUUCGUUAGAAGAUUUUCUAUGAUACAAAAGAAUUUACAAAGUCCUAUACAAAACCGGAUAAACCGAAAUUACAAAUUUUAGUAUCGUACUUUUUUCUAAAUUAGUUUUAUUUAAAUGGACAUAUCUUACAAAUUCACAAAUACAGAAUGAGGAAGAAUUAGGUUAAACAAGGGAUAUUUUUUGGGAUCAAAUCCUCGUGGUUACCGGUUGCAGAUGUCGAUCAAGACUCCAGUGAACACAAGGCUCGCUAAUUUGCGAGAUGACGACGACUUCGAGCUCCUUGACCGGAGUGUUCUGUUACCUUCUCCGAGCUGAUCCGUCGAAAAACCAAACCUUCAACAAGCCUUCCGAAAAAUCAAACCUCCAAUUAGCAGGAUCUCCAUUGACAAAUCUCCGACCUAGCAAAACGCCAAACUCAAAUCCAAUACCUGACAAGCGUUACCUGCUCCUGCUUCUUUUUUGAGCCAAGAACACCUUCAAUCCAGUCCGGUGAAUGCUAAUCGAUGCCACUAAAGAGAGAUGAUGGCUUACUAUCUCUCAAAAGCCAAAACCUACGGCAAUCCAUAUAAAAUUCGAGGAUUUACAGUUAAUCACCGAGACACGCAACGAAACUUUCCAAACCCUCGACGAUUUAAAUUUAAAUAAAAUUUAUAAAAAAUAAUAUAGUACAACAUAUAAUUUUGUAUGCUUCUAUAUAGUAUAACAUAUUAGUUAUCAACACUAUUCACCAUUUAAAAAGUUAAUGUCCGUUAAAUCUGAUGUUUUAAAAAAUAGAAUGGCAAAGUUAAAGUAAUUUUUUUUUUUUGAACACGUAGUUAAGUUAAAGUAAUUUAAUUUUAAGAACCACGUAGCAAAACAUGUGAGGGGUAAACAAAAUGUUUAUCCGAAACAAUAAAAGAAUACUUAAAAAAAGAAAAACAUCACAUUCUUUAUCCAGCACCUUGUGACUUGUGUGUUUCACUUAUGGACUUUUAUGUCUUUUUAUUAUACCUUAUGGUUAUUCUCUUGUUUUGAAAUUUAAUAUGCUAUUUUCUUAAUUUCUUUUAUCAGAUUUGCUUAUUCACUUAAAUCACCCAAAUUUUAUUUACUCUUUUUCUGUUAAUUCAAGAAAAUCUGUUAUAUCUAUAUAUACAUUUUUGGAUCAUAAUUAGCAAAUAAAUCCUGAAGUUGAGAAGUAUUUACAAUGACAUGCCAUUAGCAUUAAUUAUUUAGAUUUAUUUUAUUUAAGUAAAGAUUUUGAAAUCAAAUAUGUUCUCAACAAUUUACCAAAAAUCUCUACUCAAUCUUUUUAAAAAUCUCGACUUAGUUAACUUCUGAUUUUUAUCUGCAAAAAAAAUAAAAUAAUUGUAACGAGUGAUAUAAAAAUCGAGAAUGUUGAUACUACAAUUUCUUCUACUUCUUUUUUUUAUAUAAUGAAAAUUAUUUUUUAUGGAUAUUUUCUUAAAACUCUAAACAAAACAAAGGGUUUCAAAAGAUAGCUUCUCUUUUGGCGAGUCGACCCGCAAACCCGCAACUCUCUACAGGCUUAUCCGCAUGAACCUGCGACCCGUAGUGGAUAAAAAUAUUAUUCAAAAAAAUAACAAAUGAUGUUUAAUUUUACGGGACGGGGUUAUAUGGUGCAACGGGUUUAGAUCAAUAUUAAUAUUAAACAAUAUACUAUGGAUGAAAUCCUAGAAUUAAAAAUCAAAAUUUAAUUAUAAAAUCAGAAACACUAAACAAAAUAAACAAUAUUAACAAAACAAAUACAAUUUAAAAUUUUGCAAAAUAAUUUUUUAGUUAUAAAAAAAUCGACCCGCGGUGUACCGCGGGGUAAAAUCUAGAUUUGGAAGUUUAAGGAAGGAAUUUUUUUUAAAAAAAAUAAUAGCUCCGCGGUGUACCGCAAGAAAAAUCUUUCUCCUAAACUGAGGCAAGAAGAAGAAGAAAACCAAAUGUCGUUUAAGUGUAUAUAUAGAUAUACCAUUUAAACCUAAAACACAAUUCAUAUACUCAAAACUAUUAAUAUAGACAUAUAGAUGGUACAUUUAUAAAAUAGGUCAAAAUAUUAUAGUAUACUCUCUAUUAAUAAACAAAAAUAAUUAUAUUUAGAUUUUUUUAAAAAUAAUUAUAACCCCGCGGUGUACCGCGGGUUCAAAUCUAGUUAUAAAAAUAAAACCUAAUAGUACACCUAUGAGGCUAUGACAAACCUAAACAAAUUUUAUGAUAAACUCAUUGCAGCUUGGUUAAAAAUAAGGGAUUAUUGUGAAAAAUGCCACUUUUGGGCCAAAACUUGUGGCAUUGCCACUUUCAGAAUGGGCUUUUGGAUCUGCCAUUUUUAGGUUUGUAAAAAGACGUUUCUAUCCUUAUGGUGUUAAGCGGGAGGGCAGCGAUUUUGAAUCGCGUUGUUGGUUGCAGCAACUCACCGGCUGUUCACCGAUUUGACAGUCGGAACUGUAUAAUCUCGCAUUUGUGCGGCUGAGAUUUCGUAGGGUUUUAAUUUUUUGUGGAUCUGUUCAAGGGUGACCUAAAAAUGAGGAUAUUAUAUAGUUCCUGGGUCAUGGUGGACAAUGGCAAGAACUUUGAGCCAACUGAAGUAGUUUACAACAACUGGUCGCGAACACAAGUAGGAGGACGUCAAUUACGAAAUGGAUCCGCAGGUGAAGCCUUAUGCUUAGUUUUCUGGUAUAAUAUGUUGAUGCAUUUGUAGGUGGCAUUUGUUUUCUCUGUCUUAGUAUUGUAGUGACAUAGAUAGGGGAUAAUGGUCAGUUCCUUUGUAUAUUGAUAUGUUUAAGGUUAUCUCGACCCUUUUUUGCUAGUUGGUACAAUAUUCGGUUCCAACUGUUGAUGCAAUUGUGUUUUAUGCUUCACUGUUGUUUACUAUGAUGGAAAGUACUGACCUGCCUGUUACAACUUGUCAUUAUGUAGGCAGCGGAUGUGCCUGUCUUUGUCAUUGCUGGUAGCUGGGAAUGCUCUGAGAAUGGUAUAUGGGAUUUCUACAUUGCUAAAGAAUGUUAUGCGCAAAGUAUAUCUAUGAAUCGAGAUAUGACCUUCGAGGAGCUGCUGUUGACUGUGCGUACAGAGUUUGAGCUUGAUGGCCUCGGUUUGAAACCGAAGUUAAGCUAUUGGCUUCCAAGUCAGCUUUCUGUGUUUGCAGUGAAUUCAAGACCUCCAGUCAUUAUCACCAGCAACAUGAGUUUAAGGAACUUCUUGAAUGUAAAAGAAACCGCAGAGCAUCUCAAUUUGUUGCUCUCUCUUGAACCUGAAAGUGCUGAUGCUGGUUCGAGCAGGCUGAGGGAACAUUGUUCUGUUCCUGCAGCAAAAGCGAAAGAUAUUUGUGGCGACGAUACUGGUGCUGCUUAUGCUGCGAUGGUGCCAACUAAUGCAGAAAUGCCUCAGAGACAAAACAUAGGUAGCAACAGUGGCAGUCGAGUUAGGAAAAGGCUAUUUGGGGACAAUGACGCGUCUUGUUCAAAUGAAGCAAUCAGGCUUGUCUCUGUUGAUACUAGUGAUACUCACAUGAUCAGACUUGCAGAUCCUGAUACACCAUCUCUGUCAGCUCAAUCUGAAGACAGCAAUGCAGCUGCGGCUGCUGUUGUGCAGCAUAUUUCUUCUGAUGACGAUGAUGAUUUCUUAACAGAGAUUGAUACAAUUGAAAAAGGGGAGAAGGAUCUUCGGAUUUGUAAGGGUAAAGGGAAGUGUGAAGACAGUGGGGAUGCUAUGUUAAAGAGUAAAAAUGUUGAUUAUUUCACAGAUGGGGUGGUUUGCUCUGGUUCAGAUGAUGAUCUCUGCGAUGAGGAUUACUGGACUUUGGCAUUUGAUAGACAAUAUCAAUUUGAUUACUCCCAAGCUCUUUUGUUGUCGGCCGAAGUUGAAGCAGAUGCCAUUGCCCCAAGUGUUGAAGCACCAGUACUUGCUCCUGAAGAAGAGGAUAUAGGCACAACGGUCUUGGCGUACAUUGAAACUGAAAGAGGAAACCGUGAUGCUGUAGAAGAUAACCUUUUUGGCAAUGAUUCAAGUGCCUUGUAUGCAAACCAAGAAGGAGGGUAUGAUUCCCCUCACAUGGGUCAACUUCAGGUUUCUGGUUCCCCUGAAGUUGGUGUUAGCCAGGAAGGAGGAGUCACUGAUUCCCCUACAUUUUCUGUUGGAAACGAGGGAGGAGGGGAAUCUUUCCCCGCACUCUCUCUUGGUAACCAACCAAGAGGGGAAUCCUCUUCUGUAUUUGAUGUUGCGCAGGAGGGAGUAACUUUUGAUGAAUUGGAUGGCGACUAUACACAAAGACGUGAUGCUGAACCUGUCAUUGAUGAUGUCUAUUCGCUGGCAAACACAGAUGGGUGUGCAACUGUCUCAGCUGAAGAAGAUGCAAUAUACAUUGGACGCGUGUUCAAAGAUAAGGUGGCUUUUCAAAACACUUUGGCUAUAUAUGCCAUCAAGAGGUUAUUUCAUUUCAGGCAGACUAAAUCUGACCCAGAGCGGGUCAUUUGCGUUUGUAUUGAUAAGCGUUGUCGCUGGAGAGUAUUUGCUCAUAGGGUCUCGGAAUUCUCUGAAAAUUUUGCAGUACGCACAGCUACUCUUACACACACGUGCUCAAUUAUUGCUAGGUCGCAGUAUGAGAAGCAAGCAUCUGCUAGAGUGAUUGCAGAGGUUUUGAAAGGGAAGUAUGCUAACGGAUUGCCUGGGCCACGCGCUGUUGAUAUUCCGGACAUAGUGCUAGCUGAGCUGAAAGUUUCUGUUACAUAUAUGAAGGCAUGGUAUGCAAAGGAGGCUGCUAUUAUGCAAAGUCGUGGAAGUGAUGAAAAGAGCUACAAGCUCCUAGCAGUAUACAUGUACUUGUUGCAGAAAGGGAAUCCAGGGACAAUAUACAGACUUCAAUAUACUGGUGGUGGAUUGGUACCAAAGCAGUUCAAGUACCUUUUCUUUGCUCUUGGAGCAAGUAUUGCUGGUAUUAAGUACAUGAGGAAGGUUGUACUUGUUGAUGGUACUGCUAUAAAGGCAAAGUUUAAGGGAGUGCUUAUCGCUGCUAGCAUGCAAGAUGCUAACUUUCAGGUUUAUCCAAUAGCUUUUGCAAUUGUUGAUGCAGAGAAUGACUUGGCAUGGACCUGGUUCUUCACGAAACUCAGCCAGCUCAUCCCUGAUGCAGAGGAUGUAGUGCUUGUUUCUGAUCGCCACAGGUCUAUAUAUGCAGCUAUUCGGAAAGUGUAUCCGCUGGCCUUUCAUGGGGCAUGUGCUGUUCACAUUGAAAGAAAUGUAAGGGCAAAGAAUCCAGGGACAGGCCUGUCCUACCUUGUUGGUAAUGCUGCCCGUGCAUUUAACGCUGGGGACUUUAAAGAAAUGUAUGCUGAGAUCGUCAAGCAAAGCAAGAAAUGUGCUGCCUAUUUGGAUGCUAUUCCACUUGAACAUUGGACUCAAGCGUAUUGCCCGGCAAAACGCUAUAAUAUUAUGAGCAGUAACAUCGCUGAGGCUCUCAAUGGUGCUCUGGCCAAAAUUGUUGAACUACCAAUUGUUUCUAUGGUAGAGUCAAUUAGGACAAAGUUGAUGGAGUGGUUUUGUUUCAGACGGGAGAAAGCAAAGAAACUUAUUGCUUUGGGAGAGACUAUCACACCUAAGGUGAACGAAUUUCUCUUGCGCCACCACAAGGAUUCUGCAGGUUUACCUGUUAAAGCUGUCUCAGAAUGGAGUUUUCAAGUUAGUUCAGGCUUAAAAAAGUACUAUGUCGACCUAGCUCUUAAGACCUGCACCUGUUUGCAGUUUCAAAAGCUGGAAUUGCCUUGUUGCCAUGCAUUGGCUGCAGCAAGAACAAAGGGAGUCGAAGUUACUAUACUGAUUGGUUCACAUUACAGGCUUUCAGUCUUUCGCGAUGCAUAUGAAAUGUUCAUAUUCCCUGUGCCUAAUGAAAGUGACAUAGAUAUUCCCGUUGAUGUACAAGAAACCGAAUUCAUGCCACCGGAGAACAAAAAUGGUCCAGGGCGUAGAAGGAAGAGGAGGAUCCCUUCCACCGGGGAGUACACGGUAAAACACUGAAUUCGUUGGCAGUAAUGAAAAGAAUUUGACGGGAACUGUAAGUAACUGAUGUUACUUUACUGCAGGGGACGAAGAGGCGCAAGCAUAGACCGCAUAAAUGUACCACAUGCAAUGAAACAGGGCAUAACAGAGCUACUUGCUCUAACAUCCCACGUUAAGGUAUGAAAACUGUGUAGUAAACUAGUUGGCUGUUGUGAAAUUUAUGGAAUUACACAACUAAACUGCAUUUAAAAAACAUGUGGCAGGUGUUGUAAGGGGGAAAAACUUUUUGGGACAUAAGGAGCAACUAGAAUUUGUAGGGGUAACGCUUGUUUUUUGGGUAGGCCAGACAAUGGCCAAGAGACAAAUGGAUUCAGCAGCGAUGGGGGCACCAUCUUUUGGGUUUUCAGUAACAAAUGGCUGAGAAGAAGCCGCUGUAUAGCUAUCCGGUAAGCAGCUCUGGGGAAGAGCCUUCAAUUAACAAGUUGAAGUAUGUGUAGUCAAUGUAUAUAGCAGUGCUGGGUAUAUCCAGUUUGUAAAAUUAAGCUGCUGCUGAUGAAAAACAAUUGAUGUCUCGAUUAACUAGUAAUGAAAAAUGCUUCUUAUGGUGUAUGUGACGAUUUGAUCCAAUAGGCAACUAGAACGCAUAAGAAAUUAACAUCAAGCAAUGUACCUUAAUUUGGAAUAUAUAUUACAUUACUGAAACAGAUAAGCAAAUUACAUUAAGCAAGUUCUCUAGCAUCGGAAUAUAUAUUACAUUACUGAACAAGAGGACCAAAUUGCAGGGAAUUCUGACAAGACUUAACUGGAAACAUACAACAUGGCUGACACCAAGAAGCAAAUUAUAUCACAUAUGUACAUUCAGGAUUUAGCAUAAUUCCUGAAACCGAAUUGCGUACAUGUAAACAAAGCAGCGACGACAGAGAUGAAGGACAGAGUAGUUGUUUAGGAAACAAUGAGGGAGCCCUCCACCAAACCGAAACGAAUUGUUAAAGCGGCCAGCCCUUGGCAAUCUGAAACCUGCAGUUUGUGUUAGCACCAUUUCAGCAAUGUCGACUGCUUCCUCCAUAUUACGCAGGAGACUGAAGAACUGCUCCAUGACAUGCAUACCAGUGUCAAAAGAACCUGAGCAAACCAGAACCAAUCCUAGCGCAAACCUAGCAUACAUACUGUCUACAUAAGCUUCACAGAGGAGUUCAACUGAACGUUCGGAAGGUCCUUCUGCCACCGCAAGGCGUAAGCCUUCGACAAACUGCGCAGCUGGGUUCCCAGAAUCCAAACAACGCAAAAAAAAGGGUCGGAACACAGAAUCUUCAUUACACAGCUGAGUAACAAAGACAAACUCAUCAAUGUCGACAUCCUUAAGAACACUCGCGUCGAAGACAAGAGCCAUGAAUUCAGGUCCUGAAGCUAUCAAAGCGCCUAACUCUCGAAAACCAUGCUGUGAGAGACGCCUGACAAUAUCCAGAAGAAGCGGAUGUGGAAUUAUAUUCAUUGGUGAGAUGUUGGUCUUUCUGAGUUAAUUAAGAAAUUUAAUUUGCAGUUUGGUUAUAUAGAGCAGAGGGAAGCGAGGUUUUGAAAGGAUUUGGUUGUGUAGUGCAGGUGGGUGUUAAGUGUCACAUACUAGCAUUAACUAAUGCAGCUGAAACAGGACUAUAAAGUGGGAAAAAAUAGAGUAAAUAGGUGGUUACGUCUGAGUUUAAGCAAAAGUUUUAAGGGAAUAGCGAAAGGAAGGGAGAGACAUAUUUCAGGCUCCUGUGUAGUCAACUCAUACAGUGCAAGUAAGAGUAGUAAGAAAUAAAAGCGCUGGAUAAGACAUUGGGAGAUGGAAUGAAGAAACAGUACAUCAUAAAGGAGAAUUAAAGAUGGUCAUGGUCCAUAGCAUAAAAACUAACAAAGCAUAAGAUACAUAACACUAAACCAGUAAAGAAAACAUAUCCGGCAACGUCUGUUAAUGCUGCACCGAGUACCAGGACAUCGAGGAAUGUCAUCAUAUCUCCAAGUGUCGCAGUGGGAGCGAAUCUUAACGGGUCGCAUUUGAAGAAUGUGACGAAAGACUUUGCUACCAAUAGCAUCAGCUUCACGAAAUGAACCAAUGGAAGAAACAAAGGUGAUGCGUCACACGGUCACGGAAAUAGCCUUCGGGACGAUGGUACGGUCGGCGAUCGGUACGGACAGGGCCUUCGGUGACGGCGGUUACGGCGGUUACGGCGGUUACGACGGUUACGGGACGGCGAGGGAGGUUGACGAUGAGUAGCUCGAAUCGCCUAGACUCCAAAGAGAUGAUUUGCAAGGGUGGAUAGCGACAACCGGUGAGUAUCUCGAACCGGUGGUGACUGGAGAAGAGGGGUGUGAAGGCGGAACGAGGUAACGAUACACGAGAGAUGGUGGGCUCGUGAUACGGUUACACUUAGAGGCUUUGAAUCCGAUUCAAAGGCUCUAAGGAGCUCUCAAUGUUUUCGCAACAAAUGAGAAAAAGGAAAGAACUGAUUUUUAUUUCAAAAGAAGCUAACCCUUACAAGUGACUUAGAGGGCCUUUAUAUAGGCGUUUACAAGGGAGACUCAUAAAACCCUAAAGCAAACAGUCAAAGCGCGGGUCAACAAGGAUAGACGUGUCAAAAUACAAACCAUAAGACAAGAAGAGCCUAACGGCUUUAUUACGAAAGGAAGGAGAGAUGGCCACGUCAUGCGGAGAUGCGUGGUCAUGCGCUAGCGUACGUUGGCCUCGUUAAAACCCUCUUGGUAAACCACGUGGGAUAAACCCAAGUAGGGAAAAAGAGUACCACGUCCAACUAGUGACUUUGAUGCCUUCACCUAGUGAUGGUGAAGACGGUCCGGACAAGCUCAUGAUCGUCCGGAUGGUCGAGUCCAAUGGGGCCGUAUGGCCGUGGGUCGUGUACUUGGAUGAACUCUUCCGCGAAGGCAUUGCACUUGAUCCUGAGAUUGCGUGCAGCUCCCCUUGACCUUGUGACAGCUCCCGGAAGGAUUUGAGGUACCUUGGUCGCCGGUAGUAUCCCGUGGGUCGUUCCGGGUUGGUCCAUGUUCUGUCCCUCGUCCCGGCCCUCGUCCGGAUCGUUGUCCGUAUGCUGUCCGGUAGGUUGGGUCUCAUUAUCCCCUCCCCCUUGGGAAGGUUCUGACCUCAGAACUCCUUCAUCAUUCCCUACAUCAAAAGGAACCAAAUCAGAAACAUUGAAGGAAGUAGACGUGUUAUACGUACCGGGUAGCUCCAAGCGGUAGGCGUUGUCGUUGAUCCGCUCGAUGACUUGGAAAGGGCCAUCUCCUCUUGGGCUAAGCUUGUCCUUUCUACGUUGUGGGAACCGCUCCGGUCUUAAGUGUAACCAAACCCAAUCUCCCGGCUUGAAAAUCAUGGCCUUGCGGUGUUGGUUGGCUUUUCGCGCGUAUUGCUCGGUUCUUCUUUCUAGAUUUUCCCGGACUUCGGUGUGUAACUUCUUGAUCAGUUCGGCCUUGGCUAAUCCGUCUUGACAUUCUAUCUCAUUGGGUGGUAAGGGUAGCAAACUCGCGGGGGUUAAAGGUUUGAAUCCGUAGGCCACUUCAAAUGGAGACUUCUUCGUUGCCGAAUGAACGGACUGAUUGUAUGCGAACUCCAUAAGGGGAAGUAGCUCUAACCAAGUGCCCGGAUUGCUUGCCACGGUGGUCCGGAUCAAGGCGCCUAAGGUUCGGUUGAUGACCUCCGUUUGACCAUCCGUUUGAGGAUGACACGCGGUUGAGUAUAGUAGCUUAGUUCCCAUCUUUCUCCAUAAGGUCCUCCAAAAGUGACCAAGGAACUUGGGGUCUCGGUCCGACACGAUGCUACGGGGUAUUCCAUGGAGCCUCACAACUUCCCGAAAGAACAAGUUGGCUAAGGCCGUGGCGUCCGAUGUCUUGUUGCAAGGUAUAAAGUGAGCCAUUUUGGAAAAUCGGUCUACUACGACGAAAAUGGAGUCUUUGCGGUAUUGGAUAGGCAAUCCAAGCAAGAAAUCCAUAGAUAAAUCGACCCAUGGUGCAUUCGGAAUCGGUAGGGGCUUGUAGAGGCCAUGUGGCCGUGGGGUGGCCUUGGCGGUACGGCAAGUGAUGCAACGGCCUACGAACUUCUCGACCAUCCGCUUCAUCUUAGGCCAAUAGAAAUGUUCCUUUAAGACUUCCAAAGUCUUAGUAACCCCAAAAUGCCCGGUUAGGCCUCCUCCAUGUGACUCUUGCAUUAGUAGGGUCCUAAUAGAUCCGGCGGGUAUGCAAAGCCUUUUGUCCCGAAAGAGAAACCCGUCUUGGAUGUAGAACCGUGAGUGAAUUCCUUUGCCGUGAUCCCUAUAACUCUCCCCAAACUCCGGAUCUUCUUUGUAAACUUCCUUGAUCCCUUCAAAACCCAAAACCCUUGCCUCCAUGGUUGUGAUCAACGCGUGUCUUCUUGAUAGCGCGUCGGCUACAACAUUUUCUUUGCCCUUCUUGUACUUGAUAACGUAUGGGAAAGCCUCUAUAAACUCUAGCCACUUCGCGUGUCUCUUCUUCAAGUUGGUUUGGCCUCUAAGAUGUUUCAAGGUCUCAUGGUCCGUAUGGAUCACAAAUUCCCUCGGUAGUAGAUAAUGUUGCCAAGUCUCCAUAGCUCGGACCAAAGCGUAUAACUCCUUAUCAUAAGUCGGAUAGUUGAGGGUAGGGCCAUGUAACUUCUCACUAAAGUAGGCCACGGGUUUGCCUCCUUGGGUUAGGACCGCUCCAAUCCCGAUGCCGGACGCAUCACACUCUACUUCAAAGGUCUUCUCAAAACUUGGUAGAACUAGGAGAGGCGCUUGUGUUAAUCUCCUCUUUAGCUCUUGAAAUGACGCUUCUUGACUCGAUCCCCAAGUGAAUUCUUCACUCUUCUUAGUGAUGGCGGUAAGAGGUGCGGCUACAGUGCUAAAGUCCUUGACAAAACGCCGGUAGAAACUUGCUAACCCAUGAAAGCUUCUCACUUGACUAACGGUUGUCGGUGUAGGCCAUUCCUCUAUUGCUCGAAUUUUCUCUUGAUCCACUCUAAGGCCCUGCUCACUCACAACAAAACCUAGAAAAACUAGUUCAUUAGUACCAAAGACACACUUCUUGAAGUUAGCGUAUAGCUUUUCUUCUCGAAGUGUGACCAAGACCAUCUCUAGAUGGACCAAGUGAUCCUCUAGGCUACGGCUAUAGAUUAAAAUAUCAUCAAAAUAGACCACAACAAAUUUAUUAAUGAAAGGUCUAAGGAUGUGAUUCAUUAACCGCAUAAAGGUGGAUGGGGCGUUGGAGAGGCCAAAUGGCAUGACUAGCCAUUCGUAGAGUCCUUGCUUGGUCUUGAAAGCCGUUUUCCAUUCAUCACCCUCUUUCAUUCGGACUUGGUGGUAACCACUCUUGAGGUCAAUCUUGGUGAAAAUAAUGGCUCCAUCCAACUCAUCCAGCAUAUCGUCAAGCCUUGGGAUUGGAUAUCUAUACUUCACGGUUAUGUUGUUGAUGGCUCUACAAUCCACGCACAUUCGCCAUGUUCCAUCUUUCUUAGGUACUAGGAGAACUGGUACGGCACAAGGGCUAAGGCUCUCUCGGACAUAUCCUUGCUUCAUGAGAUCUCCCACUUGCUUCUCUAGUUCUUUAGCUUCGGUUGGGUUGACUCUAUAGGCGGGUCUAUUUGGCAAUUGAGCUCCCGGAAUAAGAUCUAUUUGAUGUUCAAUCCCUCGGAUAGGUGGCAAGCCAUGCGGUAGUUCUUCCGGAAACACAUCUUGAAAACGCUUGAUGAUGGCCUUAAUCUCCUCCGGAAUGUCCUUGCCUUCACAAUCUAUAGUCAAAACAUCUUUAAAGACCAUUAGUAACACUUGGCAAGAGGAGUCACAUAGUGAUCUCCUAACAUCACUAGAAUUAACCAAGAAAUUCGACUUAGAGCUAGGUUCACUAGUCAUUUUCGAUUGCAUUUCAUUGACUUGGGUGGGUGACAAAGGCUUUAAGCAAAUCCGUUUACUAUUAUGGAUAAAAGUAUACUCAUUGGUAAGGCCACAAUGCGAUGUCUUCUUAUCAAAUUGCCAAGGCCGACCCAACAAUAGGUGGCUAGCUUGCAUUGGGACAACAUCGCAUAAGACUUGGUCUUGGUAGGGGCCAACACUAAAAGAAACUAACACUUGUUCCGAGACUUGGAUUACGGAUUUGUUGUUCAACCAUUUAAGCUUAUAAGGUUUGGGAUGGCUUGUGGUAGCCAAAGAAAGUUUCUUGACCAUAUAAGAACUCGCAACAUUGGUGCAAGAGCCCCCAUCUAUGAUCAAGCCACAAACCUUCCCACUUACCAUGCACCGGGUGUGGAAGAUGUUGUCGCGUUGGUUGGAGUCGUCCAUGGCUUGGCUUGUGCUUAGCAUGCGGCGGAUCAUGAGAAGUUCUCCAACUUCCGGUUCGGCAAUGGCUUCCUCGAUCUCGGAGUCAAUGCCUUGGCCUUGUGGGGCGUCGUCUUCGUCUUGGGAUUCAUAGUCUCCGGCGGUGGUGAUGAUCAUGGUGCGUUGGUUGGGGCAGUCUCGGGCAUAAUGUCCUCGGCCUUGACACUUGAAGCAAAUGAUGUCUCGGGUCCUUGAGUCGGAAGGUUGAGGUCUUGGGUCGGGACGGUUGUCUUUGGUGGUCUCUCGGGGCUUGAAUCUUGUGUCGAUACGGGCGGCUUUGGGUUCGGUGGUACCUCGGUUGGUCUUGUCGGCUACUCGGUUGUUUCCAUGAGAUGGUGAGGCGUUGGGCGACCAACUUGGAAGUCCUUGUCCCUUGGUCCGGGUGGUGCUUGCAAUUUUCUUCUUGAUUUGUUGUUCUACUUGGAUGGCUAGGUGCAACAUCUCCUCAAACCCUUGGUAAGAUUGGCGUUCAACCUUCCUUGUGAUCCGGUCAUUCAAUCCGUCUAAGAAUUGGGCCAUCAAAGCCUCUUCGGUCUCUUCUAGUUGUAAACGGUUCCUCAAGUGCUCAAAGUCCUCAUAAUAUUCCUCAACGCUUUUUAUUCCUUGAGUGAGCUUCCUAAAUCGCCGUUGUAGGUCACGGCUAAAGUAUUGGGGAAUGUAUCGGCGUCUCAUGAUGGCCUUCAUUGCGUCCCAAGUGGCCACGGGUCUCUCGUGAUUACGUCGUCGGUCGUCGACGUCGCGGUCCCACCAAGUAAGGGCAUGGUCCGUGAAUUGAGCGGCGGCUAUAAUGACCUUUCGUAUCUCCGGGUAGUUGUAACAAGAGAAAACCUUGUCCAUUCGGCCUUCCCAUUGUAGGUAGGCCUCCGGAUCAACCUUUCCCGCAAAGGUUGGGACGGUAAGCUUGCAGGAGGGUCCGGUGAGAUUAGGACCCAUUGGUCGUUCAUUGUCCCGUCGGUUGUUUCUUCGUCUUGGAUAGUCGGGGUCUUCUUCAUCCGACGUGUGUCCCUCAACUUGACCUUGAUCUUGUUCUUGGUCGUCGACUGGUGGUAGUCUUUGGUCUCGGACCCGUCGUACAAGGGGCACGGGUGGUGGUAUAGCUUGCUCCAAGAGAUAAAGCCGAUCAUCGAUCCGUCCCAUUUGAGCUUGGAUUUGGGUCAGAAUGACUCCAAGGUCGGGUGGAGGAGCGGGUGCCAUAGGUGGGUCUUGUCCGGCCAUAGUACGGAUUCCGGUUCACCGGGAAAUGUCAGACGGCGGCGGGUGGUCGGAAAAUUGGUCGGAGUGAGUAACCGGCGAUGGUAGACUGGUAGAGGUCGGUGGCCGAUGGUCGGUGGUCGAUGGUGCGUAUGGUCGUUGGUCGAAGGUCGAUGGUACGUACGGUUGCUGUCGUGGUCCGUUUGGUCCGUACGGCUAGCGAGGUUUGUUCCACCUGUCCCAAACAAAGAACACGUGCGUUUUAAGGUUGCGAUAUGUUGAUAAGAUGGAAUCAAUUUCAAAAGAGGUGACAGCUCAUGAUUGGAGAGAGAACGGUCAAAAAGCAAAAGAAACAACCUAAGACCAAAACGAAAACGCUAGAGGACAAACGGUACGAAACCGUGUGACCCAAAACGAUACACGUGGUUUCAAGGCCACCAAACUAAAGCGAUAACACUAAGGAACAAAACAACUAAGGAUCUAACAGCCUAACAAGAUGAAAACACGGUGAAAAGCACGAUGAACACGAAGAACACGAAAAAAUCAAAACCGGCUAAAAACGAAAAGCAACUUCAACGAGUGGUUUUCAAGGCCACGAAACAAAAACCCGAAGCAAAACUCAAGCUUUUAACCCAAAGUGAUACUAAAACACAAAAAGACUAAGACUUUCUAAAAGAAACAAGAAGGGAAGGCGAAGAACACAAGGGAAGAAAACCUUUUUUUUUUUUUUUUUUUGAAAUGAAACAACAAUAAACAACACAAAGAGAACUAAGAAGGAUAGAUACAACCUUAGGAACCUUCGGCUCUGAUACCAAAAACUGAUGCGUCACACGGUCACGGAAAUAGCCUUCGGGACGAUGGUACGGUCGGCGAUCGGUACGGACAGGGCCUUCGGUGACGGCGGUUACGGCGGUUACGGCGGUUACGACGGUUACGGGACGGCGAGGGAGGUUGACGAUGAGUAGCUCGAAUCGCCUAGACUCCAAAGAGAUGAUUUGCAAGGGUGGAUAGCGACAACCGGUGAGUAUCUCGAACCGGUGGUGACUGGAGAAGAGGGGUGUGAAGGCGGAACGAGGUAACGACACACGAGAGAUGGUGGGCUCGUGAUACGGUUACACUUAGAGGCUUUGAAUCCGAUUCAAAGGCUCUAAGGAGCUCUCAAUGUUUUCGCAACAAAUGAGAAAAAGGAAAGAACUGAUUUUUAUUUCAAAAGAAGCUAACCCUUACAAGUGACUUAGAGGGCCUUUAUAUAGGCGUUUACAAGGGAGACUCAUAAAACCCUAAAGCAAACAGUCAAAGCGCGGGUCAACAAGGAUAGACGUGUCAAAAUACAAACCAUAAGACAAGAAGAGCCUAACGGCUUUAUUACGAAAGGAAGGAGAGAUGGCCACGUCAUGCGGAGAUGCGUGGUCAUGCGCUAGCGUACGUUGGCCUCGUUAAAACCCUCUUGGUAAACCACGUGGGAUAAACCCAAGUAGGGAAAAAGAGUACCACGUCCAACUAGUGACUUUGAUGCCUUCACCUAGUGAUGGUGAAGACGGUCCGGACAAGCUCAUGAUCGUCCGGAUGGUCGAGUCCAAUGGGGCCGUAUGGCCGUGGGUCGUGUACUUGGAUGAACUCUUCCGCGAAGGCAUUGCACUUGAUCCUGAGAUUGCGUGCAGCUCCCCUUGACCUUGUGACAGCUCCCGGAAGGAUUUGAGGUACCUUGGUCGCCGGUAGUAUCCCGUGGGUCGUUCCGGGUUGGUCCAUGUUCUGUCCCUCGUCCCGGCCCUCGUCCGGAUCGUUGUCCGUAUGCUGUCCGGUAGGUUGGGUCUCAUUAAAAGGAGUCAAUUGUGUCAAGUGACUCCGAGUAAAACCCCAGGCAAACCUGUAGCAAGGCUCGGGAAAACCAAGCAUGAGGUGGAUAGUUGCCUAUGGUGGAUAAGAGUUGUAGAGCGUCUUCUGCACGACCAAGUUUGACGGCAAGCCUAAUGCUUUCAAGAUAGGCUGCAGUUGCAUUGUGAGAGUCUAAACAUUGGCGAAAGAAAGGGCGAUACACCGAAUCUUCAUUUAUAAGGCCAGCAUCUGCUAGGAAGGGUUGUAGGCUUACAUGGUUGAGGACAGUGGAAUGAGUUGCAAGAGAAUAGUAGAAUUUGGAAGUCAGAAGCAUACCCCGGAGAGAUAUAAACGAAUCCGCCCCCACACGUGAAACAAUAUCAAGAGCAGUGUGUAUGUCAAGUUGUUCCAUAGGUGACGCAGGAACAAACAAUGAAAAAUGUGUAACUUAUGUAGGGAAAAAUCUGUAUCAAGUAGAUGGGAAGGCAUUUAUUGUGAUGGAAUUAGUGGGUGAGGAGGUAUGAAAUUAAUGAGCUGAAAUGAAAUUGUAAGUUUGUAGAAGUUAAUAGUUAAAGAAGUAAUGGUGUAUAAUAUCGUAAAGGGAGAAGAAGGUAGUGAUAAGGAAAUCUAGGAAUAAAGUAGCUAAUGUAACAACAACAGAAGGUACCAUAAGGAGAGCAAGUCAGUACAAGUAAUAGAAAGCGCGUUAUUCUUGGUUAACAUGCCGAGAGAUCAAUUAAAAGAUAAGAAAAACAAGUAGAUUAAACGCGGGACACAUAUUCUUCAUACAGAUCAAUGGCGUAGCGCAUUCGAAUGUUGUUAACAGUCUUCUUUGUAAGUUCUUGAAGGUGCGAUGUAAGCUGAUGUGAGUGAAGUUCAAUAAAUUUCAGAGACAUUGGACCACAGUCCCCACCACGGUCAUUCUGUGCGAGACCAAUCAUUCGCGUGAAGGUAAAGCCAGUGGCUGGCCAAGUGGAUGGAACAUCUUCACAAACAGAGCGAAGCAAACAAGGCAGCAUCUGAGCAAUAGGAGCCAUGUAGGAGGCAACCUUUCUAGCAGAGGUGCAAUCUUCAAACGGGUCAAGAAUGUCAAUAUGACCUUUGGGAAGGUCAAUGGCUAUUGCGACCCAAUGCCUCUUACCCCAAUUCAUAGGGAGGUAAAUAAUGUCUACAUCUUUGAGCCACUCCAACUUACAAGUGCGACCGUCAACCAGACCACAAACAUAAGCCGUCAACAGUGGGUGCCAUGCAUAUGUCAGUGUAUUGACGUGUUGGCUGAAAUUGACAAACUUAUUGUCCAUCAUUGAGGUGAACAUGGAGUCGAGGACAGUAAUGCGGCGUGUGGCGAGGAAAGCACCAUGUUUUUGCCAAAGAAAGCUGACAAUGCAGUCAAUGUGCUGUGAUGCAAGAAGUCAUAAAAUGAGAAGAGAUAUAAUAUAUGGGCUAUAAAAUAGAAGUAAGCAAAGUAGACAUGGAAGGUGCAAACUAACCAAGCUGGAAACCCAGUUCUGAGGUUUUGAUAGCUCAGUGAAGAAAGUAGAAGGGUAUGAGUGGCCAUUGAUAGUGUAUGAACUGCAUUGGAAAGAUGUGAGACAUGAGAAAUAAAGAAUAUUACAAAGAAACAUUUAGGUGAUAUAAAAUGAAGAGGUUAAGCACAAACCUCUUGCCCAUUUUAGAGAGCUUGCUGCGAAACUUGGAAACAGUAGCUGAAUUGGGGGUCCCAAGUGUACUUAGAAUGUAUGGAAUCAUUGCUUUGACAUCAGGGUGAUUGACAUUUUUUUUGCUACGCAGGUUCAUAGCAGGUCCACCCAACAGUAGCUGUUUUGUAGGAGGCGCAAUGGGAAGGCGAGGACACCGAUCCGUGACAACAGAAAGACCGGUUGCAGAAGGUACUUGCCCUAACAUGGCAGACACCCCAUCGGUUGCAGGACAUUGCGUAGCAGAUGAACAAGUUUGGCGGGUCACUCUUUGGGAUAUAUUCUUUAGAACGAAGACAGAAGGUUGAACUGGUGUUGGGUGAAUAAAACAUGAUUCCUCCUUAGAAUCAGGUUUACAGGCAUUAAGCUGACAUGCGUUCACCUGCAAAAGAUACAGAAGACAGAGAAGGAUGAUUAAUGUAACUGAGAAACGUGUUUUUGAAGUAGAUAUAAAAUAACCUGUGGCAUGGGUGAAGAAGGAGACAAAUAUGAAGCCAAAUGGGAGGGUAAGGUGGAGGUAUGGCUUCUGUGCUUGGCUGCUUCAUGUAGGAAUGAUGGGCGGCGUUGCUUAAUAUAAGAAAGAAUCAACUGUAAGUAGCGAAAAUGAGCAAAAGUGGCAAGAUCAAAGUGAGACACAGAAAGUAGAGAUAGAAAAAACCUGAACAAGUGGCUUUACAACAGGACAUGGAAGCACAACCGGACUAAUGGACUGAGAACCUGUAACUCCAGGAGCGUGGCUCCCAGUAACAGAGGGAGAAGAAACCUAAAAAAAAAACUGGUAAAAAUUUGGAAAUGUUGUUGUAAUGAAAGGUGCAAGAACCAUAGAAAGUAGGCUUAACCUCAGGAGGUAGAACAUCAGUGUCGAGAUGUUGAAAGUCUGUAAAACCUACAGCCUCCGGAUCCACCAUUGAUUCAAGGCAUUUACCAGGCGAUAAAACAGUAUGCGCAAAACCGACAGCAGGAUGACAGAUAGGUGAAUGUUUGGCAUUACUGGAUGACGAUCUUGUAUUGCUAGCAGAACGCUUGGAGAAUGAUCCCGCAGAUAGUCCAGCACAGCCAGAACGUGUAUUCCGGACAGGCGAAGAAGAUACUGCUGGUGAAACAAUAGAGGACUUGUUGACAGGAGGUACACCGCGCCUAGUACUCUGAUGACUGUGCUGAAUGAGGUGACUAAGCUCAACAAGCAGAGAUGCCUUGAAGCUUUUAAGAUGUUUCUCAAUAAGGGUAUCUGCAUUUCCGCGGAUCUUGACAGAAGAACGGUGGCCAACCCGCUUUUUUUGUUUACAAAAAUCUUCAGGACCCGAACUUGAACUUGCAGACCUGGAAGGAAUGGACUUACGUUUGCGGGAAGAGGUGAGUGACGGCAUAGAUGCAUCACCACCAGACCAGACAUCUUUUGUGAACUGAAACGAUGAUGCAAUAAGUCUCUCCAACUCCUUAACCUUGGGGUCACAAUGUUCAGAUGCUACAAAGGCAGGGUCAGGAUUUUGCGGGUGCAAAACACAAAGCUGCAAAGUAUAAAGAAUAUGAGGUGGUAUAACAGACAGAAAGAAAUAGAAGAAGGAAAUAGUCACAGAAUAAGAACGCACGUUACUCGAAUAUUCAAGACGUAAAAUGUUUGAAGUAUGGAAAGACUUGCACUUAGGGAGAUGAUGAAUGAUUCGGUCAAGGAAAGUAGACUGAUCCUCACCAUUGGGCAGGAUUGUGAGGAGCAAAGGAAUAUAUUUAAGAGCAAACAACUGAAUAGCAAGAGGAAAACCAUGGACAGCGACGGACGAUUGUUUCAGCUUGGCAACUAGCGAGUCUGCGUCUUCAAGAUAGCUUCCAACUUUAACCAUUCUAAGCAUCCUGUGAAAGGAGUGGCGACCCCAUGGGUAUUUGAGAAAGAAGUCUACAUCUUUGACCAUCUCAACAACUUCAGCUGAUGCCUUAACUGGUUGGCUCCGACAAAGCAAAACACCCUCUACAAUAACAAUAAGCGCUAGGCGGAAUUUACGCCAACUUGGCAUAUUUGGCUGAGUCUUCAACCUUUGGAGAAGUGCCUUCACAGUUACAGAACCAAGUUUACCACCAAUUAAAGUAUACCAAUACGGAGCACUACCCUCGGCAUGAGUUGUUGCAGCAUCGAGUUUUUCCUGCGAAGGAAAAGGACAACAUUCCAACCCAGUGGCUUCACGAAAUUCCGAUAGAGAAAAACGCAAAGGCUGACCCCCAAAAACAAACCACAUUUCGUCAGAGUUGGUGGUAUCCAGCUGCCUACAUAACAUCUGAUGGACCAAUUGGCCAGACAAUGAACAUCGCCUGACAGGCAGUAAGAAGAGGGACCCUAGCGGAGAUGCCAAUAAAGUGUCCAACUCAGGCAUUCCAUCGAGGAUAUGUAAAAUAUCAAUCAAGUACUUAGGUUUGGAAUAAGAGUUGAUACGGACUGCAUGACCAGGAUAGCAGUCAGCAGAAAAAACUCUAUCAGGAAGGAGUCCUACAACACCAAAAAGAAAAAGUAAACAACACAGGCAGUGGGUGUAAAUAUAUGAAAAAAACUUUACUAACAACAACUGCAGCUAUAUGAUGAUGAUAACCUUUAAAGCAACAACUUAAUUGAACACAAGAAGGCAACCCUAGUCUCAACAACAGAGGGAAACCAAAAUAGAUGUGUGGCAAGACGGGAAUAAGCAAUAUUUAGGAAAACAUAAGAAACAUGUGAAAUGGGGGAACUAAACCCUAAUCUCCACAGCUGAGGGGAACCCAAACACAGGUGUUUAACGAGUGGCAAGCGUCAGUAGGUGGAAAAUCAUAAAAAAACAUGUGAAAUGGGGGAACUAAACCCUAAUCCCCACAGCUGAGGGGAACCCAAACACAGGUGUUUAACGAGUGGCAAGCGUCAGUAGGUACAAAACCAUAAAAAAACAUGUAAAAUGGGGGAACUAGACCCUAAUCUCCACAGCUGAGGGGAACCCAAACACAGGUCUCUAACAAGUAGGAACCAUGAAGAGAUACAAAAACAUAAGAAAUAUGCAAACCUGGGGCACCGGCGUGAGAUGGUCCAGCUCCAAAUGAAUCCAUUUCAGACGGACAGGACCUGCACAUGCAAUUAAGCUCAGUUUCACCACAGACUAAGGUGUAUGUAUGUCCGGGAACAAUAUAUUUGGCUACCGCGACAGAGAGACUAUCAGAAAGAAAUUAGAAUAAGGACAAAGAAUUUCCAAGAAUUAGAUUCAACAGGCAAACGGCUGUACACAGAAAUUUCGCUUUCGAAGGACUAGAACAUGAUACAGAUUACUUCGAUAAGAACUACCAGCAACCAUAAAAAGGUUGGAAAUGGCGACCGCGGAGAAAAGGUACCACUGGAAUAACUAACCAAUUGCAACGGCGAGAGGAAUUUGGUACAGAGAGCUUCAGAAUGCCCUUUUUUUCUCACGGCCGUCGGAAAUAAAUUUGAAAUCGGAGCAGAGUCUCUGUUUUCUCGAACCUCGGAGAAGAAAGAGUAAAGCAGACGACACAAUAUGACUUCCUAUUAAAUGUUCGAGAAAUUGGAACAGUUACGUGUUGUUCGGUCUUCUCGGGCAGACGAGAGUGGGCAGGCGCAAUAAUGAAAAAGCGAGGGCAAAAUCGUGAAAUCGCAUGAGUAGAAAAGGGUAUAUCCACAAACUGUUCCAAAAAGGUCGAAACCAACAAAUGCCAUCCGGAAAAAUGGCUUUCUCGUAAUUGAUUCUAAAAAUAAAAUUUAGUAGUACAUAUGAAGUAUUUAGCUAUGUUUUGUGAAGUACUUAGCUAUGUUUCUCUAAAAAUGGCAUACUUGUUAUUGUUACCAAAUUUAAUAGCUUCAUAUCAAGUUUAACAUAUGCAAUAUAUUAAAAUGCCACUUGAGUUAUAUAAUUUGUAGUUUUAGAAUGGAUCGUAAUAAUUUUUUUGGAUGUAUUCUUUCCGGAAUAUUUAUUUUUUCAUGGCCUAUUAUUUAUUUUCAUUAUAUUUUCUGACAUUAGGGCCUAUUAUUAAUAUGAUAAAAUACAAAAAAAAAUUGAUGUGUCCCGAUUUUCAAUUGGACCAAAUCAUUAAGCCAGAUCAGAAAUUUGCGUUAAAAUAUGCCAAUCGUCUUAUACCUUCUGUAAUAUAUUUUCAUAUAAAUAAACUUCUCAACCUCCACACUUCUCUCACCCAUCACACAAUCCUCAAAACAGAGUAACCCAAAAAACAGAGCAAUCUCUAAAAAAAGUCUCAAGAAACCUCACUAAAAUGGGUUCAACGGCGGAGACACAAUUAACCCCGGUGCAAGUCACCGACGACGAAGCUGCCCUCUUCGCCAUGCAACUAGCCAGUGCCUCCGUUCUUCCGAUGGCUUUAAAAUCUGCUUUAGAGCUCGACCUUCUUGAGAUCAUGGCCAAGAACGGUUCUCCCAUGUCUCCGACCGAGAUCGCUUCUCAUCUCCCGACCAAAAACCCUGAAGCUCCGGUCAUGCUCGACCGUAUC